AUUUCUAAAUAAAGGUGAUUGCUUCAUUGACAAGUACAUAUUUAUAUUCUCUAUUAGUAUUUGGGUUGUAAACUUUGUUUAUAAAGUGAAUAUAUUGUGGUAAGCGAUGUGGGCAAUAUCGGAUGCAAAAUAUUGAGAGAUCAUUAACGCAUAUAUUUAUUGAAGACGCAUAUAGAGGAAAGAGUGUAGAUCCGGCCGUAACAAUUAUGAAGCUUUCCCCAAGUAUUCUCACGCUUCCUUAACUGUUGCAAAGUAUUUUUCAUAGUGUGCAGAUUUACUUUAUGGUGUCUUAAUUCGUCUAAAAUGAUUACUUUAGUUCUUUUGGGAUGAAAGGUCAUUUAUUGUGUUAGUAUUAAACAAUAGAAAAAAUAAGUAAUGGUAACGAAAGACUAAUUUGUGAUAUUGAAGCAUACAUGCUUAACUCAAUCCAAAACUUAGUAAGUUAGCUCAAGAGUUAAGAGUUGUCCAAAUCUUAUAUGCUGAACCCAAGUUCAAUACUCAAUUGAUGCAGGAUGUUAUUCCUAACACCGCCCCUCAUGCGUAGGAUUGGCAAAAAAACUCGAGUCAGUCCCGCCUAGACCUGCAAGCUUUAUUUAUGGCCAGCAUGAUGAAGUUACAGAUAUUAACCUAAAAAUUUGAAACUUACUAUGAAUGGCCUUGGUUAAAGACUUUUGUAACUUUAAUUUAUAACAAGUAUGUAUACACACACACACACAUGUUUAGAUUGCAUUUGGAUGACUUUUUUAUCAAUGCAAACAAUAUCAAAUUUAUCGGAUUAAUUUGAAUCUGAUCUAUAUCCGAUUUUGCCCGCCAUANNNNNNNNNNNNNNNNNNNNNNNNNNNNNNNNNNNNNNNNNNNNNNNNNNNNNNNNNNNNNNNNNNNNNNNNNNNNNNNNNNNNNNNNNNNNNNNNNNNNNNNNNNNNNNNNNNNNNNNNNNNNNNNNNNNNNNNNNNNNNNNNNNNNNNNNNNNNNNNNNNNNNNNNNNNNNNNNNNNNNNNNNNNNNNNNNNNNNNNNNNNNNNNNNNNNNNNNNNNNNNNNNNNNNNNNNNNNNNNNNNNNNNNNNNNNNNNNNNNNNNNNNNNNNNNNNNNNNNNNNNNNNNNNNNNNNNNNNNNNNNNNNNNNNNNNNNNNNNNNNNNNNNNNNNNNNNNNNNNNNNNNNNNNNNNNNNNNNNNNNNNNNNNNNNNNNNNNNNNNNNNNNNNNNNNNNNNNNNNNNNNNNNNNNNNNNNNNNNNNNNNNNNNNNNNNNNNNNNNNNNNNNNNNNNNNNNNNNNNNNNNNNNNNNNNNNNNNNNNNNNNNNNNNNNNNNNNNNNNNNNNNNNNNNNNNNNNNNNNNNNNNNNNNNNNNNNNNNNNNNNNNNNNNNNNNNNNNNNNNNNNNNNNNNNNNNNNNNNNNNNNNNNNNNNNNNNNNNNNNNNNNNNNNNNNNNNNNNNNNNNNNNNNNNNNNNNNNNNNNNNNNNNNNNNNNNNNNNNNNNNNNNNNNNNNNNNNNNNNNNNNNNNNNNNNNNNNNNNNNNNNNNNNNNNNNNNNNNNNNNNNNNNNNNNNNNNNNNNNNNNNNNNNNNNNNNNNNNNNNNNNNNNNNNNNNNNNNNNNNNNNNNNNNNNNNNNNNNNNNNNNNNNNNNNNNNNNNNNNNNNNNNNNNNNNNNNNNNNNNNNNNNNNNNNNNNNNNNNNNNNNNNNNNNNNNNNNNNNNNNNNNNNNNNNNNNNNNNNNNNNNNNNNNNNNNNNNNNNNNNNNNNNNNNNNNNNNNNNNNNNNNNNNNNNNNNNNNNNNNNNNNNNNNNNNNNNNNNNNNNNNNNNNNNNNNNNNNNNNNNNNNNNNNNNNNNNNNNNNNNNNNNNNNNNNNNNNNNNNNNNNNNNNNNNNNNNNNNNNNNNNNNNNNNNNNNNNNNNNNNNNNNNNNNNNNNNNNNNNNNNNNNNNNNNNNNNNNNNNNNNNNNNNNNNNNNNNNNNNNNNNNNNNNNNNNNNNNNNNNNNNNNNNNNNNNNNNNNNNNNNNNNNNNNNNNNNNNNNNNNNNNNNNNNNNNUACCUCUUUUAACGACAAGAUUCGUAGUAGAUGAUAAAAAGAAAAUUAACUUCAAAUUUUUUCAUUAAAUGUAAAUCUGAUUGAAGUAGUUUAAAUUUUUCUAGUAGACUAAUAUAUAUAACUUAAAUAAUUAAUUUCAUUAUUAAUUUUUAAAAUGUUAACUAAUAUAUUUUUAAUUUAUUAUAAAAAUUUUAAAUAAAUCCUUGGAUUAAAUAGAUUUUACAAUUAAUGUAAUACUUCUGAUUUAUUAAUAAUAUUAAAAUUAUUUUAUAUGAUAUUCAAAAUAAUUUAAACUUAUAUAUAUAUUAAUAUUAUGUCUAUUUAUUAUAAUAUGGUUUAAUAUUAUACGGGAUUGUAAAAUAUUAAAAUAUUUUUCAAUAUCCAAUUAUUUUAAUAUGUAUAUAUCAUUACAUUUAUUUUAGUAUCGUAUUUAUAUUUAUUAUAAAAUAUAAAAUUAAUAAAAUUAAAGAGUAUUGCAGUAAAGUAAAAAAAAAAAGUCUUAUUAUCUCUUAUUCACAAUAUGAGAUUCUACAAAAUUAUUUCCCGAAACGGGUGUCCUUUUCUUAUUUUCAAAAGAAAAAAUAAAGUAAGAAUAAGUCCAUGGGUUUCAAAAACUUCUAGUCUUAUCCCGGGACUACAUUGUCUGCCACUAUAACUAAUGGAAAUGACAAUACAAUUGACAUUGCCUUUCGCAACAUGACAAAUUUUUGGUGGGAUAUGGAAGAAUUGUCAAAAGUUCACGCCAUGUAAGAGUUUUUGGUGGGAUGUGGGAGGAUUGUCAAAAUAUCACACCACGUGAUAUAACCACAAUUGCUAUGGUUUUUAUUUUUUAAAUAAUGAUGGGAGUUAUAAAUUAUUUAUAUAAAUUUGCGUAGAAACUAAUGUAACAUAAAAGAAGUAGCUGAAUAAUAAUAUUUGGUGCUUUAGGUAAUUUUUAUAUGAGCCUUUCUUUUAUUUAGCGGCUCUAGUGCUUAAACAAACUUGUUCUCGAUCUUAAUUUACUGACCCCAUUUAAGCCUAUGAUGACAUAAUUAAACAUAUUCUUUUGUGACGAAAACAUCAAGAGAAGACAUCUCAUGUUUUAUUAUAACAGAAAAGAAGUGAUCCAAACGUCUAUUCGUUAUUUUAUUUAUUCAAUAUAAAUGGUCAACUUUAAAAAAAUGAUAAAAAUCACACAACGCUCAAGUAAAAAUUUAGAAUUACAUUUUUUAAAACUCUCUGAGUCUCUCUCUCCUGCCCCCCCCCCCCCCUCUUUUUUUUAAAAUAAACCUUAGUGUAAAAUUAGAAGAAUUUUAGAUAUAAAAUUUGGCAAUCGCUAAACAGAAAAGUAGCGGAUUGAAAAUAAAAAAGCUCUAUUAUCAUAGGAAUAUUGAUUAUACAUAAUAUAAUAACUUGUUGUGGUUCAUUGUAGCACUCUGAGCCAUACUUUAAAAUUUACUGGUUUGUUAAUGCUUUUAUUAUUGACAUUAUUGUGUCAAUAUUACUAUAAUUUAUUCAUUUUAUUGUAAUGAUAAUUUGUGUAGUCUUAGGUACUUAUUAUAUUAAAUUAUGUAAAUUAAUUGAGAAUACUUUUAGAGACAAAAGAAACACGUGUAUGUAGGAUUAAUAAUCGAAGAAUUGUAAAUGAAGGUGAUUGCUUCAUUGAGAGGCAUAUUGAAUAAUUAUGGAGGUUGCACUAUUUCGGAAGCACAUAUUUAUACUUCCCUAUCAGGAUUUGGGGUAAACGAAGUGCUUUAUCUAUUGCAGUAAGCAAUGUGGGCAAUAUCAGAGGCGAAAUAUUAAAAGAUUAUAACGCAUAUAUUUGAGCCAUUUAUAUUGAAGACACAUAUAGAGGAAAGAGUGCAGAUCAGGCUUUCCUCAAGUAUUCUCAUGCUUCCGCAACUGUUCUGAACUAUUCUUCAUUGUGGGCAGAUUUACUUAAUUACCAACACUAUGAUUCAAUACUUCAAAGGUUGAGGAAAUGUCAAAAUAUGAAAUGAAAAUACUUAAAUACCCUUCUACCUAACAAAACUUGGUACUUCUAACUGCACUCGCAGAGAAUAUAUAAAAUUAAAAAAAUAUAUAUUCAUCCAUGAAAAGCUUCGUAACAGAAAAACCAUCUUUAAAAAAAAUAAAAAUAAAAUUAAAAAAAAAAAACAGAAAAACCGACUCAUUUAUCUGCCAAUGAACCAAUUGGGACUCAUUUAAAAAAGAAUACAAAGCAAAAGUGAAUGACACAAAUUGCAUAGAUAUCUAGGUAUAAUUUGUCCAAGUAAUAAAUUCUCCUAGGUCAAAAGCAAUUAACGAUGAAAACUUUCUUCAUUAAGGUUCUGGCCUACGUAAAAAAACAGAAAAAACCACCCCAAGGUCAAAGCACAACGAUAAGUUUAGAACUGCAGUUUUUAAUUUUUUUUAAUAAAUCAAUGUGUAUCAAAAAUAGAUAAUAAUUUUGGAUAACUUUUUUUGAUAAAUAUAGACAUAAAAUUUUAAAAUCACCAAACAGAAAAACAGGGGAAUUAAAAGAGAGCCCUUGUUUCUCCUCUGUUUUGUUUGUUAUCAAACAGUGAAAUGAAAAGAUCGCAAGCGGAAAUUUUGUUUCUGCGUUGUAUCUUCUCAAUGCUGCAUGCAUUCAAAUUAAACCUUAUAUAUGCUAGCAAACUAGCUACUCUGCAUGUAAGUUCUCGAUAAGUCCAAAUAAUAGAAUAAUUGUAAAAUGUUAAAAUUCAGUAAUUAAUUAUACAUAUUUAUUUAUUCAAAAAUUAUUAUUAUUAAUUAUUGUCAAUAUAUAUUAAUAUUCUGAUUAAUUGUAAAAAAUUUAUCAUUCAUAACAAUAAUAAUGAUGAUGAUGAUAAUAAUAAUAAUAAUUCAAAAUAUAUUAAUUAAUUAUAAUAAUAUAUUAAUUAUUUAAUAAUAGUAAUAAAUGUAAAAUGUAUAAAUUGAUUAGAAUAGUUAUAUUAAUAAAUUAUAAACAUAUAUUAAUUAAUCAUAAUAAUUUUUUAAUUGAGGACAAAAUAGACAUUUUAUAGUUUGUGAGAGGGGGUAAAAUGGUCAAUCUUGGGAACGGGGGAUUGAUUCCCACCACCUUCCUUGGGAAUCAAUCUUCCAUUCCUCAUUCCUAAAUUUGGGUGGCCCCAUAAUUCUGAUUUGGAUCCCUGCCUCCAUCAUUAAUGAUUUCGAUUUCGGAUUCCGAUUCCCCAAUCCAAGAAGUAAAGGCACCAUUAUUGUUAAUUGGUUCAAACACACAAAGAGAAUGUACCAUGUAGCUAGGCGUCAAGGUUGUGUUGCACAAGUAACCUUUUUCUUUUCUUUUUAUUUUUCUUGUUUUCCUUAACGGAUCAGAAGAAAUUGGUGCCUUUGAGAUACCACAAUGUAAAUAAGUACUUGUGGUUCAUUGAAUCGGUAACACUCGGUACCCUAAGGUUGCUUUGGAAAAAAGGCUUUUCUCACUGAUCGCCAAUAUCCAAGUAAGUUUGUUUCAUUUCAGAAGGUGCAAAGUUUCAAACUUGUUGUAUUGGGAUGUAACAAACUUUGGCCUCAUAUGCCUGCUGUGACGUUAGACUGUUCAUUUUGAUUGUUUCCUACCUUCCACUUACGCCAUUGUAGCACUGUAUUAUUCACCAUUUUAACUGUUUAAAUGAAAUUUUAUUUUUGUCAAAAAUAAAAUGACACCAUUAAAAUUUAGAAAAAUAAUAAUGUAGAUCCCAAAUUUUUAAAAAAGAAUACCAAUAUUCCCCUUGACUACAAUACCCUUAGUAGGUGGUAAUAAAAAAAAAUUGGCUUAAAAUUUUUACGAAAUGUAAAUAUGAUUUAAAUAAUUUAAAUUUUCCAGUAGACUAAUAUAUAUAAUUUAAAUAUUAAUUUUUAAAAUUUAAAUUAAUUUAUUUGUAUUUAUAAAAUAGUUGUAAUUAUUUUAAAAUUUAACUAAAUCCUUAGGUUAAAUAGAUUUUACAAUUAAUAUAAUAUUUCUCAUGUAUUAAUAAUAUUAAAAUUAUUUUAUAUGAUAUUGAAAAUAACCUAAAUUUUUAUAUAUUUAUUUGAAUAUUAUGCUCUAUUUAUUAUAAUUUGGUUUAAUAGAAUACGAGAUUGUAAAAUAUUAAAAUUUUAAAUAUUGAAAUUAUUUUAAUAUGUAUAUAUUAUUAUAUUUAUUUUAAUAUCCUAUUUAUAUUUAUCAUAAAUUAUUAGAGUUAAUUUUUUUAGUUAAUAAAUUUAAAAAAUAUUAUAAUUUUAAAAAAAAAGUCUUGUUGUCCGUUAUUCACGAUAUGAGGUUCUACAAAAUUAUUUCUCCAGGCGGGUGUCCUUUUUUUAUUUUCAAAAGGAAAAACAAGUUCAGGGCCUCAGGGGUUUCAAAAAAUUCUGGUCCUAUCUACCACUAUGACUAAUGGGAAAUGACAUUGCAAUUGACAUUGCUUUCCGCAAUAUGACAAAUUAUUGGAGGGAUAUGGGAGAAUUGUCAAACGUUCACACACGCGAGAGCUUUAGGUGGGAUAGGGGAGGAUUGUCAAGAGUUCACACCACGAGAAACUAAUGAUAGGCCUAAUUUCGUUGUCAGUUCUUUAUUUAUUUAUUUUAUUUAUUUCAUACAUUAUUGUUUUUAUAAAGGUAUAAAAGUAAAGUAAAAUACCAGGGGUGCUGUUAAGUUACAACUUAUGUAACUUGCAAUUUUUUCAAAAAUAAUGUAAAAAAUUUAAUAGGUGGUGGGACCCACAUAUUUUUUAAGAGACUUAAGUUACAACAGUUGUAACUUAACAAAAUCUAAAUAUUAGACAAUAAUGCAUAUAAUUUGGGUUUGAUUUUUAAAAGAUUAUUUGAGUACCACCUAUCCUUAUGAUAUUAAUCUGAUUAUAUCUUAAUAUUAAAUAAUCAAAAUUUGUUUAAUUAUUAUUUGUAUUUCAUACAUUACAUAUUAGAUUUGUUUGAAUUUUAAGUUGUUGCUAAUAAAUAUUUAUGUUGUCAAAGUCAAAGUCAAUAGCUACAAAAGCAGAGAUAAUGGUAUUGUAUAUAGUUUUUAAGAAUGCAAGGAUAAGCUGGAUAAUUGACUUAAAUUCUAAUGAUUAAAAGAGCAACUAUCCCUUAAGUUAUAAUGUCAAUUUCUUUAAUUAGAAAUUUUUUUUUUCAUGUGAUAUAACCUCAAUUGCUACAAUUUUUUUUAUAAUAAUAAUGGGAGUUAUAAAUUAUUUAUAUAAAAUUUGGGUUGAAACUAAUGUAACCUAAAAGUGGUUGCUAAAUAACAAUAUUUGAAACUUUAAGUAAUUUUCAUGAGUCCUUUUUAUAUUCAGCAACUUGAAUUGGGGGAAAUCCGACUUGAAUUGGCGGUUGAUUUUGGUGAUGUGGCUUUUGGUUUACGCCGGCUUUACAGUGGCGGAAGACUGGAUUUACGGUUGCCGAAUGCUAGGGAUUAUGGUGGUGGUGUAAAUUGACGGAAAAAGAAGGUGUUUUGGUGGCGGCGCAUCUAGGAAGCACUCGUGGGUUGUCGUUUCGUGUGCUGACAACGGGCGGCGAUCAAGGGCUGAAGUUGGUUGGUUUUUGGUCAACGGAGGCCGGCGAGUUUGUUGGUGGAGGUGGUUGGUGGAGAAAGUGGCUGAAUGGUGGUGGGUUGCUUGGUGGAGCCGUGGGUUUGGGUUGGUGAUUUGCGGCUGUUGAGGCAGCGAUGACUGAGGCUUGGUCAACUGUGGCUAGUGAGGUUUGUGGUGGUGUUGGCUGGCUGAUCGGCGGUGGUGGGCGGCGGUGGAGGUUGAUGUGACGGGUUGGGUUUUCAAAUUUGUAAAUUUUGUUUUUUGAUGGAUUUGGUUUGGAUAGGUAUGGUGUAUCUAGGAAAGAUGUGCGAUUCGCACAUAAUCAUCUUGAUACCAAUUGAUGGAGCGAGGCGUAGCGGAAGCAGAAUUGAUAGGGUAAGAAACAUUAGAUAUUGUUCUAGUACUAGACCAAGCCAACGCGAUUAGUUCACGCUCUAAUCGAAGCAUGAUUAGAUAUCGUUAUAAUCCAAAUGACUCAAUGAGAUUUUUAAUAAUGCGUAAUACGAGAUUAGAUGACACUCUAAUCCAAACGACUCUACAAGAGAGAUUUUGAUAAAUAAUCCUAGAGAAAAUUAUAAAAGAGGGGUUUUAUUUAAUAAUUGAACUUGAAGUUAUGAAAAUAAUGACAAGACAUCUUUAUUUUUUUUAUUACAAAUAUCUUUAUUUAUAAUAGAAGAAACCCGCUUUCCUAAGUUAACCUAAAAAGAAAAUUUAAAUCAUAAUUAUAAUGGAAAUAAAAGAUUAAAAUACAUACCAUAAUUAACUCAAACUAAAAUAGAAAAUCAUAAAAUAAUAAAUAUUCUAGAAUUAUAAAUUAUCUAAAAUAACGUUAAUUAACUUCUUAAAUCACUUCUUUGGUGUUAACCAUUUUGCAUCCAACCUCGCUUUAAAGGUUUGAACCAACGUUACCAACAAUAAUGUAUCAAAUUCCAAUCUAACUUAAGAUCCUGAUACAUCUACCGAUGUCCUUGUUUGAUUAGACAAUAAUGAGUCUAUCUCAUCACUUGUUACCUCUUUCUUGAAGGCUGCAUCUGUUGAAGUGAUAGUCUCGUUUAGAGUUUAAAGAUCUUCUUCCAUGUUAAAUAAAAUGGGCAUUUGAUUAAAAAACUUUAUCUCUAUCUCCUUCUAUCAAAUAACGACAACUAUCCGAAGGGAAAAAAAAUUAGAAAAGUCCAUGGGUCACAAUAAUUUAUGGUCUGUUCCCGGACCCCAUUAUCUGCCACUAUCAAUGAUGAAAAUGAAAAUAAAUGGCAUCUUCCCAAAAUGGCAAAAGAUUUUUGGGGGAUAUGGGGGAAUUGUCAAAAGUUCACACAACGCGAAACAAGUGUUACAUCCAAUUUUAUUUCGUCAUAUAAUGAUAAUAUCAAAUAAUGACAACCAUCCAAAAGUAUGAUGGGUCUUCCACAAUUUUGAAAAUGUCGUCAACAUUUAAUCUUCAAUGCUAAAGAAGAUGAAAUGACCAAAAAUGACACGCAGGACCAACUUACAGACUAAAUGGCUCUGACCACAUGUAACAAACUUUGGCUUUAUGUCCUUGCUGAGGCGUUAGACUGUUGGUCAUUUUGAUUGCUUUUUACCUUCCAUUUACGCCAUUGUAGCAUUGUACUAUUCACCAUUUUAGCUGUUUAAAUGAAAUUGUUAUUUUUUUUUCCAAAAAUAAAAUGACACCCUUAAAAUUUUAGAAAAUAGCCAUGUAGAUCCCAAAUUUUUAAUAAAGAACACUAAUAUCAUUUUUGACUAUAGUACUCUUAGUAGAUGGUAACAAAAAAAAAUGACUGCAAAAGUUUUUACUAAAUGUAAAUAUGAUUUAAAUAGUUUAAAUUUUCUAGUAGACUAGUAUGUCUAAUUUAAAUAAUUAAUUUUUAAAAUGUAAUUUAAUAUAUUUAUUUUAAUAAUAUAUUUAUCAUAAAAAUUUUAAACAAAUCCUUGGGUUAAAUAGAUUUUAUAAUUAAUAUAAUAUUUCUCAUGUUUUAAUAAUAUUAAAAUUAUUUGAUAUGAUAUUGAAAAUAAUUAAAACUUUUAUAUAUUUAUUUGAAUAUUAUUUCUCUAUUUAUUAUAAUUUGGUUUAAUAGAAUACGAGAUUGUAAAAUAUUAAAAUAUUUUUAGGUAUUAAAAUUAUUUUAAUAUGUACAUAUUAUUAUAUUUAUUUUAAUAUCCUGCUUAUAUUUAUUAUAAAAUAUUAAAAUUAAUUUUUUUAGUUAAUAAAUUUAAAAAUAUAUAUUAUAAUUAAAAAAAGAGUCUUAUUGUCUGUUAUUUACGAUAUGAGGUUCUACAAAAUUAUUUUCAAAAGGAAAAAUAAGUCUAAGGGUUUCAACAAAUUCUAGUCCUAUCUGCCACUAUGACUAAUGGAAACGACAUUGCAAUUGACAUUGCUUUUUGUAAUAUGACAAAUUUUUGGAGGCAUAUGGGAGAAUCAUCAAAUGUUCACACUACGCGGGAGUUUUGGAUGGGAUCAGGGAGGAUUGUCAAGAGUUCACACCACGAGAAACCAAUGAUAGCCCUAAUUUCGCUGUCAGUUCUUUGUUUAUUUAUUUUAUUUAUUUCAUACAUUGUUGUCUUGUUGGCAUUGUUUUGUAAAAUAAAAGUAAAGUAAACUAUUAGGGUGCUGCUAGGUUAAGUUGUUGUAACUUACAGUCCCUUAAAAAAUAAUGUAAAAAAUUUAACAUGUGGUGGGAUCCACAUAUGUUUGAAGAGGCCGUAAGUUACAGUAGUUGUGACUUAGCAAAAUCCAAAUAUUAGACAAUAACGCACAUUAACAAUGCAUAUAAUUUGGGUUUUAUUUUUUUUUAAUUAUUUGAGUAUUAUCUAUCCUUAAGAUAUUAAUGUGAAUAUAAUUUAAUAUUAAAUAAUCAAAAUCUAUUUAAUCAUAAUAUAUAUUUCAUACAUUGCAUGUUUAAUCAAAAUCUGAUUGCUUUUUACCUUCUAUUUCGCCCACUGUAGCAUUCUACUAUUUACCAUUUUAGCUAUUUAAAUGAAAUUUAUUUUUUUUCCAAAAAUAAAAUGACACCCUUAAAAUUUUAGAAAAUAGUCAUGCAGACGCCAAAAUUUUAAUAAAGAACACCAAUACCCUUUUUGACUAUAGUACUCUUAUGGUAGCCACAAAAAAAAAAUGACUUCAAAUUUUUUUACUAAAUGUAAAUAUGAUUUAAAUAGUUUAAAUUUUCUAGUAGACUAGUAUGUAUAAUGUAAAUAAUUAAUUUUUAAAAUGUAAUUUAAUAUAUUUAUUAUAAAAAUUUUAAACAAAUCCUUGGGUUAAAUAGUUUUUAUAAUUAAUAUAAUAUUUCUCAUGUUUUAAUAAUAUUAAAAUUAUUUUAUAUGAUAUUGAAAAUUAUUUUAUAUGUAAAUCAUAUUUACAUUUAAUAGAAUACGAGAUUGUAAAAUAUUAAAAUAUUUUUUGGUAUUGAAAUUAUUUUAAUAUGUAUAUAUUAUUAUAUUUAUUUUGAUAUCCUACUUAUAUUUAUUAUAAAAUAUUAAAAUUAAUUUUUUUAGUUAAUAAUUUAAAAAAAAAUAUUAUAGUUAAAAAAAAAGAGUCUCAUUGUCCGUUAUUCACGAUAUGAGGUUCUACAAAAUUAUUUUCAAAAGGAAAAAUAAGUCCAGGGCUUUCAACAAAUUCUAGUCCUUCUGCCACUAUGACUAAUGGAGACGCAUUGAAUUGACAAUGCUUUUUGCAAUAUGACAAAUUUUUGGAGGGAUAUGAGAGAAUCGUCAAGCUUUCACACCAUGCGAGAGCUUUAGGUGGGAUAUGGGAGAAUUGUCAAGAGUUCACACCACGAGAAAUUAAUGACAAGCCUAAUUUCGUUGUCAGUUCUUUAUUUAUUUAUUUUAUUGAUUUCAUACAUUAUUGUCUUGUUGGUACUAUUUUGUAAAGAUAUAAAAGUACAAGUAAAAUAUUAGGGAAAGUAAAGUAAAAUAUUGGAGGUGAUGCUAAGUUACAGCUGCUAUAACUUACAGUUCCUUCAAAAAUAAUGUAAAAAAUUUAACACGUGGUGGGACCCACAUUAUGUUUGAAGAGGCCGUAAGUUAUAGCAGUUGUAAACUAGUAAAAUCCAAAUAUUAGACAAUAAUACACAUUAACAAUGCAUAUAAUUUGGGUUUGAUUUUUAAAAAAAUUAUAUGAGCAUUACCUAUCCUUAAGAUAUUAAUGAGAAUAUAUUUUAAUAUUAAAUAAUCAAAAUAUGUUUAAUCAUAAUAUGUAAUUCAUACAUUGCAUGUUAGAUUUGUUUGGAUUUUAAGUUGUUGCUAAUAAAUAUUUAUGUUGUGAAAGUCGAAUUCAAUAGCUACAAAAGCAGAGAUACUGGUAUUUUAUGUAGUUUUUAAGAAUACAAGAAUAAGACCAUAAUGCAUGAGAUAAUGGUAUUUUAUAUUAAAAGACCAUAACACAUGUAUUUGAGCCAUUUAUAUUGAGGACACAUAUAAAGCGAAGAGUGCAGAUCCGGCCGUAACUAUUGUGAAGCUUUCCUCAAGUAUUCUCAUGCACACAGCCCUUAUCUGGUCAAGUUCUCUGAUUCAAUAUAAUCAAUUUCCGAGUAGUACUGACGACAGCUUCUCUGUAAAGCUCUUCAACCACAAGCAUUUCUACAAGGCAAAAGACUAGGACGUAUUGGAAUGAAUAUCAAUAAGGGAAUGUCUUAUGAAUUUAGUUUAUAUCCUAAUAUAAGACAAUCAGUAAAUAUUGGAUGCAAUCUAAGGGCUAACAUUUGAUUGAUCAUUAUACGAAAAAAAAAAAAGGUGCAAAAAUACAAAACAUAGCUGAUUGAUGGCCUCUCACAGUCAGUUAUAUGACAAAGUAGCCACCACAACAAACUUUUUUUUUUGAACUGAUUAAGCAUCAGGUUACUGUAUUACACAUAGAGAUAUAUAUAACUGCUAUGACAGCAAGUCAUUAUACUGAUAUUUACAAUCAGAUAUAUACAUGAGACUUAUAUUAUUACAUUUUUAUUAUAUGAAGUACAUGCCCAUCCAAAUCUCCCUCACGGAGGAGGGAUGUCUCUACUCCACUCACAUUUCGCAAGGGAGAAAGACGUUAUAAGAAGUUUUCACCACAACAAACUUGAACUUGGGUGGAGGUCUCAUUAGUAGUAUACCUCAGAAAUUAAGACAAAGACUUUAAAAUGCAAACUUAUGGAGCAAUUUAAGCACUGAAACUAAUAACAGUACGGUAUUAGCAAUUGACCUCUGCUUUUGCUUAGACAAAGGUUUUCAUCACAAUGGACUCAUUAGUUGCCCUUGCCUCACACGUUUGGAUGCUAAGGGGAAAAAGGAAGCUUGAAUUAGUCAAUCUCAUUUCUAAUGGCAUUCACAGAGAACUUAUAAAACAAAAAAAAAAAAAAAUUAUAAAAAAAAAUUCAUCCAUAAAAAGCUUAGUAACGGAAAAAUCGACUCUUUUAUCUGCCACUGACGAAAAAAAAACUGAAGUAUUAAAUAGAUAAAGAAUUUAAUUUUUUUCUUGGAAAAACUAAUAAUAAAUUAACAAUUAGAUAAUACUAUUAAUUAGAGAUCUUUAAUAUUAAGGUUGUCAAAGAUAGAAUGUGUAUAAAAAUUCUUAAUUAUAAGAUAAUUACUAACUAAAAAGAGGCCUAAAAAAGAAGAUUUGCUAUUAUAAGUAAUACCAAAAAUAAAAAGGGAGACUUCCUAAUUGUGUAAUUGGUUAAAAAAGAGGAUUUGCUAUUAUAGGCCUAAUUUGCCUAUGCUUAAAACCGUUCCUGGAUGUAAAAAAAUAAAAAUUAUUGUUAAAUUCCUGACUAAUAAGGUCAUUGAAAGUAUUCAAAGGACCUGAACUUAUAGGAAAGCCAGCCAUGAUGAACUAUACCACGUUGCAAGUGAGCUCGUAUCUUCACCCCUUGAUCUGCCAUCGGCAUUUCUCUUCCACUCACUAUACCAUCCUUUUCAAUCGAUUUUUAUAGAUCAUAAGAGACCAUGUGGCCCACCUUAUUUUUAUUUUGGAUCCAUAACCCAAAGCUGGCCCAAGUUCUGAUUCCAGAAUCAUUUGUCUACAAAGUGACCUCAUUCCGGCAAUUGGUUUAUGCUAAUAGCACGUGCAAUUUUCAUUUUCUUCUUUUUAUUAAUUAAUUUCAUCAUUAUUAUUUGCUUAUUAUUUUAAAAUUAAAGCUAGCAUUUUUCAAAUUAAUUAAUUAAAUUGUAUUAAUGAAAUUAAUCUUUCAUUUUCUUUUCUCUUUCAAUGCACAAAGCCAAACAACCAUUCUCGCUUCAAAUACCGAAGAGCUCCUGACUACGGCUGUCAAUGCUUCUAUAUUUACGUGCUGUGCUGCAUCACUCUUAGCGAAAGCUUGAAUGAAUGAUUAAAGACAAAAGCUUAUAUAAAAGCAGAUGCCGGAGGCAGUCAAAAAGCAUUUGAGAGAGAAGCUAAACAGCAAAUCAUCAAACGCACUUCAAUGACUUUAUUUUGAUUUUGAUUUUUGUUUCGAAAGAAGUAGAAAAGUCCAUGGGUCACGAUAACUGCUUGUCCUAUGCCGUGACCUCAUUGUCCACCGCUAGUGUCAAAUAGAUUAAUCUUUCUAGUAGAUUAAUAUAAUUUAUAAUUUUAAUUUCAGUAUUAAUUUUUAAAAUGUUAGUUGUUAUAUUUAUUUUAAUAAUAUAUCUAUUUUUAGUAUAAAAAAUUUAAAUGUAUAUUUAGAUUAAAUAGAAUUUAUAAUUAAUAUAAUAUAUCUCAUGUAUUAAUGAUAUUUAAAUUAUUUUAUAUAAUAUUAAGCCUAACUUAGAAUUAUAUAUAUUUAUUUUAAUAUUAUGUUUCUAUAUAUUAUAUAAUAUUAAGCCUAACUUAGAAUUAUAUAUUAUGUUUCUGAGCCUCUCUCUAUAACACUAUAUAGAACCCUAAGCCUAAGUGUCACGGGAUGAGUGUUUUGCGCAGCUAACCCGUGCGGCACUUAGACAACUUUGCCGAAUGUUGCUAAGUAAGCCUAGAGAUUCUCGAACAAGAGAAGAGAGCAAUUGAGCCAAAGAAACUUGUAUUGCACAAAGAGAGAUUACAAUGCUUGUUGGAUACAAAUGCCUAAUGCCAUCCCAUAUUUAUAGGGGAGGCUUUGUCAAACUUGGCCUAACUUUGCCAAACUUUGCCAAACUCUAGAGUAUUCUACAAUUUCCUAGCUAUUUACAUGUGCUGGAAUUGUAUAAAGAAUUCUAGAAUAUUUACAUGUUCACAUGUGCUAGAGUUUCCUAGAACCUUCCGGAAUUGGGCCAAGCUAGCACUCUUGGCUUUGUGUUGGCUCUCUAGCUCGAAAUUGGGGCAAUUGGGCUAGCGAAUUGGGCGGUCCGCAACAACCUCCCCCACCUAUGCUCGCGGCGUCCUCGUCGCGCUCUCAUGCUUGAACCUCUGGAUGUGCUCAGCGAAUUGCCACAAACCAUCUUCACGUUCCCAAGUGGCUUCACUCUCGGGGAGGUUUUUCCAUUUCACCAAGUACUCGCUAUGUGCUGGCACGCCCCUCCUCGAAACCGUGCGGUCCGCAAUGAUGUAGUCCACAUCUUUGUCGAAUGCGGUGACAACGGCAGUUGGUGCGCGCCUUGAUUCUCCGCGACCUGGUUCUCCCAUGUCUUCGUGAUAUGGCUUGAGAAGGCUCACAUGGAAGACCGGAUGGAUCUUGAGUCUUGGCGGAAGUUGGAGUUGAUACGAGACGUUGCCCACACGUCGAACAACUCGGAAGGGUCCCUCGUAGCGCCUCACUAACCCCUUGUGAACUUUCCGCAAUGUCUUGAAUUGUUGGGGUAGGAGCUUGAUCAUGACUUGAUCUCCUUCCUUGUACUCAACAUGCCGUCUCCUUGUAUCCGCCCAUUUCUUCAUUUUCCUCGCGGCUUUGUCGAGGUAGGCUCGCGUGAUGUCCGCUUCCUCAUGCCAUUCGCGGGCGAGCUUGUGUGCCGCGGGGCUUUUCCCUCCGUAAGUCGAGGCUAUGGCAUUGGGAGUCAUUGGCUGGAAUCCCAUGAUGAUCUCGAACGGACUCUUGCCCGUAGCCUCGCUUCGCUGCAAGUUAUAAGAAAAUUGGGCGAUGUCGAGUAGCUUCGCCCAAUCCCGCUGGUGAGCGCUCACAUAAUGCCUCAGAUACAUCUCGAGGAGGCCGUUAAUGCGCUCGGUCUGCCCAUCCGUUUGUGGGUGGAAGCUUGUCGAGAACUUGAGAUCGGUCCCCAACAUCUUAAAGAGUUCCGUCCAAAACCGCCCAGUGAACCAAGGGUCUCGGUCGCUCACAAUGCUCUUCGGAACUCCCCAAAGCUUCACAAUGUGCUUGACAAAUAGGCGGGCUGCCUCAUCCGCUUUGCAAUCCACUGGUGCGGCAAUGAAUGUGGCGUACUUGCUGUGUCGGUCGACAAUGACCAUGAUGCUUCCGCAACCUUCGGACUUGGGCAGCGAUGUGAUGAAGUCCAUGGAGACACUUUCCCAUGGCCUUGUUGCUAGUGGUAGCGGCUCCAACAAUCCCGCUGGAAGUUGAUGAUCCACCUUGUCUUGUUGGCACACAAGACAAGUUCGCACAUAUGCCUCGAUGUCGUCCCUCAUGUGCGGCCAAAAAUACGAGGCUUGAACUAGUGCGGUGGUGCGCUCGAUUCCUGGGUGACCAGCCCACUUGGAGUCGUGGCACUCCUUGAUAACUUCCUUCCGCAAAUUUCCCCACCUUGGCACAAACAGCCGAUCUCCCUUGGUGAGGAGGAUGCCUUCCUCUUGCCAAAAUCGCCUUGUCUUCCCUUCGAGCACCUUCUCCAGCAAAUCCUUUGUUAGCGGGUCUUGUUGGAGGCCUUCCUUGAUGCGUGAGACAAGGUCGGACUUCGGUUGGCUCAUGCUAAGUGUUGCCAAUUCCGCCUUGCGGCUUAGAGCGUCCGCAACGACAUUGGCUUUCCCCGGUUUGUACUCUAGCCGAUAGUCGAAUUCCGCAAGGAAAUCUUGCCACCGUGUUUGCUUCGGACUCAACUUCUUUUGAGUUUGAAAGUAGCUUGUCGCCACGUUGUCCGUUAUGAUCGUGAAGUGUGAGCCAAGCAAGUAAUGUCGCCACACUCUUAGACAAUGGAUGAUGGCUGUCAUCUCCUUUUCUUGCACCGUGUAGCGGCGUUCCGUAUCAUUUAGCUUUCGACUCUCGAACGCUAUUGGGUGGCCUUCUUGCAUAAGGACUCCACCUAUGGCGAAAUCCGAGGCAUCUGUUUGAACUUCGAAGGGCUUGGUGUGGUCCGGAAGAGCGAGGACUGGUUCCUCCGAAAUUGCCUUCUUCAACUCCUCGAAUGGACGUUGGCACUCUUCGGAUCAAUGCCACGUUCUGUUUUUCUUGAGCAUAUCCGUCAAGGGUGCCGCCUUGGCUGAAUAGCCCUUGAUGAAAUGGCGGUAGUAAUUCACCAACCCAAGGAACGAGCGAAGCUCGGGUACUUUCGAGGGAGGCUCCCAAUCGAGGAUGGCCUCUACUUUGUCAUUCUCCAUCAUGAUCUUCCCGCCCGCAAUCUUAUGGCCAAGGAACUCCACCUCUUGUUGGGCAAACGAGCACUUCUCUAGUUUGAGGAAGAGCUCAUUGUCUUGAAGUACUUGGAGGACUUUUUGCAAGUGUUGGGCAUGAUCCUCGAGUGUGGUGCUAUACACCACGAUGUCGUCCAAGUACACGACCACGAAGCGGUCGAGGAAUGGUUGGAGUACCUUGUUCAUGAGUGUGCAAAAUGUGGCGGGUGCAUUAGUAAGGCCAAAAGGCAUCACAAGGAAUUCGAAAGACCCGUACCUUGUUGUGCACGCUGUCUUUGGUUCGUCUCCCUUGGCGAUGCGCACUUGGUAGUACCCGGAGCGCAAGUCAAGUUUGGUGAAGUACCGCGCUUUGCCAAGCUGGUCGAACAAGUCCGCAAUCAAUGGAAUCGGAUACUUGUUCUUGAUGGUGAUCUUGUUGAGCGCUCUAUAGUCGAUGCACAUCCGCAGCGAUCCAUCCUUUUUCUUUUGGAAGAGGACCGGUGCACCGAAUGGGGCCUUUGAGGGGCGAACGUAGCCUGCGUCCAGCAAGUCUUUGAGCUGUCUCCGCAACUCCUCUAAUUCGGGUGGCGCCAUGCGGUAGGGCGCCAAGGCUGGUGGCUUCGCGCCUUGUUCUAGCUCAAUCGCAUGAUCUACCUCUCGCGGAGGUGGGAGCUUCUUCGGAAGUUCUGGAGGCAUCACGUCCUUGUACUCAUUGAGGACGGCUUGAAUUCGCGGAGGGACUUGGCUUGGCGACGUUCCGCUAUUUCCUUCCUCGUUUAGUUCCCGAAUGGAGACCAAGAAGCUUGGGUCCUUCUUGAAAGCCCUCUUGAAUUGCAUGGCGGAGAGUUUCUUCUCCUCGGACUUGCCUCGUUCGGUGGGUACCAUGCAUGCUUUGCUCCCAUCGAGGAUGCUUAGGGAGUUUGUAGCGGGCAGCGGGAAGGCAUGGACUUGGUCGAAGAAUUCCAUGCCAAGGACCAUCUUGAAGUCAUCCAUGGGCACAAUGGAGAAAUCAAGCUUUCCGCUCCAUGUACCGAGUGUGAUGUGCACGCCUUGUGCAAUUCCCGCAAUUGGUUUGGCGGGUGAGUUUACUGCCUUCAUUGUGCCUCCUUCCUUGGUGGCCUUGAGGCCUAAACGCUUGGCCUCGUCUACGGACACGAAAUUGUGUGUUGCUCCCGUGUCUAGCAGCGCGCGAACAGACUGGCCGUUUACCUUUGCGCUAACAUACAUGAGCCCUUUCUUGGCUAGUGCGGGCUGUUGGCGGUUGAGUGCCCCGAGGCGUUGGAGAGAACCCAUGCUGAGUUGGGGUUCCUCCGUGGACAUUGUGGGGUUGCUCUUGAGUUGGGCAGCAAGAACAUUAAGCGACCGCUUCUCCGGACAGUCGCGUACCCAAUUUGGACCGUUGCAUAUGAAGCAUGGGCUUCGCGGCUUUGGCGCCUCCUUCUUGCCCUCCGAUUUUCCUUGCCAACUCUUGUUGCUAGACGGCUUUUUCUGCCCCCAAUCUUUGCGGUUGUUACCCUUGUCCUUGCGACUCUCUCCCCCACCUUUGCCUUGGUUGGCCUUUUUGUCCUUGGAUUGGGUAGAGUAUUCGGUGAGCGACUCCGCAACGGCGAUGGCGUCGUCAAGUGUUUGAACACCACGCCUAUCAAGCUCGGUCUUGGCCCAAUCCUUGAGGCCAUCUUGGAAGUAGAAGAGUGAAUCUUUGUCGGACAUGUCACUUAUCUCCAACAUGAGGGUAGAGAACUCGUUAAUGUAGUCCCGAAUGCUACCCGAUUGCUUGAGGCGACGUAAGCGCGCUCGCGCUUCCUUCUCUGCAUUGCUUGGGGUGAACUGCUUUCGGAGUUCUUGCUUGAAGUCGGCCCAAGUGUCGAUGGUGCAAAUGCCCUUGCCCAUCUCGCCAUGCUUGCGACGCCACCAUAGUUGUGCAGCGCCUCUAAGAUAGGUGGGUGCAGUGCCCACUUUCGAUGCCUCAUCUCGUACACCCAUGGCAUCGAAGUAUUGAUCCAGCCCGAACAGGAAGUUGUCCACGAUUGUGGCAUUGCGUGUGCCAUCGUAGGUGUCGGGCUUUGGCACAUCAAUGCGGCGCGCAUCACUCGAGUUUGCGGAAGCUGGACUUGCGGAGAGUGUGCGCUUGUGCCAUGCCCAAUCCGAGCGGACUUCAUCCACUUCCGCACGGACAGCACGUAGUUCGUCCUGAACAAAACUACGAAGUUUUAGCAACUCAUCAUGGAAAGAAUGAAACUCACCUCGGAGAAUGUUCGCUUGCUCAUGCAUGAGAGCUUUUGUGGCCACCGUGAACUCGGCGUAUUCUCCCUCGAGAUUGUCCACUCUUCUCUCUAAUCCCUCAAGGCUAUCUUGAGUGGCGGACAAGGCUAUUUCGAGAGUGCCUACACGAGGCUCCAAAGCAUCCACGGAUGGGGCCUUGGACUUGCCGCGAUUCUUGCCUUGGGCGCGUUCUCCCUCUCGGCCGCGGCUUGGUUCUGGUGGAACAUCCACACCAACAAAACCCUCUUGUGCUACGUUUGAAGGGUUGGCCAUUGCUUUGUGAGCUAAUUUGCGUGCGUGCAAACCUUAGCUCUGAUACCACUUGUCACGGGAUGAGUGUUUUGCGCAGCUAACCCGUGCGGCACUUAGACAACUUUGCCGAAUGUUGCUAAGUAAGCCUAGAGAUUCUCGAACAAGAGAAGAGAGCAAUUGAGCCAAAGAAACUUGUAUUGCACAAAGAGAGAUUACAAUGCUUGUUGGAUACAAAUGCCUAAUGCCAUCCCAUAUUUAUAGGGGAGGCUUUGUCAAACUUGGCCUAACUUUGCCAAACUUUGCCAAACUCUAGAGUAUUCUACAAUUUCCUAGCUAUUUACAUGUGCUGGAAUUGUAUAAAGAAUUCUAGAAUAUUUACAUGUUCACAUGUGCUAGAGUUUCCUAGAACCUUCCGGAAUUGGGCCAAGCUAGCACUCUUGGCUUUGUGUUGGCUCUCUAGCCCGAAAUUGAGGCAAUUGGGCUAGCGAAUUGGGCAGUCCGCAACAUAAGUCUCACAUUCGCAACCGCCCCACAUAUCAGAACCACAGCGAACUGCCUCCGACCCUUCGGACCCAAAAAAAUGAUUGUAUUCCUGCUCUUUCACUUUAAUAAUUUUUUGUAUUAUUCCAUAUCUUUCACUUUAAUAACCCAAAAGCUUUCCUCUGUUUCAACCCAAAAGCUCAAAUUCCUUUUUUCAAUCGAAAAUUGUGUUUGCCUAAUUUUUUAACCAUUUUUAUAUGUCCGUUAAACUUGACAGCCAAUGUGGUCUAUUCGCUAAACAGAGUAAACGAUAACAAUCAAUGGAAAUUGAAACAAAACCCACCAAUCAACAAAACAGAAUAGCCGAGGAAUCCAAUUUCAGGAAACAGCAGUUUCAAAACUCACCAGAGACAAAUGAUAAAACGAAGCUACGCCGUUCCUCGAUCGGUGAUAACUGGCUACAAGGUUUCUUCGCAUUCGUUGGCCUAAUUUUUUAACCAUUUUUAUAUGUCCGUUAUGCUUGACAGCCAAUGUGGUCUAUUCGCUAAACAGAGUAAACGAUAACAAUCAAUGGAAAUUGAAACAAAACCCACCAAUCAACAAUGUGGUCUAUUCGCUAAAUGGUUAAAAAAUCUAACCUUUGUUCACAAUAAUUGUAUUUGCCUCACUGUUUUUGUUUUAUGAGAUCUAUAAUUGAUCUUGGGAUAUUACUUUCUAGUUCUCAUGCAAGCAAGUUACUACCUUCCCACUGCAUCUCCUCCUUUAUCUGCUAUUCAAGAGUUGCGUGCCAUAAUCUGGUGUUACCUCUGCAAGAUUGUGAAUGAAUAUAACGCCUCUAAAUUUAUUUUAUACAUAAUGCUGAUGCUGAAUAAUAUAUUGUAGCUCCUGUCAUAUUCUACUUUGACUUUUUAUAUUCUGUUUCAUAUAAAAAUCUUAUUCAACUUUAGUUGUUCAUGAGCAAAUGUCACAUGUAUAAGCCCAAAUGAUGUUUAAAGGUAGCGCGGCUACCUUUAGUUUGAGCUGACAAUGGAUGAAAAAGAUAUUGAAACUGAUAUUUUGCUGUUUUUCUGAUUUUUCAAAGUAUUUUAGAUCCUGACUUUUGUUAAGUUGUUUCCAACACCUCGUGCCAAAUGAAAGCACAAUCUUUCUGAUUCAGAUGUCUUGUUAAUUAUGCUUCAUUUUUUCAUUAAAGAUUGGAUGGUUACAUGGAUUGAUGGAGUUGGAGUUCAACCAAUAAUUCUAAUUUUUUGGACUUAAAAUGCCUUUUUCUUCUGUAUAAAAACUUUAGUAAGUGCUAUUGAGUUGACAGAAGUUGCAUACUUACAGGUUGUUUCACACUUUUUAGUAGUUUUACAUAUAUGAAUUUCUGUUUUUUGAAUUGCAGAAAGGAGGUGGAACUAUUGAUUUGGAGCCUUAUCUUACUCACUCAUCGACAACGGAGCCUACCCUCACUCCCAUGGCAGUGGAACGGACAACGACUACUAGGGCUGCAACAUCAGUUGGUUUGGGUCUGUUUUGGGUUUAUUGUCAUUUAUUUGGGUAUGUUUUGAUAGCGAAUUUUGAUAUGUCAAUAGAAUGUGUAAUUGUUUUGGGUUGAGCUGGUAAUUAUGCUGGAUUAGAUUGGUUUGGUUUUGGUGCUUCUCUGAUGGAACACUGCUUUUUUUAGAAAUUUUGAAUGUAAUAUGAGACUACAUUUAGUUUAAUUGAACACUGCAUCUAGUCUAAUUACUAGAAGUGUGGCAUUUGGUUUGGUUUAUCCGAUAUUCUCCAGAAUUUCACUUGCAUCUGGUUUUGUUGCAUAUGUUUGUUUGCUUGCAUUUGAUGGCAGUAGCAGACUGUUUGUUUUUGUGACAUUUGAUGGCAGUUUGGUCUGUUCUUGGUGUUGAUUUAAGAUUCUUCCUGUUGUGCUGAUGUUAAUUGCAGGUGCUUGAAUCAGCUAGGGUUGCUGGUUUAUUCAGAUGGUUGACUCAGGCGUUGCUACUGGUUAAUUCAGGUGGCUGACUCAAGUUGUUCAUUUAAUGUUAGGAAGCAAAUUAGGAAUUAAUGAAGUAUUCAUUUAACUAUAAUUAUUGUAGUUAUUUUAUUUCAUAACUGAAUUAUAAUCUAUGAUACUUGUGAACAAAUUAGAGAAUUUUUAUAUAUGAAUUAUAUAUAUGUGUGUGUAUGUACAUUUUGCUAUUUAUAUAAUAAUUUAAAGAAUAUAUUUCAAUUCCCACAAAAAAAAGGCUCCAAUUUCAAUAAUUCCCGCCAAAUAAUUAAAUUUUUUUAAUUUACCACCAAAAUAUAUCUUAAGUUAUUCUUGCUAGAUUUAACAAAAAUAAUUUGUAGGAUUAACAUUUAAUUAAAAUAAUUAAAUAAUUUUAUUAUUCCAAUUAAAUAUGUCAUGCUUAUACGACAGACAAUAAUCAUGAAUGGGAAGUAUUAGUAACAUAUUCUUCCUUGGGAUUUCAGGCAAAUGAAAAAAAGAUUGAGAAUGAUUUCAAGAGGACAGGUGGAUGAUAAAUAUUCAUUUUUGUAUAUUUGGCUAAUGUCCUCAUUAGUGGAUUUUUAUGGUAUUGAUCUUUUUCUUUUUUUAAAAAAAUUUUCAAUUAGUUGCAGCCCUAGAGGAAGAGCAGGCUGAUCAAAUUGAUUUGUCUUGUUUUUCGGGCAAUCUACGACACGAUGACCGUGAUAAUGCUCGUGACUGCUGGAAACUUUCUGAUGGAAAUAACUUUAGAGUUCGUAGCAAGCAUUUUUGUUAUGACAAAACAAAGGUUCCCCCAUAUUUUGUUUGUUUGUUAUGGUAUUUAUAUAUCCUGCAUAGGCUAGGUAGACAGGUUAUGAUGUAGUUUGGUUGGCUCUUCUUGUGCUUUGUGCAAUUUGUAACUGCAGAUACCUGUGGUAAAACAUUUAAUGGAUCUUGUUGCUGUUGAUUGGUUCAAAGACACAAAGAGAAUGGACCAUGUAGCUAGGCGUCAAGGCUGUGCUGCACAAGUAACUAUUCUUUUCUUUUUAUUUAAAAAAAUAAAACACAUUGCCAACAAGGAUCUCUUCAUUGAACAUGUGUCUAGUUCUGAUAAGCUAGCUGAUGUGCUUACCAAACCUCUGAGUUUUGAUCAUUUUGCCUAUAUGCAAACUAAGGUCAAUGUCUGCCCAUGACCUUGAGCUUACGGGGGCAUUUUAAGAAUAACAUAUGCUGAGUCAUCAAGCCAUGCUGGAAGUCAGUUUUGCAGUUAGUUAGAGAGCUUAUCAGCUUCCCUCCAAAAGUUUGUUAUGUGUAUUAGAAUCUGGGCUCACGAGUUUUGUGAGAUUGUAACCUUGAGAAGAUUCUCACACUACUAUAAAUUGUAUUGUGACUCAAUUAAUAAAAUAAGUUGAAGCUUUGCAUUUUCUCUCAGUCAAAAUUUUCUCUCUAUUUUUCUAAGUAACCAAACAAGAUCUACAGAGCAUUUUGUAUUUUAACUGGAGCGGCUGAUUGGUGCUGUACGUGUUACAUUUUUACUUUUUUAACUCAAGUCUGCUGUUGUCCCAAAGUUGGAACUAGAGAUAUCAUUUCACCUCAACUGUGUUUUUUUUUUAAUUAAAAAAAUCAUUUGUUUUAGGUAUACAUACAUGUAUUUUAAUUCUAUUUUCCUUGUAAUUUCUCCUUUACUUUGAAUGAAAGUCAUUGGUGUUUUCGAAUGGGAAUUUUGCAUUAAAAAAUUAAGAAUAGUUAAUAGGAAAUUUCCUGAUUCUUUAGUUACUAUUUUUGGUAUGAGUGUAAUUAGUAGUAAAGUUGGUUUCUACUCGCAAACAAGUGAACUGCUCGAUUCCCAAGUGCUAUUAACCAGUUUCCAACUUUUUAAUAUACACUAAUUGUUCCUGUUUAAUAGCUACUACUAUUAAAACUCAACAGCUAACAAAAAUACUAAAAAAAAAUGAUUUUUUCUUAUGAUGCUGUGAAAAAAAUUACGGGUUUACUUAUUUCCACGAGAUCUUGUAUAGUGUUCUUGUAUAGUGGAAUUAAGAUUGUCUUCCCGAUGGUGCAAUUCACCCUCUUCCUUUACAGUCACUUGCACUUUGUGCAGCUUUGGUGUGGAUAAGAUUCCCAGGGAAAAAGUCUUCAUGUUCGGACAAUGUGUCACAAAUACUCGUUCCAAUGAUGGGAAUUCAAGAGUGUAAUUCUCCAAACAAAAGCUGGUAAGCCUUGGUAAAUCAUCAAGUUCCAAAAGUUUUAAUUCUUUGAAAGCAAUACGAUUCUCCUUCGUUUCUUCUCCAGCAUGUCCUACGAUUUGUUCUAAUUUUUUGCAGUUCCAUACAUAAAGAUUCACCAGACUAGUAGGAAUUCCAACCUGAAAAUAAGCAGAGAGUGUGUGUGUGUGUUAAAAAAGUAAAAAUGUAAGAGUGUCAUUCAACUAAGCUCAAAGUAUGUUUGAUAAUACAAUUAUACGUUUUAUGAACAUAACAAACUGUGAAAUGUCUACUAGAUAUUUUUUGUUAAACAAAAAACGUAACAAGAUAAAUAAAUAAAUAAAUAAAAGCCAGAUAAACAAAGAUGAUAAAAAUGUAUUUACACUAUUUAGUAUUAGGGACGUAGAAAGAAUUUAAGGCAAUUUCUAAAUAUUUUAGACUUAUUUUGCAUCUUGAUAUAAGUUUUUAAGCAUAAAUUUGCACAUUUCAACUAUUCCUUUAAAAAGAACUCAACUAAAAUGCCUCUUUUUCCCUUUUCCUUGGUCCCCUUUUUUUUAUAUAUAUAUAAAAAUGGAAAAAAAAAUUUGGAAAAGACUUCUUAGUACUGUCAACAAGGGAUUGCUGUAAAGUGGAUCUUUAUUAAGUACUUCCAGACUCGAGGAAAUUUCUUUACAAUCUCAAAAAAAUAGUAAACAAUCAUGAAUUUGUGGUUAAUUAAUGGCAUAAUCAAUUCUUAACUAAACUGGAGAUAUUAAUUAAAUUUGAAGACUUUUUUUUUCCGAUCGAAAUGUGAAGAACUAUGGAACAGAGAAAUAUAUAGAUGAAUUUGUGAACUUAUAAGAUGAGUGACUAUCCUUUAAUUUUUGAAAAUCGUACUUAUUAAGAUAUGAGCAAAAACAAUUAAAUUGAAUUAUAUUAUGCUGUUGAAUCUGUUUAAAAAAAUUAUAUUGUUGAUUCUAAUGCUGGUGAACCUAAAAACUAGACUUAAAACGUAGAUUUCAGAGUGGUGGUUUGAAGUACAAUAUUUGAAAUAAAUAAUUAGUGGCUGAAUAUCAUUUGUAAACACAGAAAUGAUUAAAAAAUUGUUGAAUGUUAUUUGAAAAAAAAAAUCGAAAUGAAUACAGAAACCUUACCAAUGGAGGAAAAAUAUUCAUUAGGUUAUCACACUCUUCUAUCUCCAAAUUCUUCAAUUUCCUGAAAGACUCUGAAGCAAGCUGGUGGUGCCAUAUUGUUCUUAGGUUAUCCAUCCACGCAAUAUAUAAUACCUCCAACCUAGGAAGUCGUACCUGGCAGUUAAAGAUUAAAUAACUAAUUAAUCAAUUAAUGGCAUAAUCAAUUGAUAACUAAAUUAGAGGCGGAUAUUAACUAAAUUUGAAGACUCAAGGAAAAGACAAAUCAAGUAUUGUGACUAAAAUUAUUUUUUUAAUUAAAAAAAAAACCUUUUCAUCAAAGAGAGGAGGAGGUUGCAUUUCAGAAUGAAUGGUAUCUUCUGGUGAGCUCGUAGAGAUGAAUCUUAACAUAUUACUGCAACAACCAAUCAUGAGGUUUAGCAAAGAAGGGAAUUCAACAACUAAAUCUGUAUGAAUAUGUCCCAUAUUGGCAAAGCUACUUAGUCUUGGAAGCCAUUCUAGCUGCAGGGAGUGUAGCUUAGGAAAAACCUUUAAUUCAAUCAACUUUCCUUCAUCUCUUUCUGACCAUCCCGUGGUGUCGACUACCCCUUCCAUUGACUCACAAUAGCUUAUCUCAAGAUGUUGGAGUUGCAAAAGGCUAUUAACCAUAGAAUAUGAAAACAGAUACUUCAGACGAUAACACCUUUCCACAGUCACUUUUGUUAAAUUUUGACAACAGUACAUUCUUUGAUUAUGAUCGGCCCAUAAUUUUUUCAUGUUUCUUAAGUCCCUGAGAUUCAAUUCCUCUAAGCUCGGAAGAAUAACCUGCAAAGAAAACCCGUACAUUUUUGUUCCUUCAAGUACAACCGUCUAGUAUAAUAUUCUUUUGAUGAUCGAAGAUUAAUCGUGAUAAUAAAUUAAUCAAUUAAUUAUUGAACAGAAAAUUAUCACCUUUGGAGCAGGAUCAUCAUCAGCAAUGAGUUCCUUGAAUCCCAAAGAAGUUGUUGGUUUGUCCAUGUCGGGUCCUAUAAACAAACAAAAACAAUAUACAUAAUUAAUCUUUGUCGUUGUCUUUUUUUUAAAAAAAUAAUUGAGGCGAAGUCCAUAAAUCCACCAACACUUAAUUUCAACACUUACCAACAAUCAUUUCCAGAUCAUCGCAAAAAAACACUUCUACCUUUUGAAGCCGCAGUAGGUUUUUGGCCAUGGAGAAUGAGAAAAGAUGCUUCAAUUCGUGACAGUCUGAUACUUUUAUAAUCCUUAAGUUGCUGAAAGAUUGAUCUUCUGUGAGUUGGAUGUCACAUAUUGUCUCCAAAUUGAUCAAACGACGAAGAGACAAUGACUCCAGCAAGGGGAAGACUUUGCGACGAACCCGUCCAACUGAACAGACAAUAUGCAAAAUCUCAGAACAACUUUUUACAGAAAGAUGCUUCAAUCGUGGAAAACCUUCCCCAUCAUCUAAUUCAUGAACAACAUUCUGAACACCCUUCAGUUCUCCUAGAUAGAGAUAUUCAGUUCUCUUCAACAACAGUUUCAUCCUGUAAUUCUGCAAAAGAAUGCCAAACUUUUCUAGCCCCUGGAGCUUCAUCAAUCUUGAUAAUCCAGUUUUAACGGACCAGCUGCUCCACCACUUAUUUCCUAUACAUAUCUUAUAGCUUUGCAAUUCCACAGAGACCAAAUCCUGCGGUAGAAUUUCGGCAUCCCGAACGUGUAUCUCCAAAGUAGUUAGCUUUGACAACCCCUUCAACUCAACAAGACUGGCGUUACUUCCUCCUUCAACCUUCUCCCACAGUGAAAAGCUGUUACCAAUAUAUAGUUCUUCUAAUCGAGAUAAUUUUGAUAUGACAUUUGGAGCUAUCACCACAAGGCUGCUACAAUUGCUCAAAUCUAGCAACUGUAAUCUCGUCAAUUGUCCAAUUACAAGUGGCAACUCCUUAACAUCAGAAUCUCGGAAGCUGAGAAUCUCUAAUUUCCUUAGCUGUCCAAUUAUAGUUAUAUCGUUCAGUCGGCAACCAUCUAAACAUAAUGUUUGAACGUUAAUGAGGCAACCAAGUGAUGAAGGUAAUGAAGAGAAAAAUAUUCCAGUAAAAUCUAAAACUUUGAGUUCUUCUGUCCCUUCAAAAAAGAGGUCUGAAAUUUGCAAAGAGCUAUCACGCUUUGAAAACAACAAAAGAACUCGAGACGGGGACAUUCCAACCUUUCGGGAAGCUCUUGAAUAUCUCUAUAAGGUAAAGAAAUAGCUAUUGGACCUUCCCGUAUUGUCUCUUCCAUCUUUUUCUCCACGUAGGCAACAUUUGGAAUAUUAAACAUGAGCUCCUCUUCUGCAAUUGAUACAGUAACAGCAUGAAUGAUGUCAUGCAUUUUAACUUCAUCUUCGGCAUCACUGUCCAACAAUAAGCACGAAGAUUUGAGUUUGCCGAUCAACGUAUGCACUCUACUCCUUGCUUCUUCCAGUGUGUAAACGUUUUUAAAAUAGCCCAUACCCAUACCAUAUCUCAAUAAGUCAGAAACAUGUAUACCACGACCUUCAUUAUAUAGACCACAAAGAAGGAACAGAGAUUUUGCUUCCUUACUUCCCAGUAAGUCGUAACUCAAUUUUAUGGAGAUGUACACAUUUCUUUCCAUUCCAUCAAUUUCUUUUGCAUUGGAACUUCUUAGCUGACGCAGCACAUCCUUCCAAGUGUCAAGCCUCUCAUUUUUCAAAGCUUUUGCAAGUGUAAUCAGUGCAACAGGCAAUCCUCCGCAUUUUUCAACGAUCUCAUCUGCUAAAGGUUGAAAAGCAGAUGCUUUUGCAGAAUUACACACUAUCUUUCCAAACAAUUGCAAUGCUUCUUCCUUUGAUAAAACUUCAAUUGAGAAAUCCUUCUGAGAUUUCAUAUCAUUGCGCAAUAAAUCUCGACUUCUAGACGUCAAUAUUAUUGUGCGUCUUCUCCGAUCGUCCUCUCUAUCUUUCUCAUCAACAUCCCCAUAAGGAAUUCCAACUGUAUCGAACUCAAGUUUUGUCCAAAUAUUAUCCAGUAUAAUGAGGAGCCGCUUCUCUUGCUUCAACCUUUGACACAGUCGAGAAGCUCUUUGAAAUUCAUUCUCAUUCAAGUCAAAUUCCAUGCCUAAAUCAAAAGCAAGUUUGUCUUGAAUUUUAUGAUGAUCUGGGGUCUGUGUUAUCUCAGCCAUAACGAACUUAUCGAACAACUUAUCUUCCAUCACUUGGUUUGCAACUUGUUUGACCAGCGUGGUUUUGCCCACGCCGCCCAUCCCAUAGACCCCAAUUAUGUUGACUUUGUCAUCCUUCACCGCCUCCACAACAUCUUGAAAUACUUUCAUUCUUGAAUCAAACGCCUCGAAAUCUUUCACUUGCAUAUGUUCUGCCCGCUUUGGAGCAGGACGGUAGGAAACAUUGGAGAAGUUGCCUUUUCCCACGAGACUAGCGGCAGCUUCUGCCGCCUUUGCUGCUUGUUUACUAAGCUUGUAACGAGAAAUCAAGUUUGGGCAUAAUCCUUUGAAGCAGGACUUCUUAGCUCUAUCUUCAUCAUCAAUGACGGAUUUUGCAACCCCUUCACUGAUGAAUUCAUUAACGCUAUGUAGCCAGUCUGUGACACCCUCAUAAAGCUCAUCCCCUUGUAGCCUAGCAUGAUUAACUGGUUGCUGCACCAUUUCUCUCUUAUAUCCCAGCUGCUUCACUUGAACUUUUAGCUCAUCUAUGUAGCUCUGGUACUUGAACACAUAAGAUAUCUGCCGUGUAAUCGGGUUGAACAGUGACUUUGCACCUUCUGAUACACAGUUGGUUAAAAAAGCGAGACACGCUUCUAUAGCCAUUGCCUGUUGCUUAACAAUAUAUAUCUAGUUUUUUGGCUGUUGAAAAAAAAAAAUGGAUUCAAAUAAAUUAAAUGAACUAGCGGGGAAGAAAAAGAAAGAAACGACAACAAACAACUUUUUAGAAAAAGGUUUCAGGGGCCUGAAUGGAAAACCAACAAUUUUUUGAGGAAAGAAAACUUUUUUGGAAGAUGGAUGCAAAUUAACCAUUAAUAAUACUGCAUAAGAACACAGAAGUUGACAAUAAACAGUAACUUAAAACUCAAGAAAAUUAAAUGACAAGAUUAAGACAAACAAGAGAUAGUUUUUGUCGGACAUUAAGAAACAACUGCUAUCAAGAUCAAAGAUUAGAAAUUAUGCUAUUGAAAGAAAUUAUUAAAGUAUUUAGAACAAACGCACCUCUUCAAUUAUCUAGGAUCACGGAGUUUAUGAGCUUCACUCUUGGCCUUCGAUUUAUAAGAAAAAAUUUAAUGAGCAAAAGAUCACUGUUGACUGCAGAAGAAUGUGAGUAAGCAAUACAAUUGAAUUGUAAAAGAACAAGACUUAAAGCGUGCACCCCGUGUUCAUAUAAACAGAACACAUGUUCAUUUUUAACAAAGUGAUCAAUAACUAUAUUCGUUAUUUAAUUGAUAUUGUAACCAAUUCUAAGAGAAUAUAAUAAUAAUCAUUCAAUCCAUAAAUUUAGAAUUAGAUUUUUUUAACUCUUUAUUUAAAUAUAAACCUUAAUGGAAAAUUAUAAAAGUUUAGAGAUAAAAUUUUUCAAUCACCAAACGAAAAAAACAGGGGAAUGAAAACAGAGGAAUCUUGUUUUAACUAUUUUUUUUUCCUCAACUCUUGUUCUUAUAUUAAUAAUCUUGUUUUGAUGAUAGUGCUCGUGACUGCGGGAAAAUUUGUACUGGAAACAACUCAAUUUCGGAAGAAAACUUAAUUUUGCAAGUGAUGAAUUUGAACUCGUUGGAUUGGUUGAUUUAUGAUUGACUGAAUUUCACUUUUGCCCAAAAGAUCUUUAACCAAAGUUUAAUAGCCAUCAUGUACUCCUUAAAAGCAAUUUUUUUUUUUAGAUUUGACUGAAUUUGAACUUGUUGGAUUGGUUGUUUUUAGAUUAUUAAUAUGAGAUAUUACAACGUAAAUAUUUUCAUGUGGUUGAGCCCUAUUCUAAAAUCUGUAUAGUUAGCUUUAGAAAAAGGGCUUUUCCUGCUGAUCUGUAAUCUUCAAAUAAACUUAGAUACAAAUAAUGAAAUAAAAGACAACAAACACGCNNNNNNNNNNNNNNNNNNNNNNNNNNNNNNNNNNNNNNNNNNNNNNNNNNNNNNNNNNNNNNNNNNNNNNNNNNNNNNNNNNNNNNNNNNNNNNNNNNNNNNNNNNNNNNNNNNNNNNNNNNNNNNNNNNNNNNNNNNNNNNNNNNNNNNNNNNNNNNNNNNNNNNNNNNNNNNNNNNNNNNNNNNNNNNNNNNNNNNNNNNNNNNNNNNNNNNNNNNNNNNNNNNNNNNNNNNNNNNNNNNNNNNNNNNNNNNNNNNNNNNNNNNNNNNNNNNNNNNNNNNNNNNNNNNNNNNNNNNNNNNNNNNNNNNNNNNNNNNNNNNNNNNNNNNNNNNNNNNNNNNNNNNNNNNNNNNNNNNNNNNNNNNNNNNNNNNNNNNNNNNNNNNNNNNNNNNNNNNNNNNNNNNNNNNNNNNNNNNNNNNNNNNNNNNNNNNNNNNNNNNNNNNNNNNNNNNNNNNNNNNNNNNNNNNNNNNNNNNNNNNNNNNNNNNNNNNNNNNNNNNNNNNNNNNNNNNNNNNNNNNNNNNNNNNNNNNNNNNNNNNNNNNNNNNNNNNNNNNNNNNNNNNNNNNNNNNNNNNNNNNNNNNNNNNNNNNNNNNNNNNNNNNNNNNNNNNNNNNNNNNNNNNNNNNNNNNNNNNNNNNNNNNNNNNNNNNNNNNNNNNNNNNNNNNNNNNNNNNNNNNNNNNNNNNNNNNNNNNNNNNNNNNNNNNNNNNNNNNNNNNNNNNNNNNNNNNNNNNNNNNNNNNNNNNNNNNNNNNNNNNNNNNNNNNNNNNNNNNNNNNNNNNNNNNNNNNNNNNNNNNNNNNNNNNNNNNNNNNNNNNNNNNNNNNNNNNNNNNNNNNNNNNNNNNNNNNNNNNNNNNNNNNNNNNNNNNNNNNNNNNNNNNNNNNNNNNNNNNNNNNNNNNNNNNNNNNNNNNNNNNNNNNNNNNNNNNNNNNNNNNNNNNNNNNNNNNNNNNNNNNNNNNNNNNNNNNNNNNNNNNNNNNNNNNNNNNNNNNNNNNNNNNNNNNNNNNNNNNNNNNNNNNNNNNNNNNNNNNNNNNNNNNNNNNNNNNNNNNNNNNNNNNNNNNNNNNNNNNNNNNNNNNNNNNNNNNNNNNNNNNNNNNNNNNNNNNNNNNNNNNNNNNNNNNNNNNNNNNNNNNNNNNNNNNNNNNNNNNNNNNNNNNNNNNNNNNNNNNNNNNNNNNNNNNNNNNNNNNNNNNNNNNNNNNNNNNNNNNNNNNNNNNNNNNNNNNNNNNNNNNNNNNNNNNNNNNNNNNNNNNNNNNNNNNNNNNNNNNNNNNNNNNNNNNNNNNNNNNNNNNNNNNNNNNNNNNNNNNNNNNNNNNNNNNNNNNNNNNNNNNNNNNNNNNNNNNNNNNNNNNNNNNNNNNNNNNNNNNNNNNNNNNNNNNNNNNNNNNNNNNNNNNNNNNNNNNNNNNNNNNNNNNNNNNNNNNNNNNNNNNNNNNNNNNNUAAACUUUUUUUUGGGGGGGGGGGGGGGGAGCAUGCAAAUUUACCAAAAGAAAUAAUAAGAGCACAGGCUUUAACAAUGAAUAGUAACUUAAAACUCAUGCAAAAUAAGUUACAAUAUGAAAACAAACCAGAGAAAAUUUUUUCUUGGAAAGUAGAUGGAACUUAAGAAAGAGCAGAUGUCAAGAUCAAGGAUCAGGGAUUCUACUAUUAAAAAAAAAAAAAAAUUAUUCAAGGAUUUAGAAAACGUGCACCUCUUUAAUUAUCUGGGAUUAGAGAGUUGGUGAGCUUCUCUAUUUGGCCUUCAAUAUUUAAGAACAAGUUGAAAGAGGAAAAAGAUCACUGGUAACUGCUGAGGAAUGUGUGAGAAAAGAGUUGAUGAGAGCAAUAACAAUGACCUGCAAAAGAAAAAGAAUUAGUCACGCACCGCUUUUCUAUAUCAUGUAUUUGGUUAUUGUUGCCCUGUUGACGCAUGUUGAAGAAGAAAGCACUAGUACACAACUCUAUGUUUUCAUAUAUUCUAAAGAAAUAAUUAAGUUUUCAUAGAAUAAUACCUGUUGUGUUUGAAUAAUUUGGUAUCUACAUUGCUUGUGUACUGUGAAAUUGAAAUGAAUAUUGAUUGACAGAGCAAUGUAUAUACCUAAUAAAACAUAAAGCAAAUCCUUGAACGAAUGAUUCGGGACUAAAACUUUUAUAAAAGCAAAUACCGGAAACACACAAAAAGCAUUUAAGAUAGAAACUAAACAGCAAAUAAUCGAAGUAAGAUCAAUAAUAUAUGAUUUGAUUUAUGCAUAUUCAAAAACCAAAAUUUAAAAUAAAAUAAAAAAUAAAGUUUGAUUUAUUCUUUCCACAAAAAACAGGGGAGUGAAAACAGAGGCAGCUUGUUUUACCAAUUUUUUCUUCUUAAUUUCCGGCAAAAAAAAAAAUUCAAUAAACAGGGGAAUGAAAACAAAGGAACGAAAACAGAGGAAACUUGCUUUUCAGGCUAUCUUGUGACAUGAUGAUAUUGCUCGUGAAUGCAUGAAAAUUUCUAAUGCAAACAGCUCAAUUUGGGAUGAUAAGCUUAAGUUUGCAAGUGAUGCAAGUAAAUAAGUUUUUGCGGUUAAUUGAAUCUUUAAUACUCUGGGCCCUAUUCUAAAAUUUGUAGGUUGCUUCAGAAGAAAGGGCGGUUCUCACUCAUCUUUAAUCUCCAAGUAAAAUUAGAUACAAAGCAAAUCUAAUAAAAUGACAAACAAACAAACAAAACAAAGAAAAGACAGGAGGCAAACAACAUUGAUCUUAAGCCAACUGAUAUUUAAACAGAGAAUUCUUUUCUUUUAUUUUUUUAACCACCUUUUGCUCAAGGAUUAGAGUUUUUAUAUUAACAGAAAGGUUUCAGGGGUCUGAAUAAAAGCCCACAAUUUCUCUAAUUGUUUUUUUUUUUUUUUUUUUGGGAAAAAUGGAUGCAAAUUAUCCAAAGCUAAUAAUAAGAACACAGACAUUACAAAUGAACAAUAACUUAAAACUCAAGCAAAAUAAAUGACAAGAUGAAAACAAACAAGAUAAAUUUUUUCUUGGAAAUUAGAUGGAAAUUAAGGACUGCUAGUAAAAGAUAUUAUUAGAUGAUUUAGAACAUGUGUACCUCUUUAAUUGUCUGGGAUCAAAGAAUUGAUGAGCUUCUCCAUUCGCAUUGAAUAUUAAGUAAGAACGGGUAUUCAAAGAAAUUAUUAGGAAAAAUUUUAAUGAGUAAAAGAUCACUGUUAACUGCAGACGAAUGUCCUAGUAAAAUGUUGAUUUGUGUAAUAACAAUGAAUUGCAAAAGAAGAAAACUUAAUCAUGCACCCCUUUUAUACCCGAGUUUUAAGAUUUAAUUUUUGAAGUUCAGAAUCAAGACCAAAAGCCGAAGCUUUAACAAGGCAUGCAGUGAGAUACAAGAAAUGGAUCGGGUAAAAUACUUUAAAAAAUGUUGUUCAACUCAAUUAACUUGAAGAAAGCACUAAUUUCAUAUGUUCUAAUGAAAUAAUCAAGUUAAAAGUUUUCAACGAAUAAAUACCUGUUGCGCUUGAAUAAUUUUGGCAUAUACAUUACUUGUAUCCUGUGAAAUUGAAAAGAAUAUUGAUAUGCAGAGCUUAUUAGUAGAGAGAAAGCUUUGUAAGAUGCCUGAUAAAAGAGAAACCAAAAGCUUGAAUGAGGAAUGACAUCUUAGAAAGAAACUAAACAUCAAAGUAGGAUCAAUAAUGACUUGAUUUAUGCUUUUUUGUUAUUUCAUUUGUUCUGUCAACAAAUGAUGCCUCGUUAUUACGAGUUCCAACCUGGACGUUAUGCACAAAUUGUUUUUAUGUUUAACAGAAAAAAAUGAAAGCAGGUCACCAUACAAAAUUGCAUGAACAAAUCUUCAAUUUAAUGAUUAUAAAAUAAAAUAAAUUUUAUUAAUAGAUUAUGGGUAUGUUAACGUUAGGGAUUUGAUCAGAUGAUCAUAUGAUUUACUAAACGCUUUAACAAGAACAAGAAAAAGAAUUAAUGGGUUAAAAAAAAUUUAAAAAUAAAAUAAGAGAGAAGUAAAGAACUUAUUUGCAAUUACCAAACUGAAAAAAUGCGAAAUGAAAACAAGGGAGCCCUGUUUUUCCUCACAUUUUUUUUCUCUCUUUUUCAAGUGGUGAGAAUGAUAGCAGAAAAUGCGAGCUCACUAUUUUCAUUUGUUGGCCUAAAAGCCUUCCUCCAAGAGAUGCAUAAAUUUUAUUUGUACAUUUGUUCCAUUUUAAGUACACAUUGUUGCAUGCAUUUUGAACUGUAUUAUCAAUCCUUUUUGUUUUCAGUUGGUUAGUUCAUAAUAACAAAUGAAUUAUAUUAUUUUGCAUGGAUCGAAAUUUAACUUUCCCUCUUUAUUUGUCCCACAACUAAAUAGUCUCAUCUUUUGUAGUAAGCUCGCAGUACGUACGGGGAACUACUGUAUGGGUGCUUUAGCCUAAAAUGAAGAUCUAUUAAAAAUUUCCCUAAUAUCAUGAUAUUAAACAUUAAAUAAUAUCAACAUUUUGACUUCCAUUUUGUUUUUUGGAUGGAGGAUGUUCCAUCUUCUAUUUUAGGUGCUUUGUAAGACUUUUAAUUGAACAAUUGAUGCAAUCAGUAACAAAGGCUUUACUUACAUAUGCAAGUAAAAUUUGCAGGUUGCUUCAGAAGAACGGGCAGUUCUCACUCAUCUUUAAUCUCCAAGUAAAAUUAGAUACAAAGCAAAUCUAAUAAAAUGACAAACAAACAAACAAAACAAAGAAAAGACAGGAGGCAAACAACAUUGAUCUUAAGCCAACUGAUAAUUAAACAGAGAAUUCUUUUUUUUUUUAACCUUUUGCUCAAGGAUUAGAGUUUUUACAUUAACAGAAAGGUUUCAGGGGUCUGAAUAAAAGCCCACAAUUUCUCUAUUUUAUUUUUAUUUUUAUUUUUUGAAAGGAGCUUCACUAUUGGCCUUGAACAUAUAAGAAUAAGCAAAAGAUCAAUGUCAACUGCAAAGGAAUGUGAGUAUGUCAAAGUCAUGGGCGGUUUGGCACCAUUAACAUAUUUCAAAAUGGCCACCCUAAUUGAAGGAAAUUAAAGGCCAAGUAGAUGCCGCCCAAGGAAAGAAACAAAAGAGAAUGAAGAAAAAGAAGAAAGAGAGAAGAAAAAGAGAUGUCGGGCCGAAGAAGGAAAAGAAAAGAAAAAUUAAUAAAAUAAUAAUAAUAAUUAAAUAUUAAACAAAUAGUAGCUAAUUUUGGCUAUAAAACCGCUAGCUCCCUUCAUUUGUAAAUCAUCUAGUUCUUCAGUUCUUUUCUUUAUUUAGAGAGCGAUUUUAAGAGUCUAGUGAUUUGAGAGUUUAGGUGUAUUGGGAUUUUGGGUAGUGAGCUAAAAUACCACAAUACUUGUAACUUCUUUUCACUAGUAAAAUACUUUCCUUCUGUUUUCACCUGUGAACGUAGGCUAAAAGCUGAACCACGUAAUUUCUUGUGUCUAUUUUUUGUACUUGUUCUUUAUUUUCUUCCAAUUUCACUUUAGCUGCGUGUUUGCUUCACUCACCAAUUUUGUAAUAGUGAAUCAGAGCUAUUAGUUGUAUUUUUUGGAGUCGGGUACUGUUCACGUAAGGGGUACUAUUCACGUAUAUGGCACUGUUCACGUAUACGGUACUAUUCACGUAAAACGAUGGGAGGAUCCAAGAAUUUUGCGGUGCAAAGCAGGGAAUAGUGGUGUGAGUAAAACAACUGUGUGGUUUUGUACAUGUCUAGGAAAGUUCUAUCACAAAGGCGAUAAGAGCUUAAGGAGUCUGGGUUUUAAGUGGGACCAUUGUGACCCCUCCAAUGUUUCCUGGGAACUUUCUUGGUGUGCAUUCUCACACAUACUCACAACUAUUCAAGGUGGUACACUUGCUUGUGUGCGGUAUUUAUCAAUAAAAUGGCGGCAAAGUAUGAAAUUGAGAAAUUUAACGGAAACAAUUUUUCAUUGUGGAAAAUGAAGAUGAAAGCUGUAUUGAGAAAAAAUAAUUGCUUAGCAGUAAUUGGAGAAAGGCUUUUGGAGAUAACUGAUGACAAGUGGAACGAGAUAGAUGGCAACACCAUUUCUGAUCUACACUUGGCACUUGCAGAUGGAGUAUUAUCUAGUGUGGCAGAGAAAAAUACAGCGAAGGAAAUAUGGGAUACUCUCACAAAAUUGUAUGAGGCUAAGUCACUACACAGCAAAAUCUUCUUAAAGAGGAAACUUUAUACUCUUCGAAUGGUGGAAUCUACAAUGGUGAUCGACCACAUCAACACCUUGAAGACUCUAUUUUCACAACUCACAACGUUGGGUCAUAAUAUAGAGGAGAAUAAACAUGUAGAGCUUGUACUUCAAAGUCUACCAAAUUCGUAUGAUCAACUCAUCAUCAACCUAACGAACAACAAUCCAGCGGAUAGUCUAGUUUUCGACGAUGUUGCAGCUUUCCUAUUAAAUGAGGAGAGCAGGCGAAAAAAUAAGAAAAACAGACAAGCAAUUUCGCAGCAAGCGGCGGUGCUAUCGGUGACGAGAGGGAGAUCAACGGAACGUGGCCCUAGUGGGAGUCAAAAUCAUAGUAAAUCAAAAUCCAGAAGUAAGAAGAAUGUUAAAUGCUACAACUGUGGCAAGAAAGGACACGUCAAGAAAGAGUAUUGGAGUAACUAGAAGAGAAAAGAGGAUAAAGAACCUGAGUCAUCAAAUGCUCAGGGGUGUGUAGCAAGUACCUCAGAUGAUAGCGAAAUUCUUUACACUGGGGCAAUAACUAUUUCAGAAGGCAGAAAACGACUAUCUAAUGUCUGGCUUAUAGACUCAGGAGCUACCUGGCACAUGACGGAGAGAAUGGUUCUAGACAUAUGAACCUAUCUCAGGAGGAUCUGUAUAUAUGUGAGAUGAUCAUGCCUUGGAGAUCGCUGGUAUUGGUACUAUCAAAAUAAAAAUAUUUGAUGGUACAAUUCGCACAAUUGGGGAGGUACGACAUGUCAAUGACCUGAAGAAAAAUCUAUUGUCUUUGGGACAAAUAGGCAGUUAUGGGUGCAAAACUCAUGUGGAGAAUGGAAUUAUGAAGAUUGUUAAAGGAGAGCUUGUAUUGAUGAAGGCAGAAAAGAUCGGUGCUAAUCUAUUCAUGCUUAAAGGAGAGUCACUACAGGAGGCUGAUGCGUGUGUCGCAUCAAAUGGAGAAGAGUUAAUGAUGAUGUGACAUCUCAAACUUGGCCACAUGUCGGAACAUUGUUUGAAGAUUCUCUCUGAGCGAAAAUUACUUCCAGGGCUUAAAUCGGUAAGUUUACCUUUUUGCGAGCAUUGUGUUACCAGUAAGCAGCAUAGAUUAAAAUUUAGUAGAUCUAUUCUAGAAGUAAAUAUAUUCUAGACUUGAUUCAUUCUGAUGUUUGGAAAUCACCGGAUAUAUCCAUGGGAGGUGCAAAGUACAUGGCGACUUUCAUUGAUAAUUAUUCCAGAAGAUGUUGUGUGUAUCUAAUUAAGAAAAAGUUAGAUGUAUUUCCAGUGUUUAAAGAAUACAAAGCGCGGGUGAAACUUGAAUCUGGUAAAAAGAUUAAGUGCUUGAGGACGGAUAAUGGUGGAGAGUAUACAGACGGCGAGUUUCUUGCUUUCUGUAAGCAAGAAGGUAUUUAGAGACAGUUCACCAUAGCAUACACUCCUCAACAAAACGGAGUGGCGGAGCGGAUGAACAGAACUCUUACAGAAAGAAUAAGAGCUAUGUUGAGGACUGCUGGUCUACCUAAUUCAUUCUGGGCAGAAGCAGCCAAAACUGCUUGUUAUAUAGUAAAUCGGUUGCCAUCUACAGCUAUUAGGCUAAAGACAACGAUGGAGAUGUGGACUGGAAAGCCAACUGAUUAUUCCUACCUACAUGCAUUUAAAUGUCCUGUGUACGUGAUGUACAAUGCCCAAGAAAGAACAAAGCUGGAUCCAAAAUCUAGAAUAUGUAUCUUCUUGAGAUAUGCUGAUGGAAUAAAGGGGUAUCGUCUGUGGGACCCCACUGCCCACAAGAUCGUUAUCAGCAGAGAUGUUAUCUUCAUAGAAGAUCAACUGCAAAGGAAAGAUGAAGAUGAUAGUAGUGUAAAAGAAAAGUCAGAGACUAUACCGGUAUAUGUGGAAAAUAAUCCAUAAGAUUCAGAUUCUUCUGAAGCAGAACCAGAGCACGAGCAACAAAAACCAGUCGAGUCUGAGGCUCCAGAAGUUCGUCGGUCAACUCGUGAGAGACGACCGCCAAUGUGGCACUCGGAGUAUGUUACAGAGAUCAACGUUGCAUACUGUCUUCUAAUAGAGGAUAGAGAGCCUUUAACUUUCCAUCAAGCUUUAGAAAGCUCAGAUGUUGCUUUGUGGAUGACAGCAAUGCAGGAAGAAAUAAAGCUCUACAUAAUAACAAGACAUGAGAACUUGUACCACUACCACGUGGAAGAAAAGCCAUUGGAAACAAAUGGGUCUACAAAAUCAAACGUGAAGGCAAUGACCAAGUAGAGCGGUGUCGUGCGAGAUUGGUGGUGAAAGGAUAUGCUCAGAAAGAAGGUAUUGACUUCAACGAGAUAUUUUCGCCGGUGGUUUGCCUCACGACGGUCAGAGUAGUCUUGGCAAUGUGUGCUACAUUUGACCUACAUUUAGAGCAGUUAGAUGUGAAAACUACAUUUCUUCAUGGAGAACUUGAAGAAGAAAUAUAUAUGCUCCAACCAGAAGGUUUUGCAGAAACAGGAAAAGAGAACUUGGUUUGCAGGUUGAACAAAUCUUUAUUCGGUCUCAAACAGGCGCUGAGGUGUUGGUAUAAGAGAUUUGAUUCCUUUAUCAUGAGCCUUGGAUACAACAGACUCAGUUCAUACCAUUGUGCAUAUUAUAAAAGGUUUGCAGAUAAUGAUUUCAUUAUUUUACUAUUGUAUGUGGAUGACAUGUUGGUAGCAGGCCCUAACAAAGAUCGAAUCCAAGAAUUGAAGGCACAGUUGGCUAGGGAGUUUGAAAUGAAGGACUUGGGACCAGCAAACAAGAUUUUAGGAAUGCAAAUUCACCGAGACAUAAAUAACAGGAAGAUUUGGCUUUAGCAGAAGAAUUACUUGAAGAAAAUCUUGUGGCGCUUCAACAUGCAAGAUUGUAAGUCAAUUUCUACCCCACUUCCUGUUAAUUUCAAAUUAUCCUCAAGUAUGUGUCCUAGCAAUGAAGCAGAGAGGAAGGAGAUGUCUCGAGUACCGUAUGCAUCAGUAGUGGGAAGUUUAAUGUUCGCUAUGAUAUGUACUAGACCAGACAUUGCACAAGUAGUGGGAGCAGUCAGUCGAUACAUGGCGAAUCCCGGUGGAGAGCAUUGGAUAGUUGUGAAGAGGAUUCUGAGAUACAUCAAAGGAACCUCAGAUGUUGCAUUAUGUUACGUAGGAUCAGAGUUUACUGUCAAGGGCUAUGUGGAUUCAGAUUUUGCAGGAGAUCUUGAUAAAAGAAAAUCCACUACUAGUUAUGUGUUUACACUUGCGGGAGCAGCUGUAAGCUGGGUUUCGAAACUGCAGACUGUUGUGGCUUUAUCUACAAUAGAAGCAUAAUACAUGGCAGCUACACAAGCUUGCGAGGAAGCUAUUUGGAUACAAAGAUUAUUGGAGGAGCUCGGGCACAAACAAGAGAAAAAUUAUGUGUUUUGUGACAGUCAGAGUGUCUUUCACAUUGCAAGAAAUCCAGCCUUUUAUUCCAAGACAAAGCAUAUAGGAGUUCAGUAUCACUUCGUUCGAGAAGUAGUGGAAGAUGGAAAUAUGGAUUUACAGAAAAUCCAUACGAAGGAGAACCUAGCAGAUGUUUUGACUAAGCCGAUAAAUGCUGACAAGUUUAUCUGGAGUAGAUCUUCUUGUGGCCUAGCAGAAACGUAGGCAACAUGAUUAUGGCGAAGCAGAAAGGAUGUUGUGGACAUUGAUUGAUUCUCAAUCUAAUCUCCAGGUGGGAGAAUGUCAAAGUCAUGGGCGGUUUAGCAUCAUUAACAUAUUUCAAAAUGGCCACCCAAAUUGAAGGAAAUUAAAGGCCAAGUAGAUGCCGCCCAAGGAAAGAAACAAAAGAAAAAGAAGAAAAAGAAGAAAGAGAGAAGAAAAAGAGAUGUCAGGUCGAAGAAGGAAAAGAAAAGAAAAAUUAAUAAAAUAAUAAUAAUAAUUAAAUAUUAAAUGAACGGUAGCUAAUUUUGGCUAUAAAACCGCUGGCUCCCUUCAUUUGUAAAUCAUCGAGUUCUUCAGUUCUUUUCUUUAUUUAAAGAGUGAUUUUAAGAGUCUAGUGAUUUGAGAGUUUGGGUGUAUUGGGAUUUUGGGUAGUAAGCUAAAAUACCACAAUACUUGUAAAUCAUUUUCACUAGUAAAAUAUUUUCCUCAUGUUUUCGCCCGUGGACGUAGGCUAAAAGUCGAACCACGUAAUUUCUUGUGUCCAUUUUUUGUGCUUGUUCUUUAUUUUUUUUCCAAUUUCACUUUAUCUGCAUGUCUGCUUCACCCACCAAGUUCCUAACAGAGUAAAGAUUUCAUCAGAGUAAGUAAUACAAAUGAAUUGUAAAAGAACAAGACUUAAGCGUGCACCCCGUGUUUUGUUUUAUUCGUAUAAACAUAACAUGUUCAUUUUUAACAAAGUGGUCAAUAACUCUAUUCGCUAUGAAAAUGAUAUUGUACCCAAUUUUAAGAGAGCAUAACAAUAACCAUUCAAUGCAUAAAUUUAGAAUUUUUUUUUUGUAAUUCUUUAUUUAAAUAUAAACGUCGAUGGAAAAUUAUAAAAAUUUAGAUAUGAAAUUUUAAGUCACCAGACAAAAAAAAAAAAAAAAAAAAGGGGAACAGAAAUAGAGGAAUCUUGCUUUACCUUUUUUUUUUUUUCCUUUAACUCUUGUUCUUAUAUAAAUAAUCUUGUUUUGAUGAUUGUAACUCGUGACUGCGGGAAAUUUUCUAAUGGAAACAACUAAUUUCGGAAGAUAAGCUUAAUUACGCAAGUGAUGAAUUUGUUCAAUUGACUCUGUACUUGAACUAGUUGGAUUGGUUGAUUGAUGAUUGACUAAAUUUGAAUUAAGUUUAAUAGCUAUGAUGUGCUCCUUAAAAGCAAACGUAAAUCUUUUUUAGAUUUGACUGAAUUUGGGAACCUGUUGGAUUGAUUGUUUUUAGAUCAUUAAUAUCGGUUACUACAACGUAAAUAUUUUAUUGUGGUUGAGUCCUAUUCUCAAAUCAGUAGGUUGCCUUAGAAAAAGGGCUUUUCUCACUGAUCUUUUUUUUUUCUUUAAUUCACACGCACUUGAUUAUUGACUUCUUUCAUGAAGAAAUAAACUUGUAAUGACUUAAAGAUUUAAUUUCAAGUUAGAAUCAAUACCAAAAGACGGAGGUUUAACAAAGCCGUUUAGUGUGAUAAAAGUACUUUAAAAAAUGUUGUUCGACCCAAUUAAGUUGAAGAAAUAACAAAGUUUUCAUGGAAUAAAUACCGGUUGUGCUUUAAUGAUUUUGGCAUAGACAUUGCUUGUGUACUGUGAAAUCGAAAUGAAUUACUGUGAAAUUGAAAUGAAUAUUAAGUGACAGCGCGAUGUAUAUGCCUAAUAAAAGAUCAGCAAAAGCUUGGAUGAAUGAUUGAGGACCAAAACUUUUAUAAAAGCAUUUUUGAGAGAAACUAAACACCAAAUUAUCAAAGUAAGAUCAACAGUAUAUGAUUUGAUUUAUACAUAUUCAAAAACAAAAUAAUGAUUAAUAAUAAAGUUUGAUUUUGUAUUGCCAACGAUGCUUUUUUGUUGUUUCAUUUGUUCGACGUGGCCUUAUUUACAAAUUGGUUUAUGUUAACAGAAACAUAAAAUUCACAUCACACAAAAUUCCACGAACAAAUAUUAAGAGAACGUAAUAAUAAUCACUCAAUGCAUAAGGGUAAAUUUAGAAUUACAUAUUCUUUUUUAUUUAAUAAAAUCCCAACGGGAAGUCAUAAAAAUUUAGAUAUAAAAUUUUCAAUCACCAAACAAAAAAACAGGGGGAAUGAAAACACAGAAAACUUAUUUUAACUUUUUUUUCAUCUAACUCUUGUUCUUAUAUAAUAUUUUCCCUAGUAUUUCAGGCAAAAAAAAAAAAUCAAUAGAGAGCAAGUUGCUCAAAUUGAUUUAUCUUGUUUUUCAGGCAAUCUUGUGAUAUGAUGAUAAAGCUCAUGAAUGCUAGAAAACUUCUAAUGCAAACAACUCUAUUUGGGAUGAUAAGCUUAAUUUUACAAGCGAUAAAUAUAAAUAACUUUUUGUGGUUAAUUGAAUUUGUAAUUACUCUUAGCCCUAUUCUAAAAUUUGUAGGCUGCUUCAGAAAAGAAAAAAAAAAAUUCUUACUCAUCUUUAAUCUUCAAGUAAAAAGCAAAUCUAAUAAAAUGAAAAACAAACAAACAAGUAAAAGACAGCAAACAAACAACAUUUAACCAACUGAUAUUUAAACAAGGAAUUCUUUCUUCUUCCUUUUUCUUCCCCCCCCCCCCCCCCCCCCCGGGGCUCAUGGAUUAGAGUUUUUGCUAUUAACUGAAAGGUUUCAAGGGUCUGAAUAAAAUCCCAGACUUUUUUUUUUAAUUAACCAAAGCCAUAUAAUAAGAUCACAGACUUUAACAAUGAACAAUAAUUUGAAACUCAAGCAAAACCAAUGACAAGAUUAAAACAAACCAGAGAAAUUUUUUCUUGGAAAGUAGAUGAAAACUAAGUAAGAACUGCUAUUAAAGGAUAUUAUUAAAGGAUUUAGAACAUGUAUACCUCUUUAUUUAUAUGGGAUCAGAGAGUCGAUGACCUCCUCUAUUCGCUUCGGAUAUUAAGUAAGAACUGCUAUCAAAAGAAUGAAUUGAUGAGAGAAAUAACAGUGAAUUGCAAAAGAGGAAGACUUAAUCACGUACCCCUAUUAUACCCGAUUUUUAAGAUUUAAUUUUGAAGUCCAGAAUCAAGACAAAAGACGAAGCCUUAAAAAAUAUGCAGUGAGAAUAAUUAAGUUGAAGAAAGCACUAGUUUAUGGCUCAGUGUUUCAUAUGCUGUAAUGAAAUAAUUAAGUUGAAGUUUUUAACGAAUAAAUACAUGUUGUGCUAGAAUAAUUUUAGAAGAAUAUUGGCUUAUAGAGCAUAUUAGUAGGGAUAAGAUAGAAUAAAUGAAAUAAUAAAAAGCAUAACUGAUCAAGUCAUUAUUGAUCUUACUUUGAUUAUUACAUUGCACAUUAGUUUCUUUCUAAAAAUGUCAUUCUUCAUUCAAGCUUUUGCUUUAUCUUUUAUCAGGCAUCCUACUGUUGAUGCCCAAAUCUGAUCUAGUCUAUUAGUGACUUAAUAUCAGACUUCUACACUAGCAUUAGAUUUAUUUGGUAGAGAAUCGAUUGGUCAAUUGUCAAGAUGUCCUGCAACCACUAGCGAUUAACCUGCGAAUACCUGAAAUCAUAGAAGACGGUCAGAGGCGCUGGAAGUUUUUCCGGCGUGAACCCUCUAACGCUCAAGUCAGUUUCUGGGCCUUUGCCAAAAAACUUGUGCCACCACUCAUAUGGCUUAAUAAACAUUAACUUAAAAACCAAAAGCUUUUUGAGUAACUUGCAGAAAAAUGAAAUAGAGUGUAAAAGAAAGGAUUUUCCAUGAGAAGAAGAGAGAAAAAGAUGCCUUACAGACCCCGAAAAAAUAAAUAAAUCCUCCUUUUAAGGUCACGCCCCACUCCCCUCUUUUCCCCUUUGUUCUCCUCCACUUACGGAAGUUAAGGAUGAGUAAAAGUAAUGCCUCUACUCUCCAUUUUUUUCUCCUUUUUCCGUUACCAAACACUAGUCCCCCAGUUUCUAGUGUUGAGAGUUUUAACGAAUCAAGACUGGAAACUAUAUGAAUUUUAAAGUGACCUUGAUGUGGUUGGCAUAAAUCGGCUCGGGAUUGCUAAAAUUAACCUUACUAUUUGCAAAAAAUUUCAAGUUUUAAACUUUUACAUGCCUUUAAAUAUACCAUUUUCCUACUUGCAUAAUCAUGUAAAGCAGGUUUCAUAAGUUCACGUAUUUAUCUCACCUAAAGUAGGUUUUGAGACUUAGUCAUUUAUCUGCUUUAGAAUAUUUUUCACUCAUAUAACUCUUGCUCGCCUAAUCUUGGUCGGGCAAGAGCAGGCAAACUUUGACUUCAUCUCACUGCGAGGAGGUUUAAAGACUGUAAGCCUUUUACUUGAAGUACCCUUUGUUUUUUUUUUUUUUAACUUUCUGCUCGCCUUCACAUGGUUGAGCAGAUUCUGGCAAGCUUGAUUUCUUAUCUCGCCAUCGAGCAGACUUUGAGACUUUAAAGUCUUUUGUGUGCCUUAGAAACUUUCUUGGGAUUUUUGUUCUCUGCUCGCCUUUACAUGGUCGAGCAGAUUCUGGCGAGCUUGGCUUCCUGUCUCGCCAUCAAGGAGGCUUUGCGACUUUGGAGCCUUUGCUUGCCUUAGAAACUUUUUUGGAACUUUUGUGGUCUGCUCGCCUUCGCUUAGUCGAGCAGAUCCUGGCAUGCUUGGCUUCCUGUCUUGCCAUAAAAUAGGCUUUGAGACUUUGGAGCCUUUGCUUGCCUUAGAAACUUUUUUGGAAUUCUCAUUUUUUGCUCGCCUUCACAUGGUCGAGCAGAUUCUGGCGAGCUUGGCUUCCUGUCUCGCCAUUGAGGAGGCUUUGAGACUUUGAAGCCUUUGCUUGCCUUAGAAACUUUUUUGGAACUUUUGUGGUCUGCUCGCCUUCGCUUGGUCGAGCAGAUCCUGGCAUGCUUGGCUUCCUGUCUCGCCAUAAAAUAGGCUUUGAGGCUUUGGAGCCUUUGCUUGCCUUAGAAACUUUUUUGGAACUUUUGUGGUCUGCUCGCCUUCGCUUGGUCGAGCAGAUCCUGGUAUGCUUGGCUUCCUGUCUCACCAUAAAACAGGCUUUGAGACUUUGGAGCCUUUGCGUGCCUUAGAAGAUUUUUGAAACUUUUUUGGUCUGCUCGCUUUCGCUUGGUCGAGCAGAUCCUGGCAUGCUUGGCUUCCUGUCUCACCAUAAAACAGGCUUUGAGACUUUGGAGCCUUUGCGUGCCUUAGAAGAUUUUUGAAACUUUUUUGGUCUGCUCGCCUUCGCUUGGUUGAGCAGAUCCUGGCAUGCUUGGCUUCCUGUCUCGCCAUAAAACAGGCUUUGAGACUUUGGAGCCUUUGCGUGCCUUAGAAGAUUUUUGAAACUUUUUUGGUCUGCUCGCCUUCGCUUGGUCGAGCAGAUCCUGGCAUGCUUGCUUCCUGUCUCGCCAUAAAACAGGCUUUGAGACUUUGGAGCCUUUGCGUGCCUUAGAAGAUUUUUGAAACUUUUUUGGUCUGCUCGCCUUCGCUUGGUCGAGCAGAUCCUGGCAUGCUUGCUUCCUGUCUCGCCAUAAAACAGGCUUUGAGACUUUGGAGCCUUUGCGUGCCUUAGAAGAUUUUUGAAACUUUUUUGGUCUGCUCGCCUUCGCUUGGUCGAGUAAAUGUGGCUUCCUGUCUCGCCAUAAAACAAGCUUUGAGACUUUAGAGCCUUUGCGUGAUGAUGGGUGUCGAAGCCAACAAAAAUAAAUUCCUACUCUAAAUAAAUUGUGUAUAGUGAUUGAGCAGGGUCGUGUCCACAGAGAUCGGUAAUUAUUUAAAUCCUUUUGAAACGUAAAAAUAAAAUGGGGGUUUUGUUGACAAUAAUAAAAAUCAAAUUAAAAUAACGAGAAUGCAAAUUAAAGUUGUAAUUCAAAUUGGAGAAAGCUCUGGUUGAAGGAAUUAACUCAGCUUGAUUCGACUACUGAUCAUUGAUUCAAAUAAAGAUUAUUAUUACUUAUGAAUAGACCGGUUAUAGCUAUUGAGACCCUCUAAUAGCCAAUCUCUCCUUAACUAGUCGAUAACCAAGGUACGACCGUUGGAUAUUUCCCUAAUCAAAUAGACAACCCUAGAUACGAUCAUAAGAUUUAAUCAAUUGACAGCCUGAAAAACCAGAGAGACCCAAAUCCUAAUCAACACAUAUGAUGAUUCAUUUAAAUUAGAUUGUUUAUUCUCACAACACAACUCUCUGCUAUGUUAUUUGUCACAAAUAUUAAAUUCUUCAUACGAUGAAUCCUUUAAUUGACAAUAGAUUAAGUUGAUAAUUAAAUAGUGGCCAAUUACCUAAUUAACAAACAUAAUCAUGAAACUAAUUCAGAGAAUAAACAAAUACCCAAAGAGCAAUAAAACAAUUAAAGCACAAGAAAGAUCUCACAGUAGUGAUGAAUCAAAGCUUCAUUAUCCUUCAACCAGAAAAUAAGUUUAGUUCUCCAUAGAGAGAAGAGAAAAAUUAGCUCUAGGGUUUCUUUCUUUUUCUCCAAUCCCAAAAAAUCCCCCUUUUCACAAUAGAUUCCUCCCUUAAAUACUCUCUCUCUCUUCUCUUUUAGAGUUCUAUUUAAAAUAAAAUACUAAUAUUUGAAAUAUUAAAUUCGUAAUAAAAAAAUAGCCAAAAAUACAAAACACGUUAAACUAAAAACUGCAAGUCCGCAGUUGACAGCACGCGCCCACGCCUUAUCAACAAAGUUCUUCUGCCGCUCAUAAUUUCUCCAAGAAAACAAUCAUCCUUAAACAUCAUCUUAUAGCUCAAUUUUAUCACCAAUCAAUAGAAUUGCACCUACAAAAGUAAAACACAAGUAAAUCACUAUUAUUAAAUGCAAAACAUCGAUAUUAAGGGAAGUAAACAAUGCAAAACUAGUGCAUAAAUUGCACUCUAACACGUGCCUUCAAUGUGCUCUUAUUUGAGGUUUUUGCUUUAAAUCCUUACAUAUGGAUAACCAUCAAAAAUUUAAUUUCGGACUUGUAACUUAUAACUUGUCCAGAAAAUAGCUCUCAUUUACAACUUGCGCUUUAGCUAUUUAUAUAUGUUUGGGCCUUUGAUGGAUAAACAUCCUUGGUGUUUUUAUUACCAUCUAUAAUAUUUGGUUAGCAAUAUUAUUAAAGACCUUUGCUAAAGGUGCAGAGCACCAUUUACCAACACUAAAGAUAUUAAAAUUUAUAUAUAAAAUAAAUCAUAUUAUAUAAAAUAUGUAAUCAACAAAUAAAUGGUACCAUAAAAGUUUAAGCAAAGUCAUAUCACUGUAUCAAGGAAAUACGAUCUCAUGCUAACCCAAGUUCCAUCAAUCCUUCGGUCAAGCAUGUUGUGUGCUAAUAUAUGACUAUGCUAUAUAUUCUAUAAUAUGUAAUCUUAACUAUUUUCUAUUAACGACUUAAUAAGUCAAAACCCCAUCCAUCAGAUUUUUGAAGUCAAGUAGUGGAUUUAAAGGAUAAAUAUAAAACUGAGGUAUUAGAACAAGUGCACCUGAGAUUGUGCUCUGCAUUAUUUCAUUAGUACUUCAUCAAACAAAUCUCGAGCUUGACUCUGCUUUGCUCCCUUCUUAGAAUUAUUCUUGCAAUAUUUUAACAUGGGCACAAAACGGAUAAAAUAUGAAGGAAACAAAAAUCCAACUUCAUCAAUUCUUUGAAGCUUGAAGACAUGCCUAUCAAGCAUAUAUGUAGUGUAUGUAGUGUAAUCAGCAACAAACUCACUUUUGAACUUUCAUAUCCCUUGAGGCGAUUUAACGAAUAGCUCCUGAUUUGAAUUUUAACAAUUCGGCCUCAACUUGUAAUGAACCGAGUUUCAUACCAGAAUUGUCUAAAUACUUUCCCUGCAUAUUCUUCACAUGAAAACUAGCAGCAUGAUUGAUUGAUGGGGUGUAAAACCAGCAGGAAAUAUCUUGAAGAAACCACAGAUCCGUGGAUUUUUUAUGCUUACCACCAAAUGAAUUUAACAAUUUGUGUGAUCUUUAUUUUAAGAAAUUGAACAUUGCUAAUACCGCAAAUCGAUUGCUCUUUUGAACAGACUUUAUAUCUUGAGUUCGAUGAAAAGAGAACAAUCAAUCAAGAAAUAUAAAUACAUCAGCAAAAUAAUGAUGGUAGCAGCAUUACACAUCUAAUUAGCCAUAACGAAGCUGAAUAAUUAGCCAUAAUAAAUCUGAAAUGUUAACAUUAUGUCAAGCAUGUUGUUGGAAAAUACUAAAUUAAUUCAUUUGCAAGUAUAAUAGCAUGUAAUCUUGAAUUAUGAAUGAAGCCCAUUCUAACAAGCUAAUUUUGUGAAGGAACAUUAUCAACGAAUUCCAAGGGAUAAUAUUCAAUUUCAGCAAAUAUAUCAUGCACGGUAUUGAAACAUGCAUGUUAUUAAAGAAUUUCCAAGCAUCUCUCAGUUGAUAAAUCAAUCAUCAUAGCAAUUGGAAAUUGAAUUUUAAUGACAAUAUACUUAAAGCAAUAAAUAAGCCAAAACCUUUACAGGUAAGCAUUCCAUCCAGCCUUGAUUGGCUUCCGUGUUUGAGCCAGCUUAUCAAUUUGUGCAUGAUAAUAUUAUGCCUUUGGCUUGGCCGGAUGCAAAAUUGGUAGAGACAAGAAGUUGGCUUUUUGUAUCGAUUCCCCACAGACGGUGCCAAAUGUUGAUGCCCAAAUCUGAUCUAGUCUAUUAGCGACUUAAUAUCAAACUUCUACACCAGCAUUAGAUUUAUUUGGUAGAGAAUCGAUUGGUCAAUCGUCAAGAUGUCCUGCAACCACUAGCGAUUAACUUGCGAAUAUUUAAAAUCAUAGAAGACGGUCAGAGGCGCCGAAAGUUUUUCCGGCGUGAACCCUCCGACGCUCAAGUCAGUUUCUGGGCCUUUGCCAAAAAACUUGUGCUACCACUCAUAUGGCUUAAUAAACAUUACCUUAAAAACCAAAAGUUUUUUGAGUAAUUUGCAGAAAAAUGAAAUAGAGUGUAAAAGAAAGGAUUUUCCAUGAGAGGAAGAGAGAAAAAGAUGCCCUGCAGACCCCGAAAAAAUAAAUAAAUCCUCCUUUUAAGGUCAUGCCCCACUCCCCUCUUUUCCCCUUUGUUCUCCUCCACUUAUUGAAGUUAAGGAUGAGAUAAAAGUAAUGCCUCCACUGUCCAUUUUUUUUCUCCUUUUUCCGUUACCAAACACCUACAAAUCUUAUCCCUACUAAUAUCCUCUAUAAGCCAAUAUUCUUCUAAAAUUAUUAAAUGCCAUUCUUCAUUCAAGCUUUCAUGGACAUUAUUUACAAAUUGUUCUUGUAUUUGACAGAAAAAUGAAAACGCCUCGUCAUACAAAACUGGAUGAACAAAUCUUCUGUUUAAUUGUGAUAAAAUAAUAAAUUCCAUUAACAGAUUCAGCUGUAUGUUAAUGUGAGGGAUUUGAUCAGAUGAUCAUAUAAUUUACUACACGCUUUAAGAAGAACAAGAAUUGAUGACUUAAAAAUUAAAAAAUAAACAAAUAAAGAGUAGAUACAAAGAAUGUUAUUUGCAAUCACCAAACUGAAGAACAUGGGAAUGAUAACAGAGGACGGUUGAUGCAACAUUAUGAAGUCAAAAUUAAGAAAGGCCUUUUUUCCUUUUUUUUUUUUACAUUAUUCUAUUUAAUCUUACAUAAGGCGCACACUACGAAUAUAAAUUAAAUUCAUAAUUAAGAAUAAACGAUAAACCCUAACAAUCAUCUAGCAAGUACCGUGUAGACUGCAUCAAAAAUUUAGAUUUAAAUUUUUACAAUCACCAAAUGGAAAAACAGGGGACUGAAAACAAAGGAGCCCUGUUUCCAGAAACCGGGGAGUUUCCGGGUUUCUGGAAACAAACUCAGAAACGAAUGAACUGGCUGCCGGCGGUACUUUCUAGAUAAAUCGCUUGGUGUAUAUAAGCUUUCAUGGUCUGGUUUUAGUCUGGUUAGGUUCAGCCACUGUGACUGUUAGGGAUUCUCGUAAACUGAAUUUAAAGUUGCGGCUUAAAGUGUUUACCAACUUAAAACCAGAGCUAUAAAGUGUUUGAUGAAUUAUUUUUUAAUUUAAAAAAAAAAAACUGAUUUAGCGGGAUAAAAUAAUGCUCCAUUCCGUUUAGUAUGUGAAGUCCAGAGUAUUACCUACUACUAACUAAAUCCGCUUGAUUCACAAGACUACCAAGAGAUAACUGAAUCUUCAAUGUAAUAAAAUAAUAAUCAGCCUCACAGGAUACAUAAAAAGCUCAUUUAUCACAAUCAUAUCCUAGUGCAUCAUAAAUUUAGAUUAUUUACUUUUACUAUUAGGAAACCUACUUAUAUAAGGCGCAAACCACAAAUUCUAAAUUAAAUACCUAACUAGGAAUAAAAGAUAAACCCUAACAGUCAUACACCAGGUGCCGUGUAGCCUGCAUCAUAAAUUCUGAUUUAAAUAUUUGCAAUCACCGAACAGAAAAACAGGGGAACGAAAACAGAGGAGCCCUAUUUUUCCAUUUUUUUAACCCUUAACUCUUGCUCUUCUAAUUAUAUUUUUCCUUGGAAUUUCAAGUAUGAGAUGAAUUUGGAGAAAGUAAAUAAAUUUGAAUUACGUGAAAAAUUCUAAUUUUUUUAACCCUUAACAGUUGGUAUAUUUUUUUUAGGUCAUAUAUUAAUAAUUUCUUUUAAAAAAAAUUUAUAAUAUCAAUUAAUAUUAUAACCUACAGAUUAAUACAGAUAAAAAUAUGAUUGAUUUAUCUCCACCACCUAAGUCUUAGCCAAAUUUAAUUAAAGAUUAAUUUAAUAAAUUACCGAAAAUAAUAAAGUAAACGAAAAAUAAAGCACGCAAUUAAGUAAUCAUGCUUCUAAAGGGCUAAUUAACCAUAAUAGGCAUAGGUAUUAAUUUGACUUCUAUGAAAGUCCCUUCUAGUUUCUCAAAAUUCAAAAAUUACAAUAAAAAGCCAAAGAAAAAGUCAAUGCUUCUAAAGUAGAAAAGUUUGAGUACUAGAUAGGCUGCCCAAAAUACAUUUUCAUUACUCACAUAUCUCUAUAGAAAGUAAUUUUUUUAAUAAAAACAACCUAUUUGGCUAAUAUUCAGUCGUCUUUUUUGUUGAUGGAAUUAUCCUCUUAACAAUAUUUUAAAAAGUUUACAUGAAUAUUCCUUUUUUUUUAAAAAAAAGAAUUAAUAACGUGUAUUGUUAGGAUAAAAAUGAUCAUCAAUACGUAUGUAUAUAGGCACAAAUAUAUGAAAAAAAAUCAAGUUUAAGUACAAUGUAUAGGUCAAUGCCUAAGAGUCAAGCCUAAAUUAGGGCAACAUAUAACUACAAAAUACAAUUUCGUACACUACAAAAUUUUGAUAUCAGCAGUAGGGGUAUAAAAAAAUCAUUGUUGCCAAAAAUCCAAAAGCUAACUAGAGGUUUGGUUUUGUUUCAAAAAUUAAAAAAACAAGUCAAUUCGUAAAAUCAAAAACAGAAAAAGAAAAACAAAAUAUAGAGGAAUUUACAGUUUAAAAAGAAAAACCAAGCCAAAACGAAAUUGAAUCGAAAGUCGAACCAACUCAGUUCAGUUUGAUUUGAAUUUUAUUUUAUAAAAAAAAAUGAUCGGAACCAACUAAACUGUAUUAUGUUAUAAAUUAUUAUAUAACAUAAAUUUUUGAAUACCUUUGUGACGAGCACAAUUUAAAAUUUUAUGAUUUUAAAUUUUAACAUUAAUGGAGAGUUAAUACUCCACCAUUUUCCAAUUUUUACAAUACAUAUUACUAGUUUAGAUAUGCUGUAUAUUAUUGUUAUAAUUUUUCGAGCAAGAUAAUAUUUGUCAAUUGGUGUUAUGACAUCAAAAUACUUGGUAUUAGUUAGUGCUAAGUGCUUCUUUUUCUUAAAAAAAGCGGUUCCUUAGUUUUAAAACAAAAAUCAUUAUCCUGAAAUUCUCCAUUUGCUUUGUUAACAGAUAUAACAAAAUAAAGUGAUAAAAGUUUAAUUUAUAAAACUUCGGCAUUUAUAUCUAUCAGAUUCAACACUUUAGUGUCAUAGAUUUAUUUCGGUGGAGCACGAUGUGGGUCGGGCCAGGCUUAGAAUUUUAAGCACGAGAGCCUUAAAAAUAUGAUAUGAUUAGAGAUGGACUGAGCACAGCACGAUGAAAAUGCCCACAAUAAGCACAUUAUAUUUUUUUUUUAUUGAAAAUAAACUUAAAAUUUUAUGUUUUAUAAAUAACUUGAAGUUGAAUUUUUUAAAUUCAUUUAAUUCUUAGUUUAAAAAAAUAUUAUAAUUAAUUUAUAUUCAUAAUUUAUUAAAUAAAUAAUUGAUAUCAUGAUUUUAAUGAAUAAAAUUAUAAAUAUCACGAUUUUAUAAAUAUGCAUUAAUAUUAUUGUGAACUAUGAUCUAUGACUCUAUGUAACUCUAAGUUAACAAUUAAGUUAGCCCUUAAGAAAAUAUUAUUAUUAUUGUUGUUGUUGUUGUUGUUGUUGUUGUUGUUGUUGAGUAUUAAAAAAAUUAUAAUACUAAGAGAUCAAACUUAGUAAUUAAUAUUAAAUUUUCUUACUAUUAUUAGUUUAUUAUUAUUGAAUAUAAACUUGAGUUUUGAUUUUUUGAUUCUAUUAAAUUUGAAUAAAAGUAUAGACCUAAGAAAAAUAUAUAGACUUGAAAAAAAUAUGCCAACAGUUUAGUAUGCCCCUUAAAAAAUUUAAAAAAAAAAAGAAAAAAACUUAGUGAGCUUUUUUUCUUAGGCAUGGCACGGCAUGUAUCGGCAUGUGUGCUAGGCCGAACCUAAACAAAAAAAUAAAUAAAUAAAUCUUGACACGACACAACACAAGCAUAAGCACGCAUGGGCCUUACUUACCGCCCGACCCAUUGAGCAUCUCUAACUGUAUCUAUCUCCGCCAUAAUAAAUUAAACAUCGGGUAACUACUAGACUAGGCAUUAGCACAUAAACUAACUAACUAUAGUACCAAAAAGAAUGAUGCGACAUUGUAAAAGAGAUGGGGCAAAGGGCAGAAUGGGAAACGAAUGAACCAAAUAAUAGUAUAUAAUAAUAUGAAUUUGGUAAAAAUAAAAAAUAAAUAAAGUAAAGUGGUGACACGUACCUCCUUUUAUUUCUCGAUCGAGUAGUGCAGAAAGUGGAGUGUGUGUGUGUGUGUUAAUUGUGAAAUGUCAGCCAAUUUUUUCUCUCUCAUUCUGAAACAGCUCAGCAGGAAUGGUGUACACUAGAGACGUCUGUCUGUCAGUCAGAACUGCCAAAAGAGCAAAACGGGUGCACGUACAAAUUAAAGCAGCCAAUCAGCGAUAUAUUUCAGUUACUUAAAGCUAGCACAGAGGGAACAAGCAAUGUGCAGGGCCAAAAGAGAUGAGACCCCUGAACCCGAACCCUCCUGAAUGAUCUGAUCACAUCUGAUUCGAUGUCUCGAGUCAUUAGAUUUAACAUAUUUUAAAAAUAUUUCUCAGUUAAUAUGUGAUUUAAUUAAAGGUCAAGUUUACAUCUGAAACUGAACUUAUUAAAAAUUAAUUUGAAAUAACAUCUAAGCUAUCUAUUUGUUUAUAAUAAAAUUUAAUUGUCAUAUCAGAAUUAUUUUCCGUUAGACUUUACAAUAAGUUAAUCCCAAAUAAAUUGACAAUUUCAAUUUUAAAGUUAGUUUGUAACUUUAAAAUAAUUUUCUAAUAAAAAUUUAAUCUGAAACAUCUGCAAUAAUAUCAAGUAUUUUGAUGUCAUAACACCAAUGUUUCACAUGCACACACAAGUCAUAUAUAAGUUAAUAAAAACAUCAUUUGUUAUUAACAAAAUCAUGUUAAUUUUUAAUUCUUAAAUUAACUCCCUGUUAAAUUUUGGCUAAAUCAUUAUUGCAAUUUAUAAAUUAAUAUUUAUAAAAAAUUAUGAAUCAUCCAAAAAGCUGCUUGAUAUAGAUUAAUUUCAUGGUCAUCAAUUUUUUUUUUAUUUAUACACCUUUAAAUUAUCACUUGUAUCAUAUGAAAAGACUAUAUUACCCCUCUAACAUCAUCAUAUUUAAACGGCAACUAAGCUAUGGUGAACGACAUUAUAUUUUGUCAACUUAAGAUGAAUGACUGAUAUACGCUAAAAGUAUUGUAGUAAAUUUGAUAAUAAAGUAUACAAUUGAUAAUUUUCCUAUUUAUAAUUUAUCCCCUUAAUUAUGAGUAAUUUUGUUUUUGUCUUCAUUUGUCCCUUUCCUACAAAACCAUUACUAAUGUACAAGUUACAUAUAUAAAACAUUCUUCUUUAAUCAAGUUUGGAAUAUUUUCAUCCUUAUGUAAAAUUAUGCAUAUAUCUUUUGAGUUUCUCAAUUGUACUUGAAAAAAAAAAUUACAUUUAAUCACGGUUGGUUAUCCAUAAAAAAUUUUAGGUGGAAAGUUCACGCGUUUUAAAAUUUAAUUGUGGAAUUAUAUUACAUUUAUUAUUUAGUUUCAAUUUAAUCAUGUAUCAAAUUCAUGUUUUAAAACAUGUGGAAAUUUAUAAUAUAUAAUGAUUCUAUGUAAAUAUAUUAUCUCAUUUCUUCAUUCUUUUGUUAUUAGUUCUCCUCCACUGCAUUAGAUAUAUUUUGAAGUUUUCUAAUGUAAAUGUUACUAACAAAUACGCAUUGAAUAAUUAUCGGGUAGUUUAUAUUAUAAUUUAAUAAUAGCCACAACAUAAAUGUACAAUUUGGUGAUAGUAAAUGACAUUACAUGAAAAUGAAAUCAUCAUGUUGCAAACAAGAUGCAACCAAGGGAUUGCAAACAAUGUUAAGUUACUAUUGGGUCACUUGAACUCCUGGGCUCUCUCCUGUGUAAUUUAUAUUAGACUGUCGCGUACAAAACGCAGACAUAUAUAUACAUACAAGUAGUGCUUUGGCAACAGACACAAUAACCAAGAAGCAGCCCUUGUUUUCAAAUUCAUUCAAAUGCCAGCCUGCAGUUUUGAAUCCUUCAAAUGCCAGCCUGCAGUUUUGAAUCCUUCAAAUUGUGCUCCACCUUUUGAGGGGACGAUGAAGAGUGAAAGAAGAGACAAAUGGCAGAAUAUCAUCCAUUGCAAUGCCUCGUUUCUUAUAUUUCCAUGCCCGAACAGCAAAUUCCACCAAUCUUUUUGCUGCCUUUUCCCUAUCCACUACUGAAGAAACAAUCUCCACCGCCUCUUGGUUCGAAAUCACAUCCCAAACCUGAAGAACAAUCCAUAAUUGAUCUUUCAAACAUUGACAUUAGUUCAGAUCAAAAGAUAAUUCCAAUAUGUGGAUACGUACCCCGUCCGAUGCCAGAAUGACAAAUUGGUCUCGUGUUGUUAUGUUUCUUUGCGUUACAUGGAGCACGGAGAUUAGGCCAUAGUCCUUGACACAGUAAUCACCCAAGGCUCUUGAUAUGGCUAGUCCCGGAGUCUCACCAUUCGGCAUCCAGACUCUGUAUACGCCCGGCUCAUCAUUUAAGCAAAACACAAGCCCUUUGGACUGCGUUAUUCGCUCCGCUUCCUCUGUAUAGGCCAGUGAAGACAAGAACCCGUACGCAGACCUUAAAACACACCCAUAUAUACACCUACACGAGGCAGAAAUAUUUAAGAGAAGAUGAGAUAAUUGAGAUCUGAUUGGUAAAAUAUUGUUAAUUAGUAAAAAAUAAUUAAUAUACUUGCUAUUUAAGUAUUUUACUAAUAUUUUAAACAUCGGUAUUCAAUGAUGUUAAUAUGUGAUUUUAAUAUUAAAUUUAUGUUCUCAUUUAUAACAGUAUGGUCAUCAGUAUUCACAACACAUCAUAUAUUAAUGUAUGGGUUUAUUAAUAUUAACAAACAUUUAUUUCCAAAUAAAUAUGGUAGCCUUAGUAUUUAAGAAUAUUCUUUAUUGUCUAGUCGUCUGUCCAAGGAAGAACGGGCCAUCAUCAAAUUUAUCAAGGGCCUUCUCUAAGUAAUCAAAAGCAGGACCUGUGACAAAUUAAAACUUUUUCCGUGAGUUCAGCACAUAUAUAUACAUAUUCAAAAUGCAUUCUAUUAUAAACAAGUAAGCAAGUUUCAAAUCCUACCAGCUUGUUUUGCUGGGUCUCCUUUGAAUGAAGUAUACACAUCGUUGGUGAAGGUAUCGAUGUGGGAAAACAGUUCAUCAGCAAACUUUCGUUUCUCAGGAUCCUACAAUAUUUUCACAACAUUACUUUACUCAAAGUUGAGAGAGAGAGAGAGAGAGAGAGAAGCUUUUAUUAAAAGCAACAAUGUAAUCAGCAAAAUCUUACAUCAGGUAAAAGUGAAGGCCCUUCAAAAUUGCUGUCAACAUAUUUAAUCAAAUCAAGAGAUUCUCCAAUAACUUUGCCAUUGUGCUCCAGUGCUGGAACCUGUAAAGAAGAACUCUAAUAGGUAAAUAUACUUCAUAACUCCAGCAAUGAUCUCUAAUCUUGCACGAAAAUGUAACAAUCAGUUUAACUCUUUCGUUGUGUUUUCUUGCAAGCAAGCAACUUGCUCAAAUCAGAAUAUGUUAAGAUUUUACUAGGCACACAAAGCACAAAGACACCAUUCCAAUUUUAUUCAGGAACUCCUCCGCACAGAUUACAAGCAUUUCAAUUUCAAAGAUGGGGCAUAAGUGUUGGAGAAUUAACAAAUAAAACACACAAAAAACACACUAUUUUAUUUCUUCAACAACACUCCUCACCAAUUACAACUCUUAUCUUUCACUCUCUACACCUUAGAGAUUUUGCUACUUCACUUGAUGAUUAAACCAAAGGGGAGAGGGGGUAUUUAUACAUGAAACAAACUAAUCACAACCAUUCAUUUAUUCAACUAAUACACAAAUCCUCACCAUCCAUUAAAACCUACCACUCACCUACUUCACCAACCACACCUAACACACCUAACACAAAUAAUUCAAACCUCACCAACCAUACCUACUCAUGGAACCUUCCAUGAGUUGGGCUUGAUUUGGAUCAAGUUUAUGAUCCAACACCUCCCCUUAAACUUGAUCCUGUGACACCAAGCAAACUUCUGAAUCUUAUAAAGUCUUCUUGCUUGAGUGGCUUAGUGAAGAUAUCAGCUGUUUGAUCAUGUGAUUUUACAUACUUGAUUUGCACUUCUUUUGUUGCAAUACACUCUCUUAUAAAAUGAUAGCGAGUGUCUAUGUGUUUACUUCGAUCAUGAAAGACUGGAUUCUUGGAUAGGGCAAUUGCUGAUUUGUUAUCAACACAAAUCUCGGUUGGCUCUUCUUGUGCCAAACUCAACUCCUUCAGCAAAUUUCUGAGCCAAAUUGCAUGACAAACACUUGAUGUGGCAGCUACAUAUUCAGCUUCACAGGUGGAUAGCGUGACAAUUGGUUGCUUCUUUGACAUCCAUGUGAAAGCAGUAUCUCCCAUGAAGAACACAAAUCCUGUGGUGCUCUUUCAAUCAUCUACAUCUCCACCCCAAUCGCUAUCGCUAUAUCCAACAAGCUUAUAGUCAUUAGAAAAUGAGUACAGCAAGCUGAAAUUAGUUGUACCUUUGAUGUAGCGAAGGAUUCUUUUUGCAGCUUUAAAAUGGGUGGUCUUUGGAUUCUCCAUGUAUCGGCUCACAAGUCCAACAGCAUAAAGGAUAUCUGGUCUUGUGCAUGUCAAAUAACGUAGGCUUCCAACCAAACUUUUAAAGAAUGUUGGAUCUAUAUCUUCGCCUUCAUCAAGUUUGGAUAACUUGACUCCGCAUUCCACUGGCGUGCUUAUAGGCUUGCAAUAAUUCAUCUUGAUCCUUUUGAGAAUCUCCUUUGCAUAGCUUUCUUGGGAGAUAAAUAUGUCUUCUUCCUUUUGCUUGACUUCAAUGCCGAGGUAAUAUGCCAUCAGUCCGAUGUCAGUCAUCUCGAACUCUUUGAUCAUCACUCUCUUGAACUCUUCAAACAAGCUUGGAUUACUUCCAGUAAAGAUGAGAUCAUCCACACACAGGCACACAAUCAAAAUAUCUCCAUCUUUUUCUUUGACGUAGAGAGCAUGUUCAUAUGGGCAUUUAGUGAAGCCUUUCUCUUGAAAAUACUUGUCAAUUCUGCUAUUCCAUGCCCUUGGUGCUUGCUUUAACCCGUAGAGAGCUUUCUUCAAUCUCAAAACUUUGUCUUCAUGUCCUUUCACCACAUAGCCUAUUGGUUGUUCGAUGUAAACUUCUUCUUCAAGGAAUCCAUUCAAGAAAGCAGACUUCACAUCCAUUUGAAAAAUCUUCCAUUUGUUCUGAGCAGCCAAAGAAAUAAUAAGUCUAAUAGUUUCAAGUCGAGCUACAGGAGCAAAUACCUCGUCAUAGUCUAUGCCAGCCUUUUGACUAUAGCCUUUUGCAACUAGCCUUGCCUUGUGCUUUUCAAUUUCUCCCUUCGCAUUUCUUUUUGUUUUAUACACCCAUUUGACACCGAUCGCCUUGUGACCUUUUGGAAGAGUAGUAAGCUCCCAAGUAUCAUUCUUCACAAUGGCUUUGAUUUCUUCAUCCAUUGCAGUUCUCCACUUCUCAUCUAGUAUAGCUUCUUAGAAGUUGACUGGCUCACAAUCAGCAAAGAGGCAAAAGAGAGUGAGAUUAUCAUGUCUCUCAGUUACCUCAUAGAGAUCUUGAAGACUCCUUGUACGUUCUUCGAUUCUUUCAUUUAAGAAAGACGGCGGUGAAUCUCUGCAUGUGGUUGGUGCUGGUGAGAUAGGUGGAGUAGCAAGCUAUUGUUGUUCGUCUACUUGUUUUAUCUGUGUAUGAUCAUUUUCUUCAAUGGGAAAGAAGUUGAAGUCAUCCACACCAGAGCCAAAAUCCCAUUCUCCUUCUUCAUCAAAAAUUACAUCUCGACUGAUCACGAUCUUCCCGUUGUUUGGAUUGUAAAGCUUGUAUCCUUUGGAGUUGUUGUCGUAGCUGAUGAAGAUGAACUUCUCACUUUUGUCAUCCAGCUUGGCUCUACUUUCGUCUGGUACAUAUACAUGGGCAAUGCUUCCGAAAACUCUUAGAUGGGUGAUGCCGGGUUUUCUUCCACUCCAAGCUUCUUGUGGCGUCUUGCCCCACACGCUUCUUGUUGGAGAUCGAUUGGAUAAGUAGACUGCACAUGCAACUGCUUCAGCCCAAAAUUCUUUAGGUAGCCUCUUACUCUUAAGCAUGCUUCUUGCCAUGUCGAGGAUGGUUCUGUUCUUCCUUUCUGCAACACCAUUUUGUUGGGGGGAUCUUGGAACUGUCAAAGGGCGUCGAAUUCCAUUUGCUUCACAAAACUCUAAAAAUUCUUUGGAAGUGAACUCACCACCUCGAUCAGAUCUCAUGGCUUUAAUCUGGUAUCCACUUUCUUUUUCCACUGCAGCUUUAAACUUCUUGAAAGCUUCAAAGACUUCUGAUUUUUGCUUCAAAAAAUACACCCAAGUUUUUCUUGAAAAAUCAUCUAUGAAGAGAAGGAAGUAGUUACUUUUACCAAGGGAGUUUGGCUUGAAUGGACCGCACACAUCAGUAUGAAUAAGCUCGAGUGGCUUCUGAGCUCUUGAGUUUGACUCCUUUGGAAAGCUCUUUCUGAACUGCUUGCCAAGUAAACAUCCUUCACAAAGUUGAUCAGGGUGAUUGAUGUAUGGUAAGCCUUUCACCAUGUUCUUCUUAGAUAGUAGCUCCAGUCCUCCAAAGUUGAGAUGCCCAUAUCGAAGAUGCCAAGUCCAGGAUUGAUCUUUGUGACAGGCUUUGAGACAUUUUGCAACAUCAUUUUGAAUAUUUAAUGGAAACAUUCUAUUCUUUGACAUUUUCACCUUUGUAAUUAGAUUUCCUUUAUCAUCUCUUAGGAAAAGACUAUAAUCUUUUAAGUGAAUAUCAUAGCCUUUUUCAAAAAGUUGACCCAAACUAAGAAUGUUGCUUUUCAUAUUGGGCACAUAGUAAACAUUCGAAAUUAUUUGGUGACUACCAUCUUUUGCACGAAAAAGAAUGUUACCUCUACCCUUCACUGGUACUUUUGAAUCAUCUCCAAAAGCAACACUGCCAUUCACAGAUUCACUUAGCUGCACGAACAUGCUUUUGUUCCCACUCAUAUGAUUGCUAGCACCUGUGUCAAGAUACCAUGUAUUUUCUUGACCCCCACUUGUGUCAUUGCGUGCUAGUAAAAGUGUGCCAUCUUCACCAUUUUUCUCUUCAGCAUAGUUCACUCUCUCCUCAAUUCUAGUGCUUGGAGCUCUGCAUUCUGAAGCAUAAUGCCCAAACUUUUGACAAUUAUAGCACUGUACUUGAGAUUUGUCAUACCCUCGAUCUUGGAUUGCCUCUGCCUCGUCCUCUGCUUGAGCUUUCUCCUUUUGGCCAUAAUUGGAGUUGUUAUUGAAAUUCCCAACCCUCGUCCAUGACCCACGACCUCUACCUCGUCCCUCGACCUCUACCUCGGACAUAGUGUCUUCUCUCGUUGUCGGAGCUUUCUUCUCUUUUCUUUGGAUUGACUUCCAUCUUGAGAAGUUGUUCUUCGAUUCCCUGCUUCUUUUUUUGUUUCUCUUCAUAGGCUUGUAACCUUCCUUAAAGUUGCUCGAUCGUCAUAUCUUCCACGAACCUUCUUUACUUGCUCCGCUCCUUUGUAAGAGGUCUCUAGUUUCUCCCAUGCUUCUUUUGAGGAGGUUGUACCAGCAAUCUUUUCAAAAGCAUCUUCAUCUAAUGAUUGAAAGAUGAGAUACUUUGCUUUAUUCUCUUUCUUCUUCAAGUCUUUUAAAUUCUCCUUCUGCGCCGCAGUUAAAGUGGCUUCAUUUUCUGGCACAAUAAAGCCUUUCUCCACGACAUCCCAUACGUCAUGUGCACCCAAUAGAGCUUUCAUUUUAAUACUCCAAUUGUCAAACUUACUUCCCUUUAAUUGUGGAACUUAAAAUGACAUCAUACCAUUGUUUGCCAUAACUCACAAAUUGAGUGAAAAUUUGGAGAUUCUGAAAGCACAGAUGGAUCCGGCACGUCGAAAAACCUUGGGAAGGACUCGAGUCAACUUUCAGUCAACGGUCAACGUCGGUCAACGGUCAACACCGGCUUGGUAGUCUUGGUUUGGUCCGGAUUGGUUCAGCUCCAGUUGGCUCGGUUCGACUCGGCUCGGUUCAGCUCGGCUCGGCUUGGUUCAGUUCGGCUCAGCUUGGUUCAACUCGGUGAGUCGACUCAGCUUCAGGACAGAAAACUUCCGAUGGCAAGUGUGGGUGCGUUCGGUCUCGGAUCGGGAUGAUUUUUGCGGCGUCACGUUCCUCUCGUCAAGAUCUUCGAUUUGAUAUGCUAUAUGACUAUAUAUAGCAUCAAACACUAGCUCUGAUACCACUUUGUUGGAGAAUUAACAAAUAAAACACACAAAAAACACACUAUUUUAUUUCUUCAACAACACUCCUCACCAAUUACAACUCUUAUCUUUCACUCUCUACACCUUAGAGAUUUUGCUACUUCACUUGAUGAUUAAACCAAAGGGGAGAGGGGGUAUUUAUACAUGAAACAAACUAAUCACAACCAUUCAUUUAUUCAACUAAUACACAAAUCCUCACCAUCCAUUAAAACCUACCACUCACCUACUUCACCAACCACACCUAACACACCUAACACAAAUAAUUCAAACCUCACCAACCAUACCUACUCAUGGAACCUUCCAUGAGUUGGGCUUGAUUUGGAUCAAGUUUAUGAUCCAACAAUAAGGACACAGAGUCACAUAAUUAGGCUAUUUGGUAUUGAGGUGCUGUAGUUUUUUUAGCUACAGCUGCCACGGACCCAAAAAAAAAAAACUGUAACUAUAAAAUAAAAGUUAAAAAUGCGUAAUAAAUAUGAAUUUUAAAUUAAGAUUUUGACAAAAAUAGUAGAAAUAUUAUAAUUUUACAAAACACUUUUAACUCUAUACCUUUUAAUCCACGGCCGCCCUACCUCAAUACCNNNNNNNNNNNNNNNNNNNNNNNNNNNNNNNNNNNNNNNNNNNNNNNNNNNNNNNNNNNNNNNNNNNNNNNNNNNNNNNNNNNNNNNNNNNNNNNNNNNNNNNNNNNNNNNNNNNNNNNNNNNNNNNNNNNNNNNNNNNNNNNNNNNNNNNNNNNNNNNNNNNNNNNNNNNNNNNNNNNNNNNNNNNNNNNNNNNNNNNNNNNNNNNNNNNNNNNNNNNNNNNNNNNNNNNNNNNNNNNNNNNNNNNNNNNNNNNNNNNNNNNNNNNNNNNNNNNNNNNNNNNNNNNNNNNNNNNNNNNNNNNNNNNNNNNNNNNNNNNNNNNNNNNNNNNNNNNNNNNNNNNNNNNNNNNNNNNNNNNNNNNNNNNNNNNNNNNNNNNNNNNNNNNNNNNNNNNNNNNNNNNNNNNNNNNNNNNNNNNNNNNNNNNNNNNNNNNNNNNNNNNNNNNNNNNNNNNNNNNNNNNNNNNNNNNNNNNNNNNNNNNNNNNNNNNNNNNNNNNNNNNNNNNNNNNNNNNNNNNNNNNNNNNNNNNNNNNNNNNNNNNNNNNNNNNNNNNNNNNNNNNNNNNNNNNNNNNNNNNNNNNNNNNNNNNNNNNNNNNNNNNNNNNNNNNNNNNNNNNNNNNNNNNNNNNNNNNNNNNNNNNNNNNNNNNNNNNNNNNNNNNNNNNNNNNNNNNNNNNNNNNNNNNNNNNNNNNNNNNNNNNNNNNNNNNNNNNNNNNNNNNNNCUGGAAAGAGCUCAAGCUAAUUAAUUGAUUUUUAUCUUUUGGAUGCACUUAAUUGUAAUUAACCGGAUCAAAUUUUGAAACCAAAAUAAUUCACGGGGCAUUCUAGCUUCUAGCUAAUUCAUCCAAAAAAAUAUAAAAUUAUAUAAAAAUAAUAAAAAUACGUGUGAUGUCAGCUUGAUGCGUACAUUCAAAGUUCCAAUUGAAAACAAAUAGAUAUUCAUUUUUCUUGUCAAAUUAUUGAAAGAGACAUCUCUUAAUUUCUUCCAUCACCAGCAACGGUUGAGUGACCUUGUCUUACAUUGUGCAGCAGCCUCCUCGAAGUUAAAAAAAAAAAAAAAAAAUAGCCCAUUAUCUUGGCUUUUGGCUGGAUCCAAAUUUUUGUUAAAUACAAAUAAAUAUAAUAUCAACUUAAAUAUUCCAAUAAACCUUCUAAUAUCUUCUUUGAACAGUUUUAUUUUUAUUUUAUGAGGAGGGAAGAGUAAACCAUUAAAACUAUAAUUCAUCAUAAAUUUAUUGUACCAAUUUUUUUUUUAAAUCCAUAAUUUUGUGAAAUAUAAAUUUUAAGAAUUGAAAAAUAUCAUUAUAGCUUUCAUAUCCAAAGUUAAUUUUGAUAUUUUUGUACAAUUACAUAAUCUUCAAAUGUGGAUAAUGUAAAAGAUGAAAAUUGUCAAAUUAUUAGAUAAUUGUUUUUACAAAAUUUUAACGAUCAGAAAAAUCUUAAUUUAUAUGUCUUAGUUUAAAGAAUUGGUAUUAUCAAAUGUUACUUAAAUGUAAAUAUAAUAUAAAUAUUUUGUGUAUUUAUAUGUUACGUUUAUGAUUUGAUCACUGUUUAUCUAAAUUUUAAUAAAAUCAGACAUAUUUAUGUAAUUUACUCAUAAAAAAAUAAUCCAUGAUUUAAUUUGCAAUGAUCAAAUUGUUGUAUUUUGUCAUAUCAAAAUACAUAUUUUUGUACAAUUACCCAUAAAGUUUAUGCUACAAUCAAGCUAUUUAUAAUAUAAGUGUGAUUUUUGAAUUUAAUAUUGAUAUUAGUAUUAAAUAUGAUAAUAGAAAAAUAUUUUAUUAGAUAUUAAUUGGGUCAUUUGUGUUAUUGUUUUUAAAAAUUAAUGACCUGCAACAUUAAUUGUCAAUAAUGGGUUUUUUUAAAACAUGCUGGUGCCCGGAUGUAAAUGCCGGUACCUCCCAAGUCAGUAGCCUUAUUAUAACAGUGUAUUCCCGUCAGCAUAUUGGCCUGCCCCUGUACCAUUACUCCAAUUGAUGCUGAAAAUAUAACAACAUCAGUGACCGCGUUGUCGUUUCCCGUGAUGUUUAUUCCGAUGCCGGAGAAAUCCUUUUCGCGAUCAUCCCCGCCGAUGUUGAUGUGUUGGCCGAUGAAGGAAUUUCUUAUAUACGUUUCGUGGCCAUCUUGGAUGGAAAUGCCAGCGGUAGUGAAAUGCGAAAUGUAACAAUUGUCCACUGUGGUUCUUAUUGAAUUUAUAAUGGCAAUGCCGCCACCCCUAAAAUUGGAGUCCAACAUAAGCUCCUUCAAAGUAAUGUAUUCGUAUAAUGACGAUGAUGAUGACGAUCUUAACUCUAUGAGAUGUCCGUUGCCCGAAAAAUCAUCCGAUGCUCGGAGGGACCCACCGUGUACCUAUGUAUACAUAUAUAGAUGUUAAAAGUAAGAAUUAAAGUAAGAAUUAAAUUUUAAAUUAAUAUGUGAUUUGGUAUGAUUCCUAGUUACAAAAUUUUGGCAUUUUGUAUUCGGUUUUGUAGUCCUUCAUAAGACUGGCAAAAAUCAUUAUCAAUUAAACAUUAUGUUGUUAUAUUUUUUUAAUGAUCUUUAUUUUAUUUGCUUUAAACAAUAUCUAUUUUUCAAAAACAAUACUUUUGACAAGCAAACCCUAAAGUGGGAUUGAAGCAGAGAUGAAAGAGAAAGCAUGCAUUUUGCACAUGUUUAUAAAAACAAGAGAGUAUAUUUAAUCUCAAUCUGUAAUUCUGUAUAAUGUAUUAUUCUUAAGUUUGAAUCAAAUUAUUCUUGAUUCCAUCUGCCAAUCCAUCUCGGGCCAUUGAAUUAUGCAUAGCUAUUAUGGUAAUGGUCUCUUUAUUCUCCUCACAAUCAAUUAAUUGUGAUGACCAUACUGUUCUCACGAUUCUCAACCGCAAAAAAUUUAAAUAUUGUAUUGUACAUUUUUAUAAACAAAUUUUAUGUCAUCUCCAUUAUUGUGGAAUUUUAAUAUCCUAAUACAAUAUUAUGAUAGUAAUUGGGUCAAUAUGGGUAUUGGGUCAUAUUAUCGUUAUAAAUAUUAAUUUAUUAUAACUGAGUGUGUAAAGUAUCUUUUUUUAUUGUUGUACCAUAUUUAACUUUUGGCUGCAAAUAUAUAUAUACUUAGCAUUAUUUAUAUCAAUAAGUUAAUAUAUAUAUCCUUUUCUUUAGCAUCAAAUUUAAGUUUUUAAAAAGUUAUGAUAAUUCACUAAUUUGGUAUUUAGGAAAUUAAAUCCAUAUCAAUUUAUUAGAUAUCUUAAACCGUAUGUAAAAAUAGAAUAUUGACCAUUAUUCUAUUAGUAAUAUAUCCAUUAAAGAUUUUGACGUGCUAUGGUCUAAAAAAAUUAACUUGGCGGGAUGUUAUGAUUAUAUUCAAGGUGAUAGGCAAGAAAGUUAUGAGGAGACCCCAUUGAAGCCUAUAUAUUAUAGUAUGCAUAAAGACUCAAAAAGUGCACUUGAAAUAACAGUUGUCACUGACAGGUUAAGAUAAGCUACCAAAUUGGCACUUAAAGGAAGAAAUUCUAGUAUUAGUGUCAUAUUUUAUGCCAUAUUAUGUAAUGCAUAUUAGUAAUGAUUUCUUCAUAAUAUCGCAUAUAUAUAAAAGUUCAUCCUAGCUAGAUGCAUUGUAGAUUUUGUAAGAAUUAUUUUACUCUGUCCAAAUGAGUUCACAUUAUUAUCCAAUUUUCCUUUUUUUAAGUUGAUUUAUGAAAGAAAAAAAAAAAUGACACCAAUGUUUUCCACGUCGCCGCAAGUCUCAUCGAUAAAAGUCCAUCUACAAAUUAGUUCAUAAUUCUUUUUGUAACUUCGCUAAAAGCUAGUCAAGUCAUUGCUAGCAAGCCUCAAAAGCACGAAGUACGCGAAUCACGGCGAUAACUGAUAAUAACUUGGUUGUCCGGUUUCGCAUACUAAUUAGCUUGAUUGAAAAUCGUGAAGUAUGGGGCACGACUAACGCAACGCAUACGUCUCAUGCAUUAGGCAAAUAUUGUACGCGACCCAUGUUGAGAGCACAAAUCCACUAUCUACAAGUACUAUAUAUAGAGCUGCAAUGCGUGCUUCAAGUAUUCACAACUUACCCCCAGCUGGCUAGCUAGCCUCUAUAAUUUGAAGGGAAAAAAAAAAAAAAAAAACCUUGUUCAACUUGCAAAUACCUACCAAUUAUUAUGGAGAAAAGCUUUGAUAUCAUUGCCCUGUCUAUGAUCAUUCUGGUGACUUAUUCAUCUAAAAUGGUGUCGGUCGCCGGCCGGUCGCUGCAUGAACCAUCCAUUGUUGAGAAGCAUGAAAAAUGGAUGGCUGAGCAUGGGCGCACUUACAAGGACGACCUGGAGAAGGAAAAGCGGUUUAAGAUAUUCAAAGAAAACCUUGAAUACAUUGAGAAAGCCAAUGAGGAGGCGAAUCGGACGUACAAGUUAGGCACCAAUGAAUUUUCAGACUUAACUAAUGAGGAGUUUCGUGCUUCAUAUACAGGAUACAGGGUGCCAAGCCAGUCAUCUUCAUCACGGCAAUCCACAACAGCAUCCUUCAAGUAUCAAAACCUGACUGACGUUCCAACUAGCAUGGACUGGAGAGAGAAAGGAGCUGUCACUCCUAUUAAGAACCAAGGUCAAUGUGGUAAGUAAAUCGUAUACUAAAUAUUUAUGAAGUAACUAUAAUAGAUUAUUUAGCCUCCAACCUCUUUCAGAACUCAAACUCAGUUGACCAUCAGCUAAUUAAUAAAAACAGCUUGACAACCGUCUGCCAAACCCCUGCUGGGGCAUGUUUCAUGUAACUUAAUCAAGCCUUUUUUUUUUUUUUUUCCCUUAAUAUGUACGAUGCAGGAGACUGUUGGGCAUUUUCAACUGUGGCGGCGGUGGAAGGGGUGACUGAGAUUAGUAGUGGUAAUCUUAUUCCACUUUCGGAGCAGCAAAUACUAGACUGCUCAAUAGAUGGUAACCGUGGAUGCGGUGGCGGUUGGAUGGACAAUGCCUUUAAAUAUAUUAUAAAAAACCAGGGUAUUGCCUCAGAAGCGGAUUAUCCAUACAAGGAAGUCCAAGGGACUUGUGAAGACGCACAGGUCAAGGCAGCUGCUAAAAUUAGUAACUUUGAAGAUGUAAAACCCAAUGAUGAGCAGGCUUUACUCCAAGCUGUAGCCAUGCAGCCAGUAUCAAUUUGCAUUGAAGGAAGUGGACCAGACUUCCAGAGUUACAAAGGCGGUAUUUUUAACGGAGGAUGUGGAACUCAGUGUUCUCAUGCUGUUGCUAUCGUUGGAUAUGGGGCAACUGAAGAUGGAAUGAAGUAUUGGUUAAUUAAGAAUUCAUGGGGGGAGAGCUGGGGUGAGGCCGGCUACAUGAGGAUUCUCAGAGAUGUUGAAGCACCUGAAGGUCUCUGUGGCAUUGCCACUAAACCUUCCUACCCAGUUGCAUGAGUAGCAGUAUUUUAUAUUAUAAUAUUAUUAGCCGCCUCUUAGUAAUGAUGUCUUCAAGCCUACACAUGCAUUAGCCUCGAAAGGCUUAUACGAACCGUAUGAAUCGUAUGAUUCUGUGGUUUUACCUAUGUUGAGUAUUUCAUAAGUUGUAAUUGAACGCCAAUAUUUGGUAUUAGUUAAUGUUAAAUCUCUCGUUUAAAUAUAAGUUUGAUCUUUGCAGUAAUUAGUCAUUUACAUUUAAUGUCACGGAUACUCAAUUCGACCAAGAAAUACAUAGUUUAUAUCUUAGUUACUCUGAUAUUUUAUGUGGCAUGUUAUAUGUAGUUCAUUGAUCAAGUUGUAAGAAUAGUAUGUAAAUAAUUAAUAAUAAAUUUAUUUAUUAUCAUUUAUGAGACAAUAAAUGAUUAGUGGAACAUUAAUUAAAAUACAAACUAUUAUUAUUUAUUUAAGAAAUAUAUAUUGGUCAAUGAAAUUAAUGCAAGACAAAAAGUAACUGAAUUUUGAUUACACGCUUGAUGUCUGGAAGUACAAUGAUUAUGAAUUUGUGUUUAAUUAGGUCAAAGUUUUAAGUUAAAAUAAUCAAACCUAUAUACUCACACUAACUUUUAAAGUUUGAGUGGAAUUUGCCCGCUUUAAUUGGGGUCUCAUACAGCAAAAAAUUUUUGGCCAUCUUGAAUUUCUUUUUCUAUUUACUUAUAAAAAUUUAAAGGCUUGGUAAUUUCCCUCCCCCAAAUUCUGUCUUUAUUCCUAAGUAAAUUAGUUAGUCAUUAUUUCAAUAAUUAAAAUUAUUCUAAGUUCUAAAUUUUGGGCGUGGAGGGAAAGUUAAGCGCAAGUAGCCGUGACUGAUUAAUAUUAAACAAUAUAAUUUAAUGCAUUUUUUUCUUCAUCUAUUUUUUUAAUAUUAGUUUUUGAACAAAAUAGUAGAACGAUAGUUAGAAUUUAUUAAUCAAAUUUUUUUACUUUCAUAUCCAUAUUAUAUUGUCAAUAAUAGUGUCAUGUAAUUAUAAUUAAAAGUAUUUGCAAAUAAUUUUGAAAGUCGACCGCCUCAUCAAAAACUCAGGAUGGCCGAGUGGUCUAAGGCGCCAGACUCAAGUCUGGUCUUCGAAAGAGGGCGUGGGUUCAAAUCCCACUUCUGACAAUGUAAUUUUUUAUUUUUUAUUCAUUUUUUUACAACGUUACGACUAAACGACGUCAUUUUCAUUAAACGGCAAGUCGUUUCAGUCGUCUUCUUUAACGGAAUAAAAAAUAUCUAAACCGAAGACCAAUGUUUCCAAACCCGCUAUAAACCCUACAGAUAACCCUCAUUGCCACUCGCAUCACUGAGUUCUUAACCUGAGUUAAAAUGGCCGAGUCCGCAUCCGAACUCAGUGAGUUCCGGAUUUUUCCGGCGGACUCACCGCCACCACAACCGAAUUCAACCGGAGUUCCGGUUCAUAAUCUAACACCAGAGGAGCUCGUGGCCAAAGCCAUAGCUCCAGUUAAGAAACAGUUUCUUCGUCAUUAAAUUCCAAAAUAAAUUUUAACAUAAUAAUUAAUUCUUUUAAUAGAUAAAAUUUUCUAUAUGCACGAUUGAAUUCAGCCCCAAAAUGUUAAUUAAAAAACAAUUAUCCAAUAUUCAAGAUAGUUUGAAUCGUCAUUCUCAUAUCGUUAUAAUGUCAUGAAAUAAUUGUACAAAAACAAAUGACCAAUAAAUUCACAAACGUAUAAUAUUGCCUAAUGUAAAUAACUUAUUAAUUAAUAUUGAUAUAUUAUUAAUUACUUAAUGUUUUACCUUUUUAUAAAACAUAAAAUUAUGUUUACUUCCAUUCAAGAUAUCCCAAAAAAAUUAAUCUUUUUGGAUGAUUCAUAAUUUUCAAGAGGAUGUUUUUACACCAUACCAUCGUCAAAUUGAUAAGGGCCAUGUUAUUUUUUAUUUAAUUGAUUUAAAUUUCAACUAGAGAGCUAUUGGAAUCGAUCACUGUAAAAGUUAAGUUGUGAUGUAAUCACACAAUCUUGAGAUCUGCUAUUAGAAAAAUAAUUGAAGAACCAAAUCCCAAUGAAAAUACAUCCAAAAUGAUGUCGUUUUGAAUUUGUUCCCAAAAAAAAAAAAAAAUUAAACUCACUAAAAAACAACAUGUGUGUUUUUGUUAACCUUUUAUCGAAUUGUAAUUUAAAUAUUUAUCAUGUACUUUUAUAUUCUAUUCAGGGCUGGCUCAACCAUAUUUGAGGCCUUAGGCAAAUGGUUUUAAUUAGUUUUUCUUAAAAUUUAGGACAAAAAAUAUGUUUAUUAGUUAUGAGUGAUGAUACAGCCACAAACUCUUGUACAAACUGACGUGGUAUUAAUUCAUUGGUUGAAUGAAAAUAUAAAAUAAUAAAAACAAAUCACGUGAGCCAAGUGAUAUUUAAUUCAACCAAUCUUAUCAUGCCACAUCAGUUUGUACAAGAGUUUGUGGUUAUAUCAUUACUCAUUAGUUAUAUAAUAUUUAUUGAAAAUCAAUUCUUUAAACACUCUCUAAAAUGUAAAAUUAUUAAAUAAAAUUAUAUUACACUAUUGUCAAUCCUUGAAAUUUUAAUUCAAUUAUAAUAUUUUUACUUUUUUUUUUAACUCAAAUUACAUCUUUUAUACUACUUCUUUUCUACAUUAAAUUAAUUUUUUUAUUCUUCUAUUUUCUAAAGUUUUUUGAUAUAGUUAUUUAUUUCACAAUAGAAAAAAAAAAGCACACAAAAAAUAGUAGAUGAAUAAAAGAAUGUAUUAAAAAGAAAUAAGAACACAUAAAUAAUACGAUUAAUUAAGAGAAUAAUAAAAAAUAAAAUCUGAAAUUUGAAAUUUGAGAUGAAAUCAUAAAUUAACUUUAUCUUUAUAUUAAUUAUUUGAAGAUUUGAGUAAUGACUAAUAGCCAUAGAGAAUAGAAAAAAACUAUUAGAUUUUUUCUUUUUUUUCUUGAGUGGAAAGUAGAGGAAGCAAGAUUUUUUUUCCCCUCUCUCUCUUUCUUGCUCUCAAAAACGAAGAACAUAUGCUGUCUUCAUUGUUAGAAGAAAAAUUUAAUGGAUAAGUAAUAAAAUGUGGGGCUUUUAUAGAGGUUUAAAAUGAAUAUAAAACUUUUAUAUAAGUUGUUAAUUCUAACAAUGAAAUAACGAAUUUAUAGGAUUGAAACUAUUAAUUUAUCGGUUUUGUAGGAAUUAAAACUACUAAGUACUACAUUAAAUAAACUUUAUAGGAACUCGGUAGUUUAUUUGAGAAAAGAUAAUUACAAAAUAAUAAUAAAUUAGAUGCAUGAUAAUGACUUUUAAAUUCACUUUCCUCUUUUAUAUACAAAAUAAUCAUCUUAUAGGAUUUUCUUGUAAAGUAGGGCUCUAAGCAACCGCCUAAGUUGUCUAGAGAUCGAACUGCUACUGAUUCUAUUACUAAUUUUGAAAUUUUCAGACAUAUUUAAGCUCCACUAUUUUAUUUUUUUAAUCAAAAUAGUAUGUUUAUUAAUAAUGAUUAUAAAAAAAAGAUAAUGAUUCAAUAAUGUUGUUUAUAUAUAUUGAAUCAACUUUAAAAGUCAACAUUUACUUUACACACUCGUAUAAAUGCUAAAAUAACCCUUUAUUUAUGUAUUUUUUAAGGCUGUAGAAUGUAUUCAUUACAAAGAUACAGUACAUUUAAUUUGUGGUAUUCAAAAUUUGAUGAUUACCAUUUUUGAGUUGAUGGUCUUAUGCUUCAUAUUUGCAUUAAUUUUAUGUUUAAUAGUAUGACAGUGAUUUCAUGUAAAGUUUUAUUUCCUAAUUACAAUUUUAAAUUAAUGUUCCUAAAUUUCAUAUUAUCAUUAGUUUCAUAUAUCUUUUAUGUUCAAUAUUAAUGAUUUCAUGUAAUACUCCAAUGAAUUCUAGCUUAAUUAUUACAAUUGUAAGUAGAUGAUCAUAUUAUUUUAUGCUUAAUUUUAUAAUUAAAUUAACGAAUGAAACUGUUGCUACCUUUUCAUAAUUAUUUAUUUUCCAGGAAUCAUUUUUUAGCACUUCUCAAUGUCAUUAUUUGAAAAUUAAAUGAGGGGUUGGGUUUGUAUUCAUUACAUCGGAUGAUUUAUAUUUAAAUAAAUUAUUUCAAUCUCAUAUCGUUAUAUUAUGGGUGAUUUUAUAUCCACAUUUAAAUUUUUAAAGUUGUUAUCUUAACUUUUUAAAAUCAGAGUUGUGUUUAUUUAUCAAUUUAAAACGUCAAUAAUCUACUAUUGGCGUAACAAUUGAUAUUCUCAUUUUGGAAUCAUCAAGAAUCUUAAAAUUUUCAAAGCCACCAUGCUCAAUUUAUACACGAAAAAGAGGAGGGGGGGGGGGGGGGGUAAGAUGCAUGAUCAGAAAUGAAUUUGGCAAGUAUUUGAUUGAGUUGAGAGGUCACUAAUCUCACUUAAUUUGCGAAUCACAAUAUGAUUGUUUUCAAUCGGCACCAAAACGAAGGGCUGGUUUUGGUUAUUAUAGUGCCUUGUUCUAUGAAGGAUUUUGGUUACCCACAUAUGGGAUUGAUCUUUGCUUCUACUCAGUAUAAAUUCUUGAAUUAUACUAUAUAUAUAAAAAAAUAAAAAUUAUAGAACAUGCUAUAAGCGUAUAAAUUGAGACUUUCGUUAAAUUUUAAUUUAUAAUAUUUUUCCGGAGAAAAGUAAUUAGCAUGAAACACAACAGCGGUGAAUCAUCUCAUUUUUCAAGAAAUAAUAUUUGUCAGAGCUUUUUUUUUUAUAUUAGUUUAUAAUUAACUUUAAUAUGUAAUAAUAUAGCAUAUUCUGGGAAACCUGUUGGGAUAAUUGUUUUUAAUAUUAUUAUGAUAUUACACAUGAUUGGCAGUCGCAACUCAUCAUCAUCAUCUGAAACCAUAUUAACAAACAUUUAUUUAACAAUAUUCUUUAUGUAAACAGGAUUACCCUAAACCCAAUUAAUAUCUGCAGGGAUCAGACGACUGUUAGAACAUAUGUUAAAUUUGUAUAAUAUAUGAUUUAAAAAUUUAAAAAAUAAAUUUUUCUUUUUUGGAGAUAACAGUUGGUAUAUUUAGGAUUAGUAAAACUAAAUGUUUUAUUUUUAUUCUAUGUGCUCCAUCAUGGCAGUAGUUAUUUUUUUGCGAUUAAACAUACUAUUUUGAUUUAAAUGGAUUACAAAAUGGCACAUUUUUUUAACCCUUAACAGUUGGUAUAUUUUUUUUUAACCCUUAACAGUUGGUAUAUAUUUUUUAAUAAGAUUAUUAAUGCAUCAAGUAAUCUUGUUUUGAUGAUUGUAACUCGUGACUGCGGGAAAAUUUCUAAUGGAAACAACUCAAUUUCGGAAGAAAACUUGAUUUUGCAAGUGAUGAAUUUGAACUCGUUGGAUUGGUUGAUUUAUGAUUGACUGAAUUUCACUUUUCCUCAUAAGAUCUUUAACCAAAGUUUAAUAGCUAUCAUGUACUCCUUAAAAGCAAUUUUUUUUUUUAGAUUUGACUGAAUUUGAACUUGUUGGAUUGGUUGCUUUUAGAUUAUUAAUAUGAGAUAUUACAACGUAAAUAUUUUCAUGUGGUUGAGCCCUAUUCUAAAAUCUGUAUAGUUAGCUUUAGAAAAAGGGCUUUUCCUGCUGAUCUGUAAUCUUGAAAUAAACUUAGAUACAAAUAAUGAAAUAAAGGACAACAAACAAGCAAUACUGAUACAAAGCCAACAGAUCAGAGUUUUUGGUACAAAUCCAAUAAAAGACAAUAAACUUAGGACCUUUUUUUCUUGCUUUCUUUUGUUGAAGGAUUAGAGUUUUUGGUAUUAUCAGUAAAGGUUUCAAGGAGUAAAAGCCUAUAAACUUUUUUUUUGGGGGAGCGCCGCCGGGGGGGGCGGGGGAGAGCAUGCAAAUUAACCAAAAGAAAUAAUAAGAGCACAGGCUUUAACAAUGAAUACUGACUUAAAACUCAUGCAAAAUAAGUUACAAUACUAAAACAAACCAGAGAAAUUUUUUUCUUGGAAAGUAGAUGGAACUUAUGAAAGAGCAGAUGUCAAGGAUUUAGAAAACGUGCACCUCUUUAAUUACCUGGGAUUAGAGAGUUGGUGAGCUUCUCUAUUUAAGAACAAGUUGAAAGAGGAAAAAGAUCACUGGUAACUGCUGAGGAAUGUGUGAGAAAAGAGUUGAUGAGAGCAAUAACAAUGACCUGCAAAAGAAACAGAAUUAGUCAUUCACCGCUUUUCUAUAUCAUGUAUUUGGUUAUUGUUGCCCUGUUGACGCAUGUUGAAGAAGAAAGCACUAGUUCACAACUCUACGUUUUCAUAUAUUCUAAAGAAAUAAUUAAGCUUUCAUAGAAUAAUACCUGUUGUGUUUGAGUAAUUUUGGUAUAUACAUUGCUUGUGUACUGUGAAAUUGAAAUGAAUAUUGAUUGACAGAGCAAUGUAUAUGCCUAAUAAAACACAAAGCAAAUACCGGAAUUCCCCUUUUAAGGUGAAGGCCUUACUCAAUUCCUAUUGGAAUUGCAACGAAUGAUUCGGGACUAAAACUUUUAUAAAAGCAAAUACCGGAAACACACAAAAAGCAUUUAAGAGAGAAACUAAACAGCAAAUAAUAGAAGUAAGAUCAAUAAUAUAUGAUUUGAUUUAUGCAUAUUCAAAAACCAAAAUAUAAAAUAAAAUAAAAAAAUAAAGUUUGAUUUAUUCUUUCCACAAAAAACAGGGGAAUGAAAACAGAGGCAACUUGUUUUACCAAUUUUUUCUUCUUAAUUUCCGGCAAAAAAAAAAAAUUCAAUAAACAGGGGAAUGAACACAAAGGAACGAAAACAGAGGAAACUUGCUUUUCAGGCUAUCUUGUGACAUGAUGAUAUUGCUCGUGAAUGCAUGAAAAUUUCUAAUGCAAACAGCUCAAUUUGGGAUGAUAAGCUUAAGUUUGCAAGUGAUGCAAGUAAAUAAGUUUUUGCGGUUAAUUGAAUCUUUAAUACUCUGGGCCCUAUUCUAAAAUUUGUAGGUUGCUUCAGAAGAAAGGGCAGUUCUCACUCAUCUUUAAUCUCCAAGUAAAAUUAGAUACAAAGCAAAUCUAAUAAAAUGACAAACAAACAAACAAACAAAACAAAGAAAAGACAGGAGGCAAACAACAUUGAUCUUAAGCCAACUGAUAUUUUAAACAGAGAAUUCUUUUCUUUUAUUUUUUUUAACCACCUUUUGCUCAAGGAUUAGAGUUUUUAUAUUAACAGAAAGGUUUCAGGGGUCUGAAUAAAAGCCCACAAUUUCUCUAAUUGUUAUUUUUUUUUUUAUUAUUGAAAGGAGCUUCACUAUUGGCCUUGAACAUAUAAGAAUGAGCAAAAGAUCAAUGUCAACUGCCGAGGAAUGUGAGUAAAGAUUUCAUCAGAGUAAGUAAUACAAAUGAAUUGUAAAAGAACAAGACUUAAGCGUGCACCCCGUGUUUUGUUUUAUUGUACGUAUAAACAUAACAUGUUCAUUUUUAACAAAGUGGUCAAUUACUCUUUUUUUUUUUGGUACAAAGACGUGCCUAGCAUAGACUAGGGCAAAACAAAACGGGGGUGUGAAACCCCAAUACAAUUAUGACGAAUCCAAAACCCAGCCCCUAAAGGAAGAGAAUUGAAAAUGUGCAAUCCAACAGGGAGUGAAAGAGCAGAGUUUGCAAGAAAGUCAGCUGCAAAAUUUGAUUCUCUGUAAACAUGCUUGACCUGCACUUGCCAGGUUUUGUUAAGCAAUUCCUUAAUACCCCUGACAAGAGAAGCAUGUGCAUUUGGCCUAAUCUCGUCAUCCGCCACCAAAAGAGUAACACAAAGGCUGUCAAUCUCCACAUGAAGCUGCCGAAUUCCAUUAUCCCAAGCCAGACAUAACCCUUGAUAAAGGCCCCAUAACUCAGCACCAGUGAUGGUACCCACACCAAUAUUCAUUCCAAAACCAAUUAUCCACUCUCCAUAACAGUUUCUAAUCAAGCCAUCUGCACUAGACAGACCAGAACUUUUACGAGCUCCAUCUGUGUCGAGUUUAAACCAAGGCCAAGUAGGUGCCACCCAUCCAAAAUAUUCUCAAUCUUCAUGGCAGCAGGAACCAAACAACUCUAAUUAAUCUUUUGAAUUUCUUCUGUACGGAUCUUAAUAUCCAUUACAACAGUACUCUUGCUGUUGCUGGUAAAAACACCAUUAUGCAGAUUUUGGUUACGCCAAAACCAAAGCCUCCAAACUGUGACCCCAAAAAGACACGGCCAGUCAAACAUACCAUCAUACUUCCACAAGUUCCUCAAAUUAUAUAACAUCCAAUCUCGGAGAUUCAAACUAAAAAAUUAAUGACUAAUCCCAUGGGGUAUCAAUGACGACCAGACAUGCUUAGCACUGGGGCAAUCCCGUAGCACAUGAAGAGUAUUUUCAACAACACAGCCACACUUUGCACAGCUCAUAUCAUCAACAAUAUGUCUCCGGAAAAGUUCUGCUUUAGUUUUAAGUCUAUUUUGACCCACCACCCACAGAAAGGUUUUGAUACGUUGGGGACCUCUCCACUGCCAAAGAAUGCGCCAAAAUGAUUCUUCAUUGUGAACCUCCAUUUUUGACAAAGCCCUAUAUGCUGAAUUAGUAGUGAAAUCUCCUGACUUAGAAUAUGCCCAGUUCAUGUAAUCAUCCUCAUCAUUUACACUGGGAGGCUUGGUGGCUGCAAUUUUGAGAAGUAAAUGAUGGGGCAAUAAAUUCUCAAAAAGCCGCCAAUUCCAAGUACCCUCAACAGUGAUAAACCUCACCACGCACUCCUCAAGCUGCUCUAAAGGUAUCGGCUGCAAAGCGAAAGUAUACAAAGGGUAUUCCUCUGUUACCCAAUUAUCCCACCAAAAUCUAACUCGGUUGCCAUUUCCAAUGUCCCAUUUGAUCCCUUUUAAAACCUCAUGCCAAAUGCCUCCCACAGCCUUCCACAUGUAAGAGCCACAUUUCGUAGGUAAUGUGCUGGGGAGAGCAUUAGGAGCCAGCCCAUACUUAGACAAGAGAACCUUCAACCAUAAACUAUUUGGAGAAGCAAUUAAACCGCCCCCAAUCUUCAUGAGCAGAGCAUCAUUCAUUAAAUUAAGCUGCUUAAGACCAAGGCCUCCGCUAGGUUUCGGUUGACAUAUUGUAUCCUAUUUCACUAAACUGAUUUUCUUCUUGUCUGCUGUCCCGCUCCAAAUAAACCUCCUACAAGCCUGAUCAAUUUUCUCCCGAAUACCAAACGGAAUCCUCGUGGUCUGCAUUGCAUAAAUAGGAAUCGCCUGGAUUACCGAUUGAGUGAGAGUGAUCCUACCCGCCAAGGACAAAUGUAUCGCAUUCCACCGCAACAAAUGUUGGUUCACUUUGUCCAAAAUUCCCUGAUAAGUUAGCUUAUUAACCCGUGAAUGAAUAAUUGGCAUUCCUAAAUAUUUCCCUAGGUUUUUUGUGACAGAAAAACUGAAGGAAUCACCAAUUUCCUUAGCCUCAGCAAACUUUACGUUGUGGGAGAAAAAAACUUAUGUCUUUGUUUUACUAACUUUCUCUCCAGAGCUCAUACAAUAAACAUUCAACACUUCAUUUAUAACCAUUGCUUGCCUAGAGGAAGCCUCUGCAAGCAAGAUAAGAUCGUUAGCAAAAAAUAAGUGAGAUAAAGAGGUACCUGCACGAGACAGUUUAAUAGGUUUCCAGUACCCUCUCUUCACAGUGUCAUUUACUCCAUGGCUUAACCUUUCUAUACAUAACACAAAGAUAUAUGGGGAAAUGGGGUCUCCCUGUCUAAUACCCCUAGAAGGGGUAAAACUCUCCGUAAUUUCUCCAUUCCAUAGAAGUUGCAUAGUCGCCGUUGUAAUACAUUCCAUAAUAAGCUGAACCAAAACAGUAGGCAAUCCAAACUCCCUCAAGGUUUCAUAAAUAAAAUCCCAGCUUAAACGAUCAUACGCCUUUUCCAAAUCCACCUUAAUGGCCAUCUGCCCAAUCCUCCCUUUCUUACGUCUCAUCUAAUGAAUAACUUCCUGAGCAACCACUAUGUUUUCCGUUAUGUGUCUCCCCGGGAUAAAACUAGUCAGGGUAGGAAUGAGGUCAGGCAAGAUAGAUUUCAGCCGGUUAGCUAAUAACUUAGUGAUAGUUUUAUAGAUAACCGGGCAAAGACUAAUCGGACGAAAAAGCUUAAGGCUAAUAGGAUUAUCCGACUUAGGAACCAACACAAUCAGAGUUUUGUUCAGCUCCUUAAGGAUCUCGUUGCCAUUAAAAAUACCUUUUAUAAGACUACAGACAGAUUUUCCCACUACAUGCCACUGGGUCUGGUAAAAGAGAGCAUGCAACCCGCCUAUUCCAGGGGCUUUCAAAGCCUUCAUGCUGAAGAUCACAUUCUUAAUUUCCUCAUCCUCCACUGCUUGUCCCAAAGCUUGCAUUCGACUUUCCUCAAGGACUGGGAAGGCGUUAACAACAUGGUAUGGAUGAUAGAUUGCAUCCUCUUUGGGAUAGAGCUUUGAAAAGAAGGACACAGCAUAAUCUCUAAUCUCAUCAUUAUUCAACAACCAAUAACUCUAUUCGUUAUGAAAUUGAUAUUGUACCCAAUUUUAAGAGAGCAUAAUAAUAACCAUUCAAUGCAUAAAUUUAGAAUUAGGUUUUUUUUUGUAAUUCUUUAUUUAAAUAUAAACUUCAAUGGAAAAUUAUAAAAAUUUAGAUAUAAAAUUUUAAAUCACCGGACCAAAAAAAAAAAAAAGGGGAACGGAAAUAGAGGAAUCUUGCUUUACCUUUUUUUCCUUUAACUCUUGUUCUUAUAUAAAUAAUCUUGUUUUGAUGAUUGUAACUCAUGACUGCGGGAAAAUUUCUAAUGGAUUUGUUAUGCAAGUGAUGGAUUUGUUCAAUUGACUCUGUACUUGAACUAGUUGGAUUGGUUGAUUGAUGAUUGACUAAAUUUGAAUUAAGUUUAAUAGCUUAGCUAUCAUGUACUCCUUAAAAGCAAACGUAAAUCUUUUUUAGAUUUGAAUGAAUUUGGGAACCUGUUGGAUUGAUUGUUUAUAGAUCAUUAAUUUCAGAUACUACAACGUAAAUAUUUUCUUGUGGUUGAAUACCGGUUCUGCUUUAAUGAUUUUGGCAUAGACAUUGCUUGUGAACUGUGAAAUUGAAAUGAAUAUUAAGUGACAGCGCGAUGUAUAUGCCUAAUAAAAGAUCAGCAAAAGCUUGGAUGAAUGAUUGAAGACCAAAACUUUUAUAAAAGCAUUUUUGAGAGAAACUAAACACCAAAUUAUCAAAGUAAGAUCAACAGUAUAUGAUUUGAUCUAUACACAUUCAAAAACAAAAUGAUGAUUAAUAAUAAAGUUUGAUUUUGUAUUGCCAACGAUGCUUUUUUGUUGUUUCAUUUGUUCGACGUGGCCUUAUUUACAAAUUGGUUUAUGUUAACAGAAACAUGAAAUUCACAUCACACAAAAUUGCACGAACAAAUAUUAAGAGAACGUAAUAAUAAUCAGUCAAUGCGUAAGGGUAAAUUUAGAAUUACAUAUUCUUUUUUAUUUAAUAAAAUCCCAACGGGAAGUCAUAAAAAUUUAGAUAUAAAAUUUUCAAUCACCAAACGAAAAAACAGGGGGAAUGAAAACACAGAAAACUUGUUUUACCUUUUUUUUUUUCAUCUAAUUCCUGUUCUUAUAUAAUAUUUUCCCUAGUAUUUCGGGCAAGAAAAAAAAAAUUCAACAAAGAGCAAGUUGCUCAGAUUGAUUUAUCUUGUUUUUCAGGUUAUCUUGUGAAAUGAUGAUAAUGCUCAUGAAUGCUAGAAAACUUCUAAUGCAAACAACUCUAUUUGGGAUGAUAAGCCUAAUUUUACAAGCGAUAAAUAUAAAUAACUUUUUGUGGUCAAUUGAAUUUGUAAUUACUCUUAGCCCUAUUCUAAAAUUUGCAGGCUGCUUGAGAAAAAAGAAUAUUUCUCACUCAUCUUUAAUCUUCAAGGAAAAAACAAAUCUAAUAAAAUGACAAACAAACAAACAAACAUAUAAAAGACAGCAAACAAACAACAUUGAUCUUAUGCCUACUGAUAUUUAAACAGAGAAUUCUUUCUUCUUUUUCUCUUCAUGGAUUAGAGUUUUUGCUAUUAACAGAAAGGUUUCAAGGGUCUGAAUACAAUCCCAGACUUUUUUUUAACUUUGUUUUUUGUGGGAAAAUGGAUUCAAGUUAACCAAAGCCAAUAAUAAGAUCACAGACUUUAACAAUGAACAAUAACUUAAGCAAAACCAAUGACAAGAUUAAAACAAACCAGAGAAAUUUUUCUCGGAAAGUAGAUGAAAAGCAAGUAAGAACUGCUAUUAAAUAUUAUUAAAGGAUUUAGAACAUGUAUACCUCUUUAAUUAUAUGGGAUCAGAGAAAUGACCUUCUCUAUUCGCUUCGGAUAUUAAGUAAGAACUGCUAUUAAAAGAAUGAAUUGAUGAGAGUAAUAACAAUGAAUUGCAAAAUAGGAAGACUCAAUCAUGCACCCCUUUUAUACCCGAUUUUUAAGAUUUAAUUUUGAAGUUCACCAAUCAAGAACAAAGAAAAAACCUUAAUAAAGAAUGCAGUGAGAAUAAUUAAGUUAAAGAAAGUACUAGGUUAUGGCUCUGCGUUUCAUAUGCUGUAAUGAAAUAAUUAAGUUGAAGUUUUUAACGAUUAAAUACCUGUUGUGCUAGAAUAAUUUUAGAAGAAUAUUGGCUUAUAGAGCAUAUUAGUAGGGAUAAGAUUUGUAAGAUGCCAGAUAAAAGAUAAAGCGAAAGCUUGAAUGAAGAAUGGCAUUUAAUAAUUAUAGAAGAAUAUUGGCUUAUAGAGCAUUUUAGUAGUGAUAAGAUUUGUGGACAGAAUAAAUGAAAUAAUAAAAGGCAUAACUGAUCAAGUCAUUAUUGAUCUUACUUUGAUUAUUACAUUGCACAUUAGUUUCUUUCUAAAAAUGCCAUUCUUCAUUCAAGCUUUCGCUUUAUCUUUCAUCAGGCAUCCUACAAAUCUUAUCCCAACUAAUAUGCUCUAUAAGCCAAUAUUCUUCUAAAAUUAUUAAAUUCCAUUCUUCAUUCAAGCUUUCAUGGACACUAUUUACAAAUUGUUCUUGUAUUUGACAGAAAAAUGAAAACUCCUCAUCAUACAAAACUGCAUGAACAAAUCUUCAAUUUAAUUAUGAUAAAAUAAUUAAUUCCAUUAAUAGAUUAUGUUGUUUUUUUUUUUUUUGUCUUGACCACAAGGUAUCCUGGGAAGGGCCCCAACUGUGGGAGGCAUUUUUAAGCCCGUACCACAACCCAUACUAGAAGUCCCCACUCGAACCGGGAGGCACAAGUUCUCCCAACAAAGGCGACUUCCCUGCAAUUCGAACUGGGGAGCAAACCCAGUCAAUCCACUUAAGGGGACUCCAUUGCCAGUGGAGCCAACACUUUGUUGGUUAUGUUGUAUGUUAAUGUGAGGGAUUUGAUCAGGUGAUCAUAUAAUUUACUAAACGCUUUAAGAAGAACAAGAAUUAAUGAGUUAAAAAUUAAAAAAUAAAUAAAUAAAGAGUAGAUGGAAAGAAUGUUAUUUGCAAUCACUAAACCAAAGAACAGGGGAAUGAUAAGAGAGGACGGUUACUGCAACAUUAUGAAGUCAAAAUUAAGAAAGGCAUUCUUUUUUUUUUCACAUUAUUCUAUUUAAUCUUUCAUAAGGCGCACACUACGAAUCUAAAUUAAAUUCAUAAUUAAGAAUAAAAGAUAAACCCAAACAAUCAUCUAGCAGGUGCCGUGUAGACUGCAUCAAAAAUUUAGAUUUAGAUUUUUACAAUCACCAAAUGGAAAAACAGGGGAAUGAAAACAAAGGUGCCGUGUUUGUAGAAACAGGGGAGUUUCCGGGUUUCUGGAAACAAACUCAGAAACGAAUAAAUCUCUUGGUGUAUAUAAGCUUUCAUCAUCUGGUUUUAGUUUGGUUAGGUUUAACUACAUUUCCUGGGUAGCAUUACUUAUGCUAGUAUAUUCAUUUCUACCCAAGCCACAGUGACUGUUAGGAGUUCUCGUAAACUGAAUUUAAAGUUGCGGCUUAAAGUGUUUACCAACUUAAAACCAGAGCUAUAAAGUGUUUGAUGAAUUAUUUUUUCAUUAAAAAAAAAAAAACUGAUUUAGCGGGAUAAAAUAAUGCUCCAUUCCGUUUAGUAAGUGAAGUCCAGAGUAUUACCUACUACUAACUAAAUCCGCUUGAUUCACAAGACUACCAAGAGAUGACUGAAUCUUCAAUGUAAUAAAAUAAUAAUCAGCCUCACAGGAUACAUAAAAAGCUCAUUUUUCACAACCAUAUCCUAGUGCAUCAUAAACUUGAUUAUUUAAUUUUACUAUUAGGAAACCUACUUAUAUAAGGCGCACACUACAAAUUCUAAAUUAAAUUUUCAACUAAGAAUAAAAGGUAAACCCUAGCAGUCUUCCACCAGGUGCCGUGUAGCCUGCAUCAUAAAUUUUGAUUUAAAUCUUUGUAAUCACCGAACAGAAAAACAGGGGAAUGAAAACAGAGGAGCCCUCAUUUUUUUAACCCUUAACUCUUGUUCUUCUAAUUAUAUUUUUACUUGGAAUUUCAGGCAAACAACAAAAAAUAGUGACAACUAUUCAGAGAGAACAGGUGGAUGAUAGCAAAAAUAUUUUUAAUUAAUAUGCAUGAUUAACUCUUGUUCUUCAUUAUUGGUAGUCUCUGUGGGCUCAUUUCGUCUCCAGACCUGAUAUUGUAUAUCUCUUUUUGAAUAUGCAUGCUGCUGAAUAAAGAUGAUUACUUCCAAAUUUUUGUUGCUUUUUUUUUUUUUUUUUGGGCUUUGGUGCAUGAAGAAUGUGGAAAUAGAAAUAGCUUUCGAAGUUUAAUGGCUUGCUUCAUUAGUAAAGAAAGACAAGGAUAUCUGUCCCUUUUUGUUACUGAAUUAUUGAUCAAUUGACGGUUGAAGUUGGUUAUAUUAAUUUGUUGUACAAGAAUUGAAGCUUAUAUCUUAGCCGUUUCGUGAAGUGUCAAAUAUGUUCUUUCCUUGCAAUUGUUCAAAAUAUGUUAUUCUUUUGAAGUCACUAUUACAUAAAGGGUGUUGUAAAAUAGGGAAAGGCGGGUUUAUGAUUAGAUUUUAAUAUGUUUAAUUCAAGGAUUAACCGAAGCUAUUAACCAACGGCUACUAACCGAAAACCGAAUUUAACAAUAAACACUAACUCAGAAUUCAAGAAAAUUAAAUGACAAGAUUGAGACAAAUGAGAGAUAUUUUUCUUGGACAUUAAGAAAGAACUACUACCAAGAUCAAGGAUUAGAGAUUAUAUAUGCUAUUAUUAAUAGAAAUUAUUAAAGGAUUUAGAACAAGUUCACCUCGUUAAUUAUCUGGGAUGAUGAGUUUCUAUAUUCACCUUGAAUAUAUAAUAACAAUUUUAGUGAGCAAAAGAUCACUGGUAACUGCAGAGGAAUGUGUGAGUUUAAGAGCUUAUUAGAGUAAGCAAUACAAAUGAAUUUUCAAAUUAUGUACUUGGUCAUUGUUGUCCUACUGACGCACGUUUUUUUUCAUGAAUAAUUGCCAGAUCAGAAAAGAAUAAAUUCGGUUGAUUGAAAGAUUGCUGAAGUAAGUAAAACAAUCUUCAUAUCGAACAUGAUUCCAAUUAAAUUAAUCUUUUUAUAAGAUGACUAAUAAAAGAUAAAAGUAGAAGCUUUGAUGAAUGAACGAUGACCAAAACUUUUGUAAAAGCGGAUGCCGAUAAAAUAAACAAAAGGCACUUUAAAAAGAAACUAAAGUGCGAUCAUCAAAGUAAGAUCACUAAUGAUGCUUCGCUAUCACAAGGUCCGCAUGGACAUUAUUUACAAAUUGUUCUUAUGUUUCACAGAAAAAAAUGAAACACUGUUCAUCAUACAAAAUUGCAUGACCGAAUCUUCAAUUUUUAUAAUUAUAAAAUAAUGGAUUAUGGGUAUGUUAAUGUUACGGAUAUGAUCAGAUCAUCAUAUAAGUUACUAGAAGCAUUAACAAGAACAAGAUCUAAUGAGCUAAAAGUUUUUUUUUUAAAAAAAGUUAAAUAAAUAAAGAGUAAAAGUAAAAAAAUGUUAUUUGCAAUCACCAAAAUGAAAACAGAGGAGCCCUGUUUUUCCUCUUGUUUCUACUUCUCUCUUUUUCAAGUAGUAGAAAAUGAUAUCAGAGUAUGAGAGCUCACUGCUUUCAUUAGUUGGAAAGUGUCGCCUAAAACACUUCCUCUGCUGGGUGGAAUUGUUGGCUUGAAGAGAUGAGUUCUUGUCACGAGCACAAAUUUUAGCUGUACAUUAUUUCCUUUUAAAUGCACCAUUGUUGCACAGAUUUGAACCAUAUGAUCAUUAGUUUUUUGUUUUGAUUUGGUUAGUUCGUGAUGACAAAUGAAUUAUUUUCAUCACAUUGUCAUUAUGGUAAAAAGUUGCCCUCUUUGUUACUUCCACAGCUAUUUAGUUUAAUAUUUUGUAAUAAGAUCACAAAGUGCGUGGGAACUAUUGUUCGGGUACUUUAGCCUAAAAUGAAGAUCUAUUAAAAAUUUCCCUGAUGUCAUGAUAUAAAACAAUAAAAGGUACCAACUUCAGCUUAAAUUCAUAUAAAAUUAAACCUUACCACAUACUGUAUUGAAACAAAUUACUCAUCUUUAUUGGUAACAUCAUCACCUUCAUAAAAUAUAUGGUAUCGUACAAAGUUCUUGCGCUGGGUUCGGGCAUCUAACAACGAGGACACAGCAACCUAUUCGCUAGGUUAGAGACCAAAUAGCCAACAGCAAAAUGUGCACGACGCAUGUCACUAUCAUGAAAACAACAUUCUUUUUCUUUUUUUUUUUCCCCUCAAUAAUUUCAGAUAUAAUAUUUUAACUAAGUUUGUAACACUGUUGAUUGAAAUUAUCAAGUACGAAUGUGUGUAGAUUUUAACAUGUGCACUCAUAAUUAUUAUUGUGCAGUUUUAGACUUGGUUGGGUAUUGAGGUGCUAAAACUUUUGCCGUAAGAAAAAAAAGUUUUGCAAAAGUUUUAAGUAUAAAAUAAAAGUUAAUAGUAUAUAAUAAAUUUAGUUUUUUUAAUAAUAAUUUUGAUAAAAUUAUAAAAGAUAUAAUAAAUUUUUUAUCAUAUAAGUGUAAAAUCAAAUCAUCUUAACUUUUAAACUACAACAACUAUAACAUUUUAACUGUUCAAUCUCAAUCCUAAAUAGACCCUUAAUUUAUAAUUAGAUUGUCACUAAAAGAUUUUAAGUAUGUAUUUUAGAAUUUAACGAAUACACUUUUAAACUACCUUUGUCAGAUGAAAUGUUGGGAAAUUUUUAUUAAGCUCCAAAAGUGUUUGAAAUAAAUUUAUGUUUUUAUGAUACCAAAAAAAAAAAGAUUUAUGAACAUUUUUGUGAAGCUUAGGCGAAAAUUUUUGUUAGGCUCUAUUGGGCUAGAUGAGCAGCUCGGGCAGUUAAUUAUCGCCCAAAAAGCCCAACCCAGAUUACAACAAGCUGGGAUUUGGUUAGCUCGUUGACGGCCAUUUGGGUAUGCAUGAAUUGGGUGGAUGAUUAAUAAAUACGAUUUAUUAAUUAUUUCGCCGAUUUGAAUAUUCUCCUAAUUUAAUCUUUUCUAAUAUUAUAAUAACGAGAUUUUGACAUGUGUUAUACCUGUGUUAUUUUAAUAAUCCAAUAGAUAAUAUCUACUUUAUUUUUAUCUUUCGUUAUUAAAUACAAAAACACUAAUAGAAAAAAAAAAUGACUUAACUCUUUUUAUAUUUUUAAUUUUUAUUUAUUUCCGUUUAUUGCUUUCCUAGCAAUGUUCAUCUUUUUACUCUACAACAUCCAUAACCUUAACUUUGGAAAUAAAAGAGAAUAUGCGAAAGUAUAAGUAGGAGAAAGACUUCAUUGAAAUCAAACGAAUUGGGCAACGUUAGAUUUUUCUUUAAAAUUCUCAUGCGAUAUUAAUUAGUAGUAUUAUCGUUGUUGCCUGCCUACUUCUAACCUCAACCAAUAUAUGAUCAAUGCUUGAUUUGGUCAAUCUAAAUAAUUAUAAUCGAUGAUAGGAUAUUGUUGAAGGGCGGCCCUAAGGAUGAGAGAGGGAAUGCGUGUGCAAGCCACAUGUGUGAAGAAAAAGAAAAACGCAAGAGUGAAGAUGACGGCGAUUAAGAUCGUGUUUGAUUUCUUUUCCUGUUUAAUUUUAGUUAAUAUGCUGUUGUUAGUUCCAAAAUUUGAGUUAGCAACAAAAUGACAUGUUUUUGUGUUUAAUAAGGAAAAAGUAAAUAAUAGAUUUUCUAUAGGAUUCUUGGAAUGGAUUAGAUUAGACUAUGGAGAGAAAUAUAUUUGAAAAUAUUAGUGUUGAGUCAUUCUAAUGUCUUUAAUAGUAAAUUCAAUUAAGAAUAUUUUAGUAAUAUAAUUUUUUAUUAAAAUUAGAGUGUUCAAAGUUAGUAAUAAAAAAUUCAUAUAACUCUGGAUUUUUUUAUUGAAUUUAUAUAACUCUGGAUUCUUUUUUUUUUUUUUUUUUCCAACACUGAUAUGGUUCUGUUCUGUGUAUUUAUAUACAAUUUAAUGUUUACAUACAAGUUAAAUUAUAUACAAUCCUUCAAGUCGUAACUCAAUUUUAUGGAGGUUUAUACAUCUUUCAACGAUCAAUUUAAUAUUUAUAUACAAACCUCCGCAUCUUUCAACGAUCUCAUCUGCUGAUUUUUUGUAUUCCUGUUCUUUCACUUCAAUAAUUUUUUGUAUUAUUCCAUAUCUUUCACUUUAAUAACCCAAAAGCUUUCCUCUGUUUCAAUCGAAAGAAAACCCUAGCUUAAACUAAGAGAAAAUUUACAUAUUAAAGCUAAUUAGUACUGAAUUUUUUCUGGUGGUGCGACCAGAGGUGGAAACAGGGUAUGAAAAUGCGUUACUGGUGAGGUUGCUGCUUAAGAUGAGAAUGCAUUCUUUUCAAAAAUCCUUGGUAGGUGUUAUCUAAUUAUCUUUGAUGGAAUAUUAAAUGGCUAAAAAUCUGUCAUACGUUCAAACUUUGUUUUUGUUUAGAAGAAUGGUGUUGACUGUAUAUUCGUUUGGAAGAAUGGUGUUGAUUGUAUAUUCAUUUGCUUAGCCUUUUGACAGAUGGAUUUGGAACUGACGACAAAUGUGAUUCAAUUUACAAGGUUUUCGAGGGGCUCACCGUGGAAGGGAUAUUGAAGAACUGGUCUAAGAUAAAGCCUAUGAUUGUGAAAGAUUGGAGUGAGAAUAUAGAUGCUCUUUUUCAUCUUUUUGGCAAGGUCAGAGAUGAAUGGAUAGAUAAGGAUUUAUUUGACUACUUGGACUGGUGCUAAUAGGUAUUUUAGGCAAGCUUUUUGAGAUAACACUGAGCAAGUUAUACUACUAUUUUGCACAUGAUGAUCUCGAAAAGUAAAAUAAAAUAAAUUAUUAACUUUUACUUUCAUCUUUUGCAUAGCAAUCAAUGUGGUGCUUGUUCUGUGACAACUUUGAUAAUCUACUUAAUUAUUGGUUAGCAUUUGGACCAAAAAAGUUCUUAUGAUUUACAUGUUUUGUAGAAAUGCAUGAACCUUAAAUGUGCUGAUCAGGGAGUUUAAUUAUUGCACCUUGAAAUUCAUUUAUUGUUAACUAAUUGGCUUUCCUUUGCAUAAAGCCACUUAUAAGGCUUGAGUGGACGUCUUUAUGGGCAUAUUAUUUGUAUUUCUAUAUGCAUGCCUUUAUCAUUUAAUGUGCUGCUUUUAUUUCUUUAUGCAUGCCUUUAUCAUUUAAUGGCCAGCUCCCUCUCCUCUUUUGUAAUUUGAAUAGUAGUAUGGGCCUCCAUUUUACAAAUCUUUAACAUCUUUUGCUGUAAAUUAAUUUUUCUUUCAAAUAUUCACUACUAGAAAAAUAGUCUUUACUGACUUUACAAUAGUAUCAGAAAUUACUUUCACUGACACUUGUUAAUUGUGUCAGUAAUCUGGGAGUCAGAAAAAUAGUGACACUUAUAAGUGGUGUCAGUGAUUACUAUUACUACAGUAUCACCGAUAUUAUGACACCAUAGUGUUAGUAGUUAUUGAUAUUUUAUUAGUGUCUAUAAUUACUGUUACCAUGGUAUCACUAAUUAAUAUAUUUUUUUAAAAAUAAAAAAUUGAAUUGGAUCAUUGCCUAUUGAUUUAUUUGUAAAAUUAAAAGCACCACAAAAUAACAAAAAGAAAUUGAUUUAUAUCACAAAAUCUUUCAUUUCACAUUUAAAUAUUAUUAGUAUAUAACUAAAUAAUCCAAAUUCAAUACAUAAAAAUUUCUACCAUCCAAUCAAAUGCCUACUACUUGUGGCUAAAUUUAUAAAUCUAGAAGUUAAAUUGAGAAUGAUGACUGUCUUUCACUCUUUGAAUAUGAGUAGUAUAAUUGCGUUAUCACACCAGCAGCUUCUCCAUUUAAUAAACUGUAUGGGUUAUGAUACAAGUGAAGUUGAGGAAUAAACACUUCAAACACAUUGAGCAAAUAUGCAUACAUGGAAAAGGGAGAAAAAAUUAGCUGCCAAUUCCCAACCAUUAGAGAAACAAUGGUUAAUAUAAAUAAAUCUAUUUUGUUCUAAAGAAAAAAUAUUCAUACACUAUUUAUAAGUAAACUCAAUUAUUUCUAAUGGUGGAGCACAUAUGUGUGAACAACAGAGCAUCACAUAGCUCAAAGUACAUUAACUGUUCUGUGUCUUAUUCAUUUUUCACUUUAGCUUUUAUUUUAGCAAUUUUUUGAGAAUAAGCUCCAACUCAGAAGGUGAAAUCCAACUUCCAUAUGUAGACAUUCUUGCAGCUGACAGCAAUUAGUUUGGGACUACGGCUUUUUUGAGCAUCUGGCAUGGAUUACAUUGAGAUAUACAAUUUACAUACAAACAUUAAAGAACUAAAACAUUAUUUAUAUUUAGAGACAAUUCAAAUGUCAGCAAACAUUAUUUAUAUUGGUUUAGCAAGUGGCACGACAAUUUUUUAGAUAGAAAUGUACAGAAACUAUAAAGGAAAAACAUUAUCAAGACACCAUUAAAGAAUCAUAGAGUACCUUUACCGGAUUUGUUUGCUUUGCAGGUGGGCUGUGAUGAUGAUGAGCAUAAAGCAUUUUCAUUUAAGCGGACAAGUGCCUUAGCUUCUUUACUUACUACAGACCACGUGUUCUCCCCAUCUAGCCUUGCACUUCCAAAAUCAUGAAAUCCAUCUUUGUGGAAUGUCUUAAUGCCAGGAGUGCGUGAAAAUUCUGGGAGUGCAUUGGCCUUCUAAAUAAAAAGAAACUCGUAAAUAAUUCUUGUGUCAAGUAACAAGGACAAAAAUUUACUUGGAAGCAGCGCAUCCAUGAAAAGAUAGACGCAGAUAGCUACAGAGACACAGUCAACACAUAAUAGCUAAUCCUAAACCUUAUUGGAUAUAAUACCUCAUUAGCAGAGAUUGCUUCGUCAUCUGAGGUACAUGUUGAUGCCUUCCUUGGCGAGAAGAUAAAACCAACCUCAUCAGGAAAUUCAGGCGUUUCAACCUCGUCUUCCACAAAGACACUUAUUUGCUUCUGUUACAGCGACAUACACAAAUGUCAGUUUCUCCUAAGAAAACUGGUCGGAACCUGAAAAUUCUAUUCAAAUUUAAUCACUUGCCUUUGGUGAUAAACUGCCAGCAAUCCUUCCACAAGUUUCUCCAUGAGUACCUGUAUGUCAGAAACCAAAUCUGUGCUUUGGAACCUAAACAUGAAUAUCGAUGAACAACACCCUCAACAAUCUCAUUAGCGUCAAAAACAUUUUAUUACAAAAUAAUACUACGGUUUCGGAGCGCACCUUUCAGUAUGUCUAGUCGCGAUUGAAGUUGCACUACUUCCUAUCAAUUUACAAAAAUCAUAGCAUGAAUAAAUAAAACAAUUGCCUCUAAAUUUACAAAAUCAACGUCAUCACAUCAAUUACGUGAUGGAUAACAAUUUAAGUAAAUUUUAAUAAAAAAUUAUUCAACAAUUAAAUCGAAUGACAAUUAAAUUAGUAAAUUGAAUACUGACCUCUUUCUCCGAUGGCCCACCCAACGAAACACAAUUAUCUCGUAAAUCGACGUUAAAAUCUUCCUCAUCUGCAAAUCAAAAAAUUUGAAAAACAGAGAAAUGCUUAAAACGCGUACAGUGUUUAGUGUAUACAUAACAUAAGAGUAUUUAAAAAAUAAUGGCAACCCUGUAUGAAAUGUCAAUCAAAUUACCAGAAAUGCUUUGAUCAGAAUCUUCAUCUCCCUGAAAGCGCAUAAGAUCCCGGCAAAAUGAAAAGAAAAAAAUAAAACGAAUUAUCAUCUACAAAAAAAAACAACUUUAGUUGGUUAAAAUCUACAAACUAAGUGCGGCUCGGAUAGCAGAAUAUGACUAGAAAAACAAAAACAUUAUUGAGUAACCAGAACAUCUAACAUCGCAUAUGGGCACCAGAACAAAAUUCAUGCAAAAAUAUGGAAGUUGAAAAAUCAGCAAAUGCCGCUAACCGAGUUAAUGGAAUGCGAAACCUGCCUAGAUAGUGGAGGAGUUCCGGUAAAGGAGGACCAUCAAGCACAGCUAAGGAGGAAGAAUGCAACUUAAAAUAGUUAUAGUUUCAUUACGAAUUAAAAAAGUUUAAUCCUCUAAUUUUCAAUACAAUGGCAUCUCCUAUUCAUGCGCAUGCAUCAGCAGCAUUGUUAUUGAUAGAACUGAAAAAUUGGCACUCGGAUAAUCAUAUGGUUGUAGACACUGCUCCAAAAUAAUCAUUAAACAUGGAAACUAAUAAGGCCACAGGUUCUGGAAUGCCAAAAGCUGCACGCAUAUAUAUGGGUCAGUCACGAAUAAAAAGAAACGAAUUAUCAUAACCUCGACACGAAUGGGCGUAGUCACUAUAGGAUCAGAGCGGCACAGCCCUCAGCCACUAUAGGCAGGGGUUAUAUUAAUGGUUGUGAAUGAAUAAAUUCAAAUAUCAACUUUAGUAAUCAACUUAUUAAUUUACAAGUAUUUUUUUAUAUUAUGAUAUCGUAUACUCUACUAAUUGUAUUUAAAAUAUACACACACACAUACAUACAUAUAUACCAACUUAUAAUUGUGAGGUAAGCUAAGACUCGAAGCUAUUCCUUAACAAUCUAACACUCUAUAUAAUCUCAAGUGUGGAAAACCAGCAGAGAAACCAAGUUGCUUAAACUCUUGUUCAGUCAUGUGUUUACCUUUGGCCCUGUAGAUGGUCAUAACAAAAAUGUCCCCUUCUAAGAGAGCACGAGUCCUCUGACUUUCAUUUGAAUCAUCAGGCAGCACAGGCUCGCAAGCAAUCAGUUUUCCUCCUGCAGGAAUAGCCUUGUAACAAUUCUCCAUUAUCAGCUUGCAUUCAUCAUCAGUCCAUGUAGUUAAAACCCACUUCAUAAAGAUAGCAUCAGCGGCAGGAAUGGACUUAAACAUGUCCCCACCAAUAUGGGUCACUCCAGGGAUACUUGGAGCUUCGGCAACAACCUCAGGCAAAUCAAAAUUGAUCCCUUCACAUAUAAAACGAUGUUUCUAUAAUAUCAUCCUCAGGCAAUCACCUGCACUCCCACCCACAUCAACCAAUCGCUUCACACCUUUGAACCCAUCGUAACCGUCCAAAAUGGACGUCAUGAACGGCACGGACACUCCCGACAUGGCUUUUCGCAUCAAGCCGUUCAUUUCAGGCAUCUUCCCAUAAUAACUAUAUGUCGGCUCGCCAUGGACUUUCACAAAUGGCUCAAUAGUUGGGUCCAGAAUGGCCUCGUGCACCAAAGGCCACGCGCUCAUAAGCGCGUCCUGGUGAUGCUGGAGCACGUAGGGCGCGUACGAUUGACCCUCGGCAUCAGUAACGAGGGAUUUCCCAAUCUCGGUGAGGCUGUACUUCCUUUCGCCUCCAAAUUCGCGAUGCUCCGAGAACACGCCGUAGUUGGUGAGCAAGCGGAGGAUACGUUGCAAGUUCUCGGCGUCCCCACCGCCGGAUGGGAGGAUACGUGUCAAGAUCUGGGAGGCGGAGAGAGGGGUGUUGGCCAGUCUUCCCUUCUUCCCGCCAUCUCUGCACUCGUUAUCUUCCAUUACUGCUUACUGACCUUUGAUUUCGCAGCACCAUGCCGGCCAAACAAAAAGAUAAGACCUGAGCACUUUUUGACAAUUUGAAUGUUAGGGAUUUUUCAGAUGUGGGGAGCUUAGGAGGGAACGAAUACUUUGGUAGAGGGAGUUGAAAAGUUGUAUUUUGGAUAAGAUAAAGAUUUGUUCAUUUGUUUUGUUUUUAUCCACUCAAAAAGUACAAAUUCUAAAAAAAUUAAAAAUAAUUCGUAGUCUAGUGGUCUUUUGAUUCAAUGUAGAAGUUCUAGGUUUAAGCAGUCUUGGGUUCGAAUUCAGACUAAAACAAAAUUAGAAUGAUAAUUUUUAAUUACUGAUACUUAAGCGUCAUUGAUCGCUAUUACUAAAGUUAUUGAUACUUCAGUAUUAGUAAUUAGUGAUACAUAUCUGUUAAACGCGGAAAAUAAUCUAAAUAUAUGUAUAUAUUGAUACUUUUAAAUAAAGUGUCAGAACACAAGUAUCAGUAAAGACCAUUUUUCUAGUAGUGAUUUUGGAGGUCAUUGGAAUUCCUGUAGGUCUAUUUACCAGAUUUUAGUAAGUUUAAGGUUUUAAUUUUGCUUAGACUUUAAUUUUUCUGAAAGAUUGUAGUAUUGAUCCUUAAAGAAAGAUCAUGCUACUUCAAAUUAUUUUGAAGUGUUGCUAGUUAUAGCCUUACAUAUAAAAUUCCAUUUGUCUGGAAAUUUAUUGAUAGCUGUUACAGCAGCAUAUUUUAUGACUCUACUUCUUAGUUAUGUAAGUUCAUUAUGUUUAGGUCAGAGGCAGUCAGCUGUGGGGAAUUGAUAUAUACACAGAUGACUUUGAUCUUGUUGCCGGUAUGUGGUUCUAUGAAUAAUUGUUCACAAUAAUUGUGUUUGCCUCACUGUUUUUGUUUUAUGAGAUCUAUAAUUGAUCUUGGGAUAUUACUUUCUAGUUCUCAUGCAAGCAAGUUACUACCUUCCCACUGUAUCUCCUCCUUUAUCUGCUAUUCAAGAGUUGCGUGCCAUAAUCUGGUGUUACCUCUGCAAGAUUGUGAAUGAAUAUAAUGCCUCUAAAUUUAUUUUAUACAUAAUGCUGAUGCUGAAUAAUAUAUUGUAGCUCCUGUCAUAUUCUACUUUGACUUUUUAUAUUCUGUUUCAUAUAAAAAUCUUAUUCAACUUUAGUUGUUCAUGAGCAAAUGUCACAUGUAUAAGCCCAAAUGAUGUUUAAAGGUAGCGCAGCUACCUUUAGUUUGAGCUUACAAUGGAUGAAAAAGAAAUUGAAACUGAUAUUUUGCUGUUUUUCUGAUUUUUCAAAGUAUUUUAGAUCCUGACUUUUGUUUGGACUUGAUGGUUAUAGAUUGUGUCUAGAUUUGUUAAGUUGUUUCCAACACCUCGUGCCAAAUGAAAGCACAAUCUUUCUGAUUCAGAUGUCUUGUUAAUUGAAGAGAGCUCAUUGUGCUGAGUUAAAACAAGAAAGGAAGCCAGCAGUCAAGAUUCUUCAGCAAUGCCAUGUCAGUGCUGAGUCAGCUGAUUCUGUUAAGGAUUGUUGAAAGCUCACGUGACUAUUAGUUAGUUAAUUAGCUUUUAGUUAGUAAUGCAGGAUUCUGAUUGGUUGAUUAAUUGCAAUGCUUAUUUGAUCAAUUGUAGCUUGGAAAUAAACUGUAUAUAAACAGAGUCUAUAACGAUUGCUUCAAUUAAUGAAAAGAAAAUAUUCCAGAGAGUUCAUCUAUUUUCUCAGUAACCAAACAAGCAUUUAGCUUAAUUUGCUAUUAUUUUACAUGGUAUCAGGGCCACAAUAUGGCAAGCUCAAGCAAUCCAAACGGAAAUUCAAACACAAUCACUGCAAAUCAAUCAAUACAAACCACAUUCUCCUUCAUAUCACCAAUCAAGUUAGAUCGAUCUAACUACAUGCUCUGGCGAAAUCAAGUUCUAGCCUCUAUAAGAGGAAACAGACUUGAAGGUUACAUUAAUGGAGAGAAGGUUGCUCCCAAUCAGUUUAUCACAACUGGAGGAUAUGCUGGAGCAGCAGGUAGUUCUACUCAACAGAAAGAAAAUCCAGAAUAUACAGUCUGGAGAUCACAAGAUCAGACAUUACUAAGCUGGCUGUUGAGCUCAGUCACUGAAGGUAUUCUCCGCCUUGUUCAUUCUUGCAAUACUUCAUAUGAUAUAUGGAAAACAUUGGAGAAAAAGUUUGGUGCAAAAUCUGAAGCAAGAGUACUUCAACUUAGAUAUGAAAUGAGUGUUUUAAGAAAAGAUUCACUGAAUAUAGAAGAUUAUUGUUUGAAGAUGAAACAAAUAGCAGAUAAACUAGCAUGUGCUGGUAAUCCAGUUUCAGAUAAAGAUUUGCUGCAACAAAUUCUAAAUGGUCUUGGACAAGGAUAUCUUGAUUUAGCUACAUUCAUAACAGCAAGUAAACUUGAUUAUGAUGAUGCAUAUGCACUACUACUUACUCAUGAAACAAGACUUGAACAGAGUAUGAAUGAAAAACAGAUGUUCAAUGCAAAUUUUGCCAAUUUUACUCCUAAUAACAGUGGAUAUGGUAUGAUGAAUGCCUUUUAUGCACAAGCAAGAGGCAAUGCUCGAAGAGGUGGAUAUAAUGGAGGUUUUCACAGUGGCAAUCAAGGAGGAAGAAAUAAUUUUCAUACUGGAAGGGGAAUGUUUGUUAACUCUCAUCCAAGAGGUUUUCCCUCUGGAACUGGAAAUUUUGGUAACAGUCAUGGUAGAGGUCAGAUGAUUGGUAAUAAUAAACAGAUGCAAUUUAUGAGAGGUCAAUACAGUAGUAACUCUGGUAUGCCAAACUCUGAUGGUAAUGAUGAGCAAAGUGUUGUAUGUCAAAUUUGUUUUAAAUCUGGGCAUACAACAACAGAAUGUUGGCAUAGAUUUGAAGAGAAUUAUGUACCACAAUACAUGAAGAAAUGAAGAAAUUAGAGAUGAGCUUAUAUGGCAUAUUAUGAUGCACCAACUGAAAAUUCAUGGUCAACUGCUUGUUCAGGAAUGCCUCAAAUGCACAAUCCAUCAUUCACCCCAUACAUGUCUGAUUCAGUGAACUUGUUAGGAGCUGGAGCUGGAGCUGCCUAUGUUGCUAAUUUUGAAGGUCCAGCAGAUGAAGGAUGGUAUCUUGACAGUGGGGCUACACAUCAUUUGACAAACAACAUGGCAAAUAUGCAUGUCAGAGAUGAAUUCAAUGGUAAUGACAAGCUGAUUAUUGGCAAUGGUAAAGGUCUGUCAAUCACACACAUUGGUAGCACUACUUUUUCAGUUCAAGGUUCUAAGUCACAAGCUGCACGUAAAUGCAUUACACUUAAAGAUAUACUGCUUGUUCCUUCUAUCACAAAGAAUUUAAUAAGUGUUUCUAAACUUACUGCUGAUAAUAACCUAUCUAUUGAAUUCUUUGGAUGUAUCUGUUAUGUGAAGGAUUCACUGGAGGGGAAGGUUCUGCUACAGGGUAUUGCUGAGAAAGGUCUAUACAAAUUGCUGAUCAAAUCAUCUUCAAAAUCAUCACUACAACCUACAUACACCUCUUUUCUUUCUCAAAGCUCAAUAAAUCAACCUUUGUCUAUGUUGUCUCUCUGUCAUUUCAGUUCUGCAACUAAUAAUACUUGUUCUGCAAAUUGUUUUCAUUCAAAUAAAAACUCUUGUACUGAUUCAUCAUCAAAUAAAAUGUCUCUAUUUCACAGAAGAUUUGGUCAUCCCAAUGCUCAAAGUUUCAUUCACUUACUUAUACUUGUGCAUCCUAACUUGUUAUCUACAAAUAUGCUUAAUCAAGUAAUAAAGCAUUUAUGUGAAGCAUGUCAGCUGGGCAAAUUUCAUAGACUUCAUUUUCCUAUAACUGAUAUUAAGUCUAAAUCAGCACUAGAACUAAUCCAUACUGAUCUAUGGGGCCCUUCACUAAUAUGUUCUAGAGAAGGUUAUAGAUAUUAUAUUAGUUUUGUGGAUGAUCACACUAGAUACACCUGGAUAUACCCUCUGAAAUUAAAAUCAGAAGCUCUAGAAGUGUUCAAAUUGUUUAAACUUCAAGUUGAAAAUCAGUUUCAAACCACCAUCAAAGCUCUACAAUCUGACUGGGGGGGAGAGUAUAGACCAUUCACUACUUUUCUAAAUGAAUGUGGUAUUCUUUUCAGACACUCUUGUCCCUACACACAUUAUCGAAAUGGCCUUGUUGAAAGAAAACACAGACAGAUUAUAGAAUUAGGCUUAACACUUCUAGCACAAGUUAAACUUCCAUUCCAGUUUUGGUGGGAUGCUUUUCAUACCUCGGUUUAUCAUAUUAACAGACUUCCUACCUCUGCCCUUAAGAUGUCUAUUCCAUAUGAAAAAUUAUACAGACAUAAAGCUGAUUACAACAUGCUGAAAUGCUUUGGUUGUGCUUGUUAUCCAUACUUGAGAGAUUACAAUAAGCAUAAAUUUGAUUAUCAUACAACCAAGUGCAUCUUUCUUUGUUAUAGUCCUUUUCAUAAAGGUUUCAAGUGCUUUCAUCCCUCUGGUCGUGUGUAUAUUGCUAGACAUGUCAAUUUUGAUGAAACUUCAUAUCCAUUCUUUUCAGAUCCUGAUUUUCAUUCUUUGAAUAAAUCUCAGUCCAACUCUUAUGAUUCCAUUACACCUAUACAAGUAUUUCAAUUGUCUACCUUACCUGUCAUAUCAGUUUUUUUGAAUAACAGCAAUGAGUCUCUUUCUCAAGCAUAUACCAGUAGUGAUAACUUUCCUUCAGCAGUAGAUUCAACACAAGUACAUGUCUCAGAUCAACAACUCUCAAACACAAACAAUGUCUCAGAUCAACAACCAAUUUUACCUGCACCUACAACAUUACCUUCUCCAGAUGAAAUUCCACAAACUCAACCUAUUCUAAACUCACCAUCUCUAAACCACCAUCCUAUGAUUACUAGAGGAAAGGCAGGUAUCUUUAAGCCAAAGCUAUGUACUGCAGUUUUGUUGUACAAAGAACCAAAAACUAUUCAGGAGGCUCUCAACAAUGAAAGGUGGUUUCAGGCAAUGAAAGCUGAAUAUAAUGCAUUGAUAUCAAAUGGCACUUGGACAUUGGUACCAAGAACAGAAAAUCAUAAGCUUAUUGGUAACAAAUGGGUUUUCAGAAUAAAAACCAAUACUGAUGGAAGUGUUGAGAAAUAUAAGGCAAGAUUGGUUGCUAAAGGAUUUCAGCAGAUUGAGGGUGUUAACUACUUCGAGACUUUCAGUCCAGUGGUAAAAUCAGCAACAGUUAGAGUGAUCUUAAGUUUGGCAGUGAUGAACCAGUGGCAAAUACGACAAGUUGAUGUGAAUAAUGCAUUCUUAAAUGGAGAUCUAACUGAAGAAGUUUAUAUGAGACAGCCAGAAGGAUUUGUUGAUCCACAAAGACCAGACUCUGUAUGUAAACUGCACAAAGCUCUUUAUGGCCUGAAACAAGCUCCUCGUGGUUGGUUUGACAAACUGAAAAGUAGUCUUAUACAAUGGGGAUUCAAGAAUUCUAAGUCUGACACAUCUCUAUUCUUGAGAAGAACCAAGAGCUCAAUCAUUAUAAUUCUGAUAUAUGUAGAUGAUAUAUUGAUUAUAGGAUCAGAUUGUGUUGAGUUGGAAGAGUUUAUUAAGUUGUUCAGCUCUACAUUUGCAUUAAAGGAUCUGGGGAGACUAUCUUACUUUCUGGGUAUAGAAGUAUUAUAUGGUCAUGAUAGUAUAUACCUGUCACAAAAGAAGUAUAUCCGAGACUUGCUUGCAAAAGUUGACAUGCUUGAAUGCAAGGGAACAAACACACCAAUGAGUAGCAGUAAAGAUUACAGAUUGCAGAAGAGUGUUGAGGGAGAAAUGGGCUAUUAUAUUGAAGAUCCCACUCAUUACAGAAGCAUAGUUGGAGGACUGCAGUAUUUGGUUUUAACUAGACCUGAGAUAGCUUAUUCUAUUUACAAACUAAGUCAGUAUGUGUCUUCACCAACUCUUCAACAACUUAUGGCAUGUAAACGAGUGCUAAGAUAUUUGAAGGAAACACAAGAAUAUGGUCUAAAGUUUGUUAGAGAAGGUGACAUGAAGCUUACAGCAUUUACAGAUGCUGAUUGGGGAAGUGAUCUUGAUGACAGAAGAUCAGUUGGAGCUUAUUGUGUAUACUUGGGAAACAAUUUAAUCUCAUGGUCCUCAAAGAAACAAUCAGUGGUUACCAAGUCAUCAGCUGAAAGUGAAUACAGGGCUCUUGCUGCAGCUGUUUCUGAAAUAACAUGGCUAAAGUCAUUGUUCCUUGAAAUUGGUUUAUGUUGUGAUGAAAGCCAAUCAUAUGGUGUGACAAUGUGAGUGCUGCUGAACUUGCUCGCAAUCCAGUAUUUCACUCAAGAACAAAACACAUAGAAAUUGAUCUACACUUUAUCAGAGACAAGGUUUUGGCUGGAGACUUGAAGAUACUAUAUGUUCCCAAUGCAGAGCAAAUAGCUGACAUAUUAACUAAGCCACUGAACUCUUCUCAAUUCAAACCUAAGGCUCAAACUCAAUGUGGAGCUAUGUCCCUUGAGUUUGAGGGGGGCUGUGAAGAGAGCUCACUGUGCUGAGUUAAAACAAGAAAGGAAGCCAGCAGUCAAGAUUCUUCAGCAAUGCCACGUCAGUGCUGAGUCAGCUGAUUCUGUUAAGGAUUGUUGAAAGCUCACGUGACUAUUAGUUAGUUAAUUAGCUUUUAGUUAGUGAUGUAGGAUUCUGAUUGGUUGAUUAAUUGCAAUGCUUAUUUGAUCAAUUGUAGCUUGGAAAUAAACUGUAUAUAAACAGAGUCUGUAACGAUUGCUUCAAUUAAUGAAAAGAAAAUAUUCCAGAGAGUUCAUCUAUUUUCUCAGUAACCAAACAAGCAUUUAGCUUAAUUUGCUAUUAUUUUACAUUAAUUAUGCUUCAUUUUUUCGUUAAAGAUUGGAUGGUUGCAUGGAUUGAUGGAGUUGGAGUUCAACCAAUAAUUCUAAUUUUUUGGACUUAAAAUGCCUUUUUCUUCGGUAUAAAAACUUUAGUAAGUGCUAUUGAGUUGACAGAAGUUGAAUACUUACAGGUUGUUUCACACUUUUUAAUAGUUUUACAUAUAUGAAUUUCUGUUUUUUGAUUUUCAGAAAGGAGGUGGAACUAUUGAUUUGGAACCUUAUCUUACUCAUUCAUCGACAACGGAGCCUACCCUCGCUCCCAUGGCAGUGGAACGGACAACGACUACUAGGGCUGCAACAUCAGUUGGUUUGGGUCUGUUUUGAGUUUAUUUUCAUUUAUUUGGCUAUGUUUUGAUAGCGAAUUUUGAUAUGUCAAUGUAGGGUGCGUUUGGGAUUGAGGUGCUGUAGCUUUUAAGCUAUAGCCACUGUGAAAAAAAAGUUGUAAUUAUGAAAUAAAAGUUAAUAAUAUAUAAUAAAUAUAAAUUUUAAAUAAUAAUUUUAUUAAAAUUAUUAAAGAUAUAAUAAAUUUUAUAUUAUACAAGUGAAAAAUUAUAUCAACAUAACUUAAAAGCUACAGCAGUUAGUGUUUACCAAACACUUUAGUGCUGUAGCUUUUAAGCUACAGCUGGCCAACCUCAAUCCCAAACGCACCUGUAAUGUGUAAUUGUUUUGGGUUGAGCUGGUAAUUAUGCUGGAUUAGAUUGGUUUGGUUUUGGUGCUUCUCUGAUGGAACACUGUUUUUUUUAGAAAUUUUGAAUGUAAUAUGAGACUACAUUUAGUUUAAUUGAACACUGCAUCUAGUCUAAUUACUAGAAGUGCGGCAUUUGGUUUGGUUUAUCCGAUAUUCUCCAGAAUUUCACUUGCAUCUGGUUUUGUUGCAUAUGUUUGCUUGCAUUUGGUGGCAGUAGCAGACUGUUUGGUUUUGUGACAUUUGAUGGCAGUUUUGUCUGUUCUUGGUGUUGAUUUAAGAUUGUUCCUGUUGUGCUGAUGUUAAUUGCAGGUGCUUGAAUCAGCUAGGGUUGCUGGUUUAUUCAGAUGGUUGACUCAGGCGUUGUUACUGGUUAAUUCAGGUGGCUGACUCAAGUUGUUCAUUUAAUGUUAGGAAGCAAAUUAAGAAUUAAUGAAGUAUUCAUUUAACUAUAAUUAUUGUAGUUAUUUUAUUUCAUAACUGAAUUAUAAUCUAUGAUACUUGUGAACAAAUUAGAGAAUUUUUAUAUAUGAAUUAUAUAUAUGUGUAUGUACAUUUUGCUAAUAAUUUAAAGAAUAUAUUUCAAUUCCCACAAAAAAAUGGCUCCAAUUUCAAUAAUUCCCGCCAAAUAAUUAAAUUUUUUUAAUUUACCAGCAAAAUAUAUCUUAAAGAAAUUUUAGUUAUUCUUGCUAGAUUUAACAAAAAUGAUUUGUAGGAUUAACAUUUAAUUAAAAUAAUUAAAUAAUUUUAUUAUUCCAAUUAAAUAUGUCAUGUUUAUACGACAGACAAUAUUCAUGAAUGGGAAGUAUUAGUUACAUAUUUUUCCUUGGGAUUUCAGGCAAAUGAAAAAAAGAUUGAGAAUGAUUUCAAGAGGACAGGUGGAUGAUAAGUAUUCAUUUUUGUAUAUUUGUCUAAUGUCCUCAUUAGUGGAUUUUUAUUAGGGAUGGCAAUGGGGAGAGGAGGGGAGGGGACCAAUCUCCCCGUACCCAUCCCUGAUAUUUUGCGUAUGUCCCCGUCCCCUCUCCAUCCCCAUCAAAAUUAUUUAAGAGAAUCCCCAUCCCCUCCCCGAAUAAUAACAGGGGAUCCCCGAGGGUCCCCGAUCCCCGAAUAACUAAUACAUUUUUUUUAUUUUCGAUUUUGAGUUAAUCAUAUUAAAAUAAAAAAUUCAAAUAAAAGUAAAGUUCAAAAUAUAUCUUACAUUAAUAUCCAUUACAAAAGUCACAUACAUUAAAUUAGUAAGUAACGCAGCAUGCAAGAGAUACAAACUAUCAUGAACAAAUUAAUAGCCUAAUACAAAAUUGUUACAAAUAAAAUCAAAUUUAGAUUAAAAAUUAACUUUUCAAUGGUGGCGUGGGCACUUUAUAAAUGUGGACUAUUCCCUUUACAUCACAAUAGUUAAGUCGAAGCAAAUCAAGAGUAAAUAUUAGAUUAGAUUAUAUAUUAAAAUUGUGAUUUGCUGUGGGCAAUUAUAACAUCUAAAAAAAAAUAGAUUUAAGAUAAAUAAAAAAUAGAUUUAAGUUUAAAAUAUUUAAUGAAUAUUAAAAUUAAAACAAAAGUUUUGGGCUAAUAGAAUCUGUCCGGUCUUUUUAAUGUCCUAAAUAAAAAUUUAGGACUUUAAUUAGUUAAUUAGGCCUAAAAAUUUAAUAAUAUAAAUAUUUUGAUAUUUUUUAUUUUUACCAAUACUUAUAAUUUUAUAAUUCAAAUUUUAUUAUUUAUUUACUAGUAAUUUUAAAAAAUAAAAAUUAAAUUAAAAAUUAAAAUGGGGAAAUGGGUAGGGGAUGGGGAUUCCACCUCAUCCCUGUCCCCUCCCCGAAUAAGAAAUUGGGUACAAAAAUUUCCCCGUCCCUUCCCCGAAUAAGAAAUUAGGUAUGAAAUUAUCCCCAUACCCUCCCCGAAUGGGGAAAAUCCCCGAGCGUACCCGUCCCCGUGGGAAUUUUUGCCAUCCCUAAUUUUUAUGGUAUUGAUCUUUUUUUUUUUUAAUUUUCAGUUAGUUGCAGCCCUAGAGGAAGAGCAGGCUGAUCAAAUUGAUUUGUCUUGUUUUUCGGGCAAUCUACGACAUGAUGACCGUGAUAAUGCUCGUGACUGCUGGAAACUUUCUGAUGGAAAUAACUUUAGAGUUCGUAGCAAGCAUUUUUGUUAUGACAAAACAAAGGUUCCCCCAUAUUUUGUUUGUUUGUUAUGGUAUUUAUAUAUCCUGCAUUGGCUAGGUAGACAGGUUAUGAUGUACGUGUUUCUCAUAUAGAACUCAAGUCUGCUGUUGUCCCAAAGUUGGAACCAGAGAUAUCAUGACUCUGGUUUCAUUUCACCUCAACUGUGUUUUUUUUUUUUUAAUUAAAAAAAUAUUUGUUUUAGGUAUACAUACAUGUAUUUUGAUUCUAUUUUCAUUGUAAUUUCUCAUUUACUUUGAAUGAAAGUCAUUGGUGUUUUCGAAUGGGAAUUUUGCAUUAAAAAAUGAAGAAUAGUGAAUAGGAAAUUUCUUGAUUCUUUAGUUACUAUUUUUGGUAUGAGUGCCAUUAGUAGUAAGGUUGGUUUCUACUCGCAAACAAGUGAACUGCUCGAUUCCCGAGUGGUAUCAACCAGUUUCCAACUUUUUAAUAUACACUAAUUGUUAGUGUUUAAUAGCUACUGCUAUUAAAAUUCAACAGCUAACAAAAAUACUUAAAAAAAAUGAUUUUUCUUAUGAUGUUGGGAAAAAAAUUAUGGGUUUACUUAUUUCCACGAGAUCUAUAACAUGGUCUUGACUUCACGAAAUUCUUUUAAUUUAAAGCGUGCUGGUGUGAGAAGGUCAGUUUGACGGAUUAAUUCUUUUCAACAGUGGUCAAGAUAAUUUUACUAUACUAAAAAAUAUUCUUAUUCUGAUAAUGCCACAAAUGUUAUGCUGUUUUCUUCGGCUAAUGAUCUUCUAUUAGGAGAGGUUAGAAAUCAAAUGCUUAAAAGACCAAUUGAACGAAUAAUACAGAAAUUUAGGCAGAAUCUAAUCGAAUAUUGCAUGAAACAUGAAACAUCAAUUCAAGUCUUUUCUUAAACGGAGAAUGCAUCAAACAAAAUCCAAAGUGUCUUGCAAGUCUGUAGCAUGAGCAAAAAAUUGUAAAUAUGUUGAACCAAAUUAUUCAAGUACAGAAGAACGAGCAAGCUAAAUCAUGUAUAAGAGAUUGGCCUGGUUCGGGAUAGCUUCUUCACUGUACCUGAAGGGUUGGCUCAAUCUCUUCUUUAGAAUUCUGCAGAUUUUGUAAUUACUCGUGUAAGCAAGCAUACAUUGCCACCAUAAGAAUAAUAAAGCUAGAGUAAUGAUAUGACCACCACCUCUUGUGCACAAACAAUAUUGUAUAAACUAAUGCGACAUAAUAUGAUUGGUUAAACAAAAACAUUACAUGGCCCUCAUAAUUUAUUUAUUUAUUAUUAUUAUUAUAUAUUUUCAGUCAACCAAUCAUAUUAUAUUACAUUAGUUUCUAUAAAAUAAUUUGCUAAAUAGCACCAAAACUUAAUUGAUACUCACCAUUUCAUUGAACAAUUUUUUCAUGGUGUCAUUGAGAUUGCCUUCCCAACAUCCUUUAUCAUCAUCUUUUUCUUCUUCGGUGACGUUCACUUUGUUUAGCAUUGGUGUGUCUAAGACUCCUUGAGAGAAGAUCUUCAUUUUUGGACACUGUCUCACAACUACUUGUUUCAAGGACGGGAAUUCAAGAGCGUAAUUACCUAAACAAAAGCUUGUUAGGCUUGGCAAACAAUCAAGUCCCAAGUACUUCAAUUUGUUGAAAACAAUGCAAUCUUUCGAUUCUUCUCCAACCUGCGACUGUAUGAUUUCUUCCAUCAUUUUGCAAUCAGUUAUCUUCAUUCUUCUGAGAUUAACCAGAUUUUUAGAUGCUGAGAGCGUCAACACAUUUAUCAACCCGUGACACUUCGAUACUUUCAAAACCUCAAGGUUUUCCAAAUGCCACGAAGGUGGUACUAAUUUUUGCAACUUACCACAUUCCGAUAUUUUUAGACUUUCCAAAUUUGCAAAUACUUUGUUGGAUUCGGCAUUUUCCUUCCAGAGAUGCUGCAAUUUGUGUAAUCCAGACAACUCUAACCCCCACAAUUGAGGGAAAGCAACCUGAAAAUCAACAAAAUUAAGUUGUAAAUGAAAAUAUGUAUCCAAUCUCUGCAGUCUUCCUCUGCAUAUUUUAUGGACAAGAUUAAUCACGGCAUUUUAUAUUUUAUUUUCCAAAUUAGUAUGCUUUGCAGUAGGAUCCCAAAUAUAAGUAUCAAAUCGAUUACUCUUUGAAACACAUAAAUGAAAUCUGAUGCUAAAUCCAAUAUGAAUUAGCUAGGAAAACAGAGAUGUUACACACAUAAUUAAUAUAGUUCAUCACCUCGUGUUACCAGGCAUCCAAUUAAUUUCUGACAUUUUUAUAAUUCAUACUAUAAAGUUAGUUAAUAACGGAGGUUAUAUUGUUAAAUCAGAUAUAAAUUAAGACGACAUGCAAAAAGAUGAGUCAUUAAAUUUGAUUUGAUUCUAAUGAAAUUACAUCUGUGCGAAUGAAAGUGAAGGGAAAAAUAAUAAUAAUGAUUACCUUUUCAUCGAAGAGAUGUUGUAUUUGAUUAGCUACCAAGAGGUUCUCUUCUGAUUUUAAUUUUUGAGCUUCCUUAUUAUCUGCUGUCAUGUGCAGUACAGAUGUAGAAUUGGAUAUGAAUGUUUCCAUAUCAGGGCAAUUCUCAAUAGUUAGAUAACUCAGCAGUUCAAUUAUAUUCCCAGUGAAGUUGCAGAAUCUUUUGAGUUUUGGAAGAUCAAUGAGCCUUAGGUUGGAAAGCUUAGGAAACAGGGGGCCUAUAUGUUCUUUGUCAGCAUUAAUUAGCUCUUCCAAAUGGAGCACCUCUUCUAGUGAAUCACAAUUCGUCACUGCCAGGCAUUCCAAAUUGUUCAAGCACCGUAGCAGAUUGGCAGGAAUAGCACUCGACAUAUUCGUGCAGUCAUCCACUUCCAGCUUUCUUAAAUUGUUGAAGAAGCUGACAGGCAGUUCUUGGCCAUGCCAUAUUUCUUUCAAACGUGGAAAACGUGAGAGUUGCAAAUACUCUAUAUCACGAAAUCCAAUCUGCACAAACCAAAACAAUUGCACUGGAUAUAUACAAUUUUUUUUUAAAGGCAUUAGAUAUAUAUAUAUAUAUAUAUAUACACACACACACACACACACACAUUAAACUUACAUGUUUUGUGUUUUAACUUCUAAAACUACAUAUACAAGGUAGGUGUAUAUGUUUAAAUGUGCAAGCGUAGGGGAGAUGCAUGAACAAUUUGGGUGAAUCGAUUAACACAGACCAUCUUUUUGUAACAUAUUUUUAAAUGUGCAAGUGCAAGGGAGAUGCAUGAGCAAUUUGGAUGAAUUGAUGAGCACAUACCAUUUCUUUGUAACACUUCUGUAUAGUGGAAUUAAGAUUGCCUUCCCGAUGGUACAAUUCACUGUCUUCCUUUUUACUAACUUGCACUUUGUACAGCUUUGGUGUGGAUAAGAUUCCCUGGGGAAAAGUCUUCAUGUUCGGACAAUGUGUCACCGAAACUCGUUCCAAUGAUGGGAAUUCAAGAGUAUAAUUCUCCAAACAAAAGCUGGUAAGCCUUGGUAAAUAAUCAAGUAUCAAAACUUUUAAUUCGCUGAAAGCAAUACGAUUCUCCUUCACUUCUUCUCCAACAUGUCCUACGAUUUCUUCUAAUUUUUGGCAAUUCGAUACAUUAAGAUUCACCAGACUACUAGGAAUUCCAACCUGAAAAUAAGCAAAAGUGUGUGUAUAUUAAAAAAGUAAAAAUGUAAGAAUAUCAUUCAACUAGCACCACAACAGAAAUGGCUUUUUGCAACAAAAAGAUUUUGUUGCCUAAAGUGCCAAUUUUGUUGCCAUAGGUUAUUGCUACAAAAACAAGCUUGUCGGCCCGGUCGUCGGCCUAGCACUGUCGCCCUCUAUGUUUAACAACAUAUCAAAACAUUUCUCGCCUCAAACUUCCUUUCGCAACAAAACAGAUUCGUUGUGAAGGAGUCUUCAACUUGUUUAGAGAAUAAUUUGGCAACAAACAUUUUUGUUGCGCUAAACAGUUUUACACAACAAACUAAUUUUGUUUCUAUAUAGUUAUUUACUACAAAACUAAUUUGUUGCUAAGAAAUAAAGUACAUUUUAUAAAAAAAACGUGUACCAACAAAGGUGUUUGUUAGCUAAGAUCAUUUUAGGCAACAAAACUACUUUGUUUCUUUAUGUUGAAAAUUUUACAAAUUUGCAAUAAAUAUUUAUAUAUUUUUAGAAACAAAUCAAUUUUGUCAUUAAAAAAUAGUACAAUUUUUUUUUAAUAAUAUCAUGGUAUAAAAGGAAGCAAACCAAGUUCGUUGGGAAAGAUACCAAUUUUUUCCCCCACCAUGACAAUAAUAAACUAGAAAUAUAUGUUGAGAAAUCUAACAAAAAAAUCAUUAAUGUCAUUGAACUAAUUUAAAAGUUAAAGGCCCAUUCAGUAUCCAAGCUAUAUAUAUAUAUAUACAAAACUGACUUUAAGAAUCACAUAUGAUAGUCAAAUACAAAAGUGGAUUGUCAUCUAUCCCAAAAAUGUAAUGAGCAAAAAUUAUAAACGAUCUCUAAUUACAACUACUCCAAACUCCAAAUACUUAAAGAUAUGACAUGCACCAGCAGUAACCAAAAAGAUCAAGUGAUGACCAAUUCAAAAUACUAACAAGUUCAAGAUACUCUAAGGACAUCAUUGAAAUGAGUAAUCAUUGAGUAGCUGAAUCUGUAAAGCAAAAAGUGGAUCCUUGAGAAGAAAAAAAUUGCUGCAUCAUACCCUCAAAUUGGGACAAUCUGGACUCCAAUUGAUCAAUAGUCUUCUUUUGUUCUUGAAGCUCAACAUCUUGUGAAUCCAAUCUACUUUGUUGUGAAGAUAUAAUACCAUGCAAUCUGUCAGCCUCAGAAGUAUCAACACCAUGGUUUGAAGUUGGGCGUGGUCCGUUGCCAAGUCCUCGAAAAUAGCCUGUUUUCUUUCCAAGUACUUCAAUGCAUAUUUCCUUUUGAGUUAGUGGUUUUGCUUCUUGAGGAUCUAUUUGUUGCUGUUGUUGUAUCUCUACCAUUUGGUCCUAUACAUAAAGCUUUGUUAGUAAAUGAAGGAAGAAAAAAAAGAAUUUUAUUAAUUAAAUAGUUGAAAUUUAAUCCAUUGGUCAUGGAAUUAAUUUGUAUUAAGGCAUAAAUUGAAAAAAAAAAAAAAGAAACUUGCUGUUAUACUUAUAAAUCUAAUUAUUUGAUAUUUCAAAUAAUAAAGUUAAUUAGAGCAUGAAAGAAAAAUUAAGAAAAAAAAACUCAAUGAGUAAACUUUCAUCAACAGUAUGUAGGUGAUAAGAAAUAAUAAAAUUAAAAAUUUUGUUUCCAACAAAGCAUCUUACAUGGUUUAAGUGUGCCAUCUCAUUCACCCAACCUUUUGUCUUGCUGAAAUGAUUGACGCGAAAUAAUUCUAUUUCACCAUCAACCAUGUCAUCCUCAAGAUAAUUAACAAAAGGUCUUGAUCCCCCACAAUGGACAUAUGGGAGCUUAGCACGAUUAGCUUUGUUUUUGGUAGAUUGAGUCUACAUUAAAAAAAUAUAACAGUGGAAAAUAAGAUACAUAUACAAGCAUAUUGACAACUAGUUGGACAAUUUAAAGUUCAUAAUAUGAAUAUCAUUGGACCUGGAAACUUGCGGAAUUGUAAAUGUUAUGACAAAGCCAAGCCCAAUCAUCUGGACAUAUGCCUGGAUAUGAAUGCUUAAGUGCCUCUUCAAAGGAUGGAUAAUCCAAGUAAUGAUCAUACAUCCAAUGUCUCAUAUCAUGAUAUCUCCCACCCAUAAUGUUAUUCACACAUCGACGAACAUGUGGUACGUUCAAAUCAAUCUCAAACUUUGACUGAAUUUAGGAAAAAAAAGAUAUCUCAGUUUAUAAUUAAAAAAAAUGACAUAUGAAGAAUAUUAAUAAUCAUAAGUACUUACUAAUAGUCGAUCAAACAAAACCUACCAAUUAAACUCUUUAAAUACCAAAUUCUAGAGUUGUAACAACACCUUGCACAAACUCUUGGCUGGGCAUAACAGGCUAAGAUUGGGGAAUUGUAGAUGCGACAACAAUUUCUGCUCUUACACGUUUGGUAACUCUAUGUCCAGGACCCAUCUAGUAAUUAUUAAAAAUAUACAUUAGAGUUUAUUAAUAAUCAACAUAAAAAUAAAUCAAGAUAACUAUAAUUUUGUCAAAGAAAUUAUAACAUGAAAGAUCCUAUUACUGGGCAUAGAUCCUAAAUUCAUUUGACUAUUGUCCACAAACUCAGGUUCUUCACCAUGAAAAACCCAUGAAAAAUCCAUUAACUUUAAUUUAACAAAUUAAAAAUUGAAACAAAGACCCACUUAAUAAAUAAUUAAAGCAAAACCCACUAAACAAAAUCAAACUCAACAGGCCAAUAUAUAAAAUAAAACUAAAUUUACUUGAAGAAAUCGUUGUCUUGAGUGGUGCCUUCCAAGUACAACUCUUCAAUGGCUUAAAGCUUGGGCAGAGAGAAUGACUCCAAGGCAGGGCAAAAGAAACAAGCGAAGAGUAAAGUGGAAAUAUUCUAGAAGCAAUAUUUUAAUUAAGAAAAAAUUGGAGAUGGAAACUUUACUUCGGUUAGCACGCGGUUUAUUAAAUAAAGGGCGCGGAAAUAAAAAAUUAAAAAGCCUCCCACAAAGUCAUGUUUGCUUUUAUAUUAUCUUUAUAUUUUCAUUUAUUAAUUUAAUAUUUUUGUUAACCUUUGCGCAACAAAAUUAAUCUCGUUGCAAAAAACUCUGAGAGUACAAAACAAAUUUUCUCGCUAAUCACAACCUUUUGCAAUAUUUCAUUUGUUGCAACUGAUUUAAGUGUUUGUUGUGGAAAAACUUGAGCAACGAAACAUAUUUUGCCUUCAUUAAGCUUGUUAGGCAACAAGAACACUUUUGUUGCCAAACAUAGCGUAGGGCAAGAAAAUAUUUUGUUGCCAUAUAUUCUAAUUUUCUUGCCUAUUCCACAUCAUUAAGAAGAAUAAAAUCUGUUUAGCUAUAGCGAUAAAGACUAAUUUUUGUUGCAAGAUAUGAAUUUUAGCAAUAAAGUAAGUUUUGUUGCAAUAGAAUUUGUAGCCAAUACUCUAUUUUCUUGUGGUGUAGGUUCAAAGUAUGUUUAAUCAUACAAUUAUACGUUUUAUAAACAUAACAAACCAUGAAAUGUCUACUAGAUAAUUUUUUGUUAAACAAAAAAAGCAACAAGAUAAAUAAAUAAAUAAAAGCCAGAUAAACAAAGAUAAUAAAAAUGCAUUUACACUAUUUACUAUUAGGAAUGUAGAAAGAAUUUAAGGCAAUUUCUAAAUAUUUUAGACUUAUUUUGCAUCUUGAUAUCAGUUUUUAAGCAUAAAUUUGCAAAUUUCAACUAUUCCUUUUGGGGAAAAAAAAAUCAACCAAAAUGCCGCUUUUUCCCUUUUCCUUGGUCCCUUUUUUUUAUGUACAUUUAAAAAUGGGAAAAAAAAUUGGAAAAGACUUCCCAAUAUUGUCAACAAGGGACUGCUGCUGUAAAGUGGAUCUUUAUUAAGUACUUCCAGACUCAAGGAAAUUUCUUUACAAUCACGGGUCAGUUGUAAAUAAUCAUCAAUUUGUGGUUAAUUAAUGGCAUAAUCAAUUCGUAACUAAACAAGAGAUAUUAAUUAAAUUUGAAGACUUUUAUUUUCUUUUUUUUCUUUUUCCAAUCGAAAUGUGAAGAAUUAAGGAAAAGAGAAAUAUAUAGAUGAAUUUAUGAACCUAUAAGAUGAGUGACUAUCCUUUAAUUUUUGAAAAUCGUACUUUUUAAGAUAUGAGCAAAAACUAUUUAAUUGAAUUAUAUUAUGCUGUUGAAUCGUGUUUGAAAAAUUUAUAUUGUUAAUUCUAAUGCUGACGAACCUAAAAACCGGACUUAAAACGUAGAUUUCAGGGUGGUGGUUCGAAGUACGAUACUUGAAAUAAAUAAUCAGUGGCUGAAUAUCAUUUGUAAACAAAAAAUGGUUAAAAUAUUGUUGGAUGUAAUUUGAAAAAAAAAAAAAAGAUUCGAAAUGAAUACAGCGAACUUACCAAUGGAGGAAAAAUAUUCUUUAGGUUAUCACACCAAUUUAUCUCCAAAUUCUUCAAUUUGCUGAAAGACUCCGAAGCAAGCUGGUGGUGCCAUAUUCUUCUCAAAUUAUCCAUCCUCCCAAUAUCUAAUACCUCCAACCUAGGAAGUCGUACCUGGCAGUUAAAGAUUAAAUAACUAAUUGAUCAAUUAAUGGCAUAAUCAAUUGAUAACUAAAUUAGAGGCGGAUAUUAACUAAUUUUGAAGACUCAAGGAAAAGAAAAAUUAAGUAUUGUGACUAAAAUUAAUUUUUUUUAUUAAAAAAAAAACUUUUCGUCAAAGAGAGGAGGAGGUUGCAUUUCAGAAUGAUUGGUGUCUUCUGGUGAGCUCGUAGAGAUGAAUCUUAACAUAUUUCUGCAACCACGAAACUUGAGGUUUAGCAAAGAAGGGAAUUCAACAACUGAAUCUGAAUGAAUAUGUCCCGUAUUGGCAAAGCUUGUUAGUUUAUAAAGCCCAUAGAGCUGUAGGGAGUGUAGUUUAGGAAAAACCUUUAAUUCAAUCAACUUUCCUUCAUCUCUUUCUGACCACCCCGUGGUGUCGACUACCCUUUCCAUUGACCAACAAGUGGUUAUCUCAAGAUGUUGGAGUUUCGCAAGACUAUUAACCAUAGAAUAUGAAAACAGAUACUUCAUACGAUGACAACUGACCACGUGCAGCUUUGUUAGAUUUUGAUAACAGUACAUUCCUUGAUUAUGAUCGGCCCAUAAUUUUUUCAUGUUUCUUAAGUCCCUGAGAUUCAAUUCCUCUAAGCUCGGAAGAAUAACCUGCAAAGAAAACCCGUACAUUUUUGUUCCUUCAAGUACAACCGUCUAGUAUAAUAUUUUUUUGAUGAUCGAAGAUUAAUGGUGAUAAUAAAUUAAUCAAUUAAUUAUUGAACAGAAAAUUAUCACCUUUGGAGCAGUAUCAUCAUCAGCAAUGAUUUCGUUGAAUCCCAAAGAAGUUGUUGGUUUCUCCCUGUCGGGUCCUAUAAACAAACAAAAACAAUAUAUACAUAAUUAAUCUUUGUUUUUUUUUGGUCCAAAAUAAUUGAGGAGAAGUCCAUAAUCACACCAACACUUACCAACAAUCAUUUCCAGAUCAUCGCAAGAAGCCACUUCUACCUUUUGAAGCUGCAGUAGGUUUUUGGCUAUGGAGAAUGAGAAAAGAUGCUUCAAUUCGCGACAGGAUUUUACUUCGAUAAUCCUUAAGUUGCUGAAAGAUUGAUCUUCUGUGAGUUGGCUGUCACAUAUUGUCUCCAAAUUAUUCAAAUAGCUAAGAGACAAUGACUCCAGCAAGGGAAAGACUGUCCAAUGAACCCGUCCAACUGAACCAACAAUAUGCGAAAUAUCAUAACAAUAUUCUACACGAAGAUGCUUCAAUCGUGGAAAACCUUCCCCAUCAUCUAAUUCAUGAACAACAUUCUGAACACCCUUCAGUUCGAUUAGAUGGAUCUCUUCAGUUAACUUCAGCAACAUUUUCGUCCCAUAAUUCUCCCAAAGAGUGCUAACAUUUUCUAACCCAUGGAGCUCCACCAAUCUUGAUGUUUCAGAAUUAACGCGCCACCACGCUUCUCCUAUACAUAUCUUAUAUCUUUGCAAUUCCACAGGGACCCAAUCCUGCGGCAGAAUUUGGGCAUCCCGAACGUGUAUCUCCAAGGUACUUAGCUUUGACAACCCCUUCAAUUCAGCAAGACUGGCGUUACUUCCUCCUUCAACCUUAUCCCACUGCGAAAAACUGUCACCCAUAUAUAGUUCUUCCAAUCGAGAAAAAUUUGAUAUGACAUUUGGUGCUAUCACUACAAGGCUCCUACAAUGUUGGGUGCAAGCGGAAGUGCAGAAAAAUUUUUAUUUAAGAACAGAGUAUUUUGCUGGAAAUUUCUGAAACUUUAUUGCUUAAUUCAUUUUUUUCGUUUCUCUCUUCCUUUUCAUACAACCAGAGUUCUAUAUUUAUAUGCAUUAUAGACAACUCUAGAGAUUACAUUAAUCAUGCUUUACAUUUCCAAAGCUACAUUGCAAACAUCAAUUCUACCCUUUACUUCAUGUUGAAAAACAAACCAAAUAACCCUUCAAACUUCUUGCUCAAUUUACUAGAUUAUUAAUUAUAUCUCAACACCCCCUCUUAAUUAGUAAUCUUCAAUUGCUUCUUGAAUUUUUCAAACUUCUCAAUGUUGAUUGCUUUGGUCAGAAAAUCUGCUGGCUGCUCAUUAGUGCUGAUAAACUCCAUAUUAACUUCUCCUUUGUUUACUAAGUCACGGAUGUAGUGAUAACGCAGCUCAAUGUGCUUAGAUUUAGCAUGAAAUACGGGGUUCUUUGUUAGAGCAAUGGCUGACAUGUUGUCACAAUAAAUUGUUGUUGCAGCAUCUUGAUUGAAUUGCAAAUCCUUGAGAAUUCUUCUAAGCCAAACGGCUUCACAAGCUGAUUCAGUUGCUGCAAUGUACUCUGCCUCGGCUGAGGAUAAAGCUACUGACUUCUGCUUCCUUGAGCUCCAUGAAAUCACAUUUGUACCAAGACAAAAUAAAUAACCUGAUGUGCUUUUUCUGUUAUCAAGGGAACCAGCCCAGUCACUGUCAGUAAAACCAACAAGCUUGCAAUUGUCUUCUUUUUCAUACAUGAUCCCCUGCUUUUUUGUUCCUUGAAGAUACCUUAAGAUUCUCUUUGCUGCAAUAUAAUGGGACUUCCUUGGAUCAUUCAUAAAUCUAGAAAGAACACUAACUGAGUGCAAAAUGUCAGGUCUUGAGUUGGUUAGAUAAAUCAAUGAACCAACCAAGCUUCUAUAGAUUCUUGCGUCAGCCUUUUCUUCUUUUUCAUCAUGUUUCAAUUUUUCAUUCAAACCCAUAGGAGUAGGUGCUGGUUUGCAUUUGAACAUGUGGAAUUUCUUCAACAAAUCUUCUACGUAUUUUUCUUGACAAAAGAAGAUUUUACCUCUGGCUUGCUUCACUUGAAUGCCAAGAAAAUACAUCAUUAAGCCCAAGUCAGUCAUCUCAAAUUCAUCUAGCAUGCUUUUUUUAAACUCUUCCACCAUUUUCAGAUUAGUGCCACAAUAAAUUAGAUCAUCAACAUAAAGGCAAACAAUAAGGAAAUCAGUACCUUCCUUUUUGACAUAAAGAGAAGGUUCACUUGAGCUUCUGUCAAAUCCAUUUUUAACAAAAUAUCUAUCAAUUCUACUAUUCCACGCUCGAGGGGCUUGCUUCAAGCCAUACAAGGCUUUUCGGAGUCGAUAAACUUUGUUUUCUUCACCUUUUACUUCAUAUCCUUUAGGCUGCUCAACAUAAACCUCUUCUUCAAUUUCACCAUUUAGAAAUGCCGAUUUUACAUCUAGCUGAAACACAUUUAAUUCCAUUUGGGCUGCCAAGGCAAGAACAGUUCGAAUAGUCUCCAUUCGAGCUACGGGAGCAAACGUUUCUGUAAAAUCAACUCCAGGCAGCUGAGAGUAUCCUUUGGCAACGAGCCGCGCCUUAUAUUUUUGAACUGAACCAUCUUCAUUGUACUUGAUUUUGAAGAUCCAUUUCAGCCCAAUUGUUUCUUUUCCAUUUGGCAAAUUAACCAUCUCCCAAGUUUUAUUUUUCACAAUGGUGGCCAUUUCCUCGUUCAUUGCUUUGAUCCAAUCUUCAUUUCUUGAGGCCUCCUCAAAGUCUUGAGGCUCACAAGAAAAUAAAGCAAGUUCACAUGACUCAUAAAUUUCUCUCAUUGACUUUAUCUUCCUUGGAGGGCUUUCAUCAUCCGAAGAAACUUUCUGCUGCUGAAUUUNNNNNNNNNNNNNNNNNNNNNNNNNNNNNNNNNNNNNNNNNNNNNNNNNNNNNNNNNNNNNNNNNNNNNNNNNNNNNNNNNNNNNNNNNNNNNNNNNNNNNNNNNNNNNNNNNNNNNNNNNNNNNNNNNNNNNNNNNNNNNNNNNNNNNNNNNNNNNNNNNNNNNNNNNNNNNNNNNNNNNNNNNNNNNNNNNNNNNNNNNNNNNNNNNNNNNNNNNNNNNNNNNNNNNNNNNNNNNNNNNNNNNNNNNNNNNNNNNNNNNNNNNNNNNNNNNNNNNNNNNNNNNNNNNNNNNNNNNNNNNNNNNNNNNNNNNNNNNNNNNNNNNNNNNNNNNNNNNNNNNNNNNNNNNNNNNNNNNNNNNNNNNNNNNNNNNNNNNNNNNNNNNNNNNNNNNNNNNNNNNNNNNNNNNNNNNNNNNNNNNNNNNNNNNNNNNNNNNNNNNNNNNNNNNNNNNNNNNNNNNNNNNNNNNNNNNNNNNNNNNNNNNNNNNNNNNNNNNNNNNNNNNNNNNNNNNNNNNNNNNNNNNNNNNNNNNNNNNNNNNNNNNNNNNNNNNNNNNNNNNNNNNNNNNNNNNNNNNNNNNNNNNNNNNNNNNNNNNNNNNNNNNNNNNNNNNNNNNNNNNNNNNNNNNNNNNNNNNNNNNNNNNNNNNNNNNNNNNNNNNNNNNNNNNNNNNNNNNNNNNNNNNNNNNNNNNNNNNNNNNNNNNNNNNNNNNNNNNNNNNNNNNNNNNNNNNNNNNNNNNNNNNNNNNNNNNNNNNNNNNNNNNNNNNNNNNNNNNNNNNNNNNNNNNNNNNNNNNNNNNNNNNNNNNNNNNNNNNNNNNNNNNNNNNNNNNNNNNNNNNNNNNNNNNNNNNNNNNNNNNNNNNNNNNNNNNNNNNNNNNNNNNNNNNNNNNNNNNNNNNNNNNNNNNNNNNNNNNNNNNNNNNNNNNNNNNNNNNNNNNNNNNNNNNNNNNNNNNNNNNNNNNNNNNNNNNNNNNNNNNNNNNNNNNNNNNNNNNNNNNNNNNNNNNNNNNNNNNNNNNNNNNNNNNNNNNNNNNNNNNNNNNNNNNNNNNNNNNNNNNNNNNNNNNNNNNNNNNNNNNNNNNNNNNNNNNNNNNNNNNNNNNNNNNNNNNNNNNNNNNNNNNNNNNNNNNNNNNNNNAACUUGAUGGUGACUGCCUUUUCGGACCUUGAAAUUCUUGUUUUAGGAUUUCCCAAGCAUUUUUGGCCUUUUUGACACCAAAUAUUCUGGGGAAAAUUGACUUACUAACACCUUGCUGGAUAUAUCGAAGUGCCGUGGCAUUUCUCUGUAUGUUUUCUUUGUACUGCUGUUGAUGUGCUGGAGUCCAAUCUGAAGAACUUGCUGAUUCUGGUGGUUCAGCAUAUCCAUCUUCAACAACAAGGUGUUGGGUGCAAGCGGAAGUGCAGAAAAAUUUUUAUUUAAGAACAGAGUAUUUUGCUGGAAAUUUUUAUUUACAAUUGCUCAAAUCUAGCAAUUGUAACCCCGUCAAUUGUCCAAUUUCAAGUGGUAACUGCUUAAUGUCGGAAUAUCGAAAGCUAAGAAUCUCCAAUUUCUUUAGUUGUCCAAUUGCCGCUACAUCUUCUAGUUGGCACCAGUCUAAACACAAUGUUUGAAGGUUAAUGAGGCGACCGAGUGACGAAGGUAAUGAAGAGAAAGGAAUUCUAGUAAGACUUAAAACUUUGAGUUCUUCUGUCCCUUCAAAAAAGAGAUCUGAAAUUUGCAUAGGGCCAUUACCCUUUCUAAACAACAAAAAUAACUGGAGAUUGGGACAUUGCAACCUUUCAGGGAGCUCUUGAAUAUUUCUCUGGGGUAAUGAAAUGGCAAUUGGAUCUUUCCGUAUUGUCUCUUCCAUCUUUUUCUCUAAGUCGGCAACAUUUGGAAUAUUAAACAUGCGCUUCUCUGCGGCAAUUGAUACGGCAACAACAUGAGUGACGUCAUGCAUUUUAACUUCAUCUUUAGCAUCACCGUCCAACAAUAAGCAUGAAGAUUUGAGGUUGUCGAUCAACCGAUGCACUCUACUCCUUGCUUCUUCCGAUGUGUAAACAUUUUCAAAUAAACGCCAACCCACACCAUAUCUCAAUAAGUUAGAAACUUGUAUGACAUAACCUUCACUGUAUAGACCACAAAGACGGAACAGAGAUUUUGCCUCCUCACUUUCCAAGAAGUCAUAACUCAAUUUUAUGGAGGUGUAAACAUUUGCUUGCAUGCCAUGAAUUUCUCUUGCAUCCGAUCUUCUUAGCUGAUUCAAUGCAUCUUUCCAAAAGUCAAGCUCCUUAGUUUUCAGAGCAUUUGCAACUGUACUCAGUGCAACAGGCAAACCUCCGCAUCUUUCAACGAUCUCAUUGGCUGUACUUUGAAAAGCAGAUAUUUUAGUUGAAUCACCCACUAUCUCCUCAAAUAACUGCAAUGCUUCUUUUGGUGGCAAAGCAUCGAUCUGGAAAUUUUUCUGAGAAUUCAUAUCAAUGCGCAAUAAAUCUUGCUUUCUAGACGUCAAUAUUAUUGUGCAUCUUCUCUGAUCAUCCUUUCUAUCUUUCUCAGCAACAUCCCCGGUUGGAAUUCCAAAUUUAUCCAACUCAAGUUUUGUCCAAAUAUUAUCUAAUAUAAUGAGGAGCUGCUUCUCUUUCUUCAAUCUUUCAUGUAAUCGUUCAGCUCUUUGGAAUUCAUUCUCAUUCAGGCCAAAUUCCAUGCCUAAAUCAAAAGCAAGUUUGUUUUGAAUUUUAUGAUGAUCUGGGGUCUGUGUUACCUCAGCCAUAACGACCUUAUCGAACAAGUUUUCUUCCAUCACUUGCUUUGCAACUUGCUUGACUAUCGUGGUUUUACCCACGCCGCCCAUCCCGUGGACCCCAAUUAUGUUGAGCUUAUCAUCCCUCAACGCCUCCAUAACAUCUUGAAAUACUUUCAUUCUUGAAUCAAACGCCUCGAAAUCUUUCACUUGAAUAUGUUCUGCCAGCUUUGGAGUAGGACGGUGGGAAACAUUAGAGAAGUUGCCUUUUCCCACGAGACUAGCGGCAGCUUCUGCGGCCUUUGCUGCUUGUCUACUGAGCUUGUAACGGGAAAUCAAGUUUGGGCACGAUCCUUUGAAACAGAACUUCUUAGCUCUAUCUUCAUCAUCAGUGAUGGAUUUUGCAGCGCCCUGAGUGAAUUCCUUGACACUAUUAAGCCAGUCUGCAACAUCCUUAUAAAUCUCAUCUCCUUGUUGAGUAGCCUGAUGAACGGGUAUUUCCACCCUUUCUCUUUUGUGUUCCAGCUGCUUCACUUGAUCUUUUAGGCCAUCUAUGUAGCUCUGGUACUUGAACACAUAAGAUAUCUGCCGUAUAAUCGGUUUGAAUAGUGACUUUACACCUUCUGAUACGAUGCUGGAAAAAGCAGCCAGACCCACUUCUGCAGCCAUUGCCUGUUGCUUAACAGUAUAUAUAUAUAAAUAUAUAUAUAUAUAUAAAGUGAAUAAAAAUGUCAAAUAAAGGAAUACAAAUAAAUUAAAAUGAACUAGAGGGAAAGACAGAGAAAGAAUAGACCGCAAACAACAUCACGAUAUUGAUCUUGAACCAACUGAUACCUAAGUGGAGAAUUUCUUUUUCUAUCUUAAGGAUCAGAGGUUUCGCUAUUAACAGAAAGGUAUCCUUCAAGGAAAGUUGAUGGAAAUUAAGAAAGAAUGGCUAUCAAGAUCAAGUAUUCUGCUACUAAAAAUAAAUGAUAUGAUUAAGAAAAACCAGAGAAUUUUUUCCUAGGAAAGUUGAUGGAAAUUAAGAAAGCACCGCUAUGAAGAUCAAGUAUCAGAGAUUCUGCUACUAAAAGAAUAUUACAGGUUUUAGAACAAGUGCACCUCUUUACCUGUCUGGGAUCAGAGUUGAUGAGCUGCUGUAUUCACCUUGAAUAUAGAAGAAAUAUUACAGAUUUUGACUAAAGAGGAAUGUGAGGAACGAGUUGAUGAGAGUAAUAACAAUGAAUUUCCAAAAGAAGACGACUUGAGCAUUAAGCAUGCACCCCCUUUUUCAAUCAAAUAUUGGUACGUAUGUACGUAGGGACCAUUAUGCGUAUAUGAAGUCCAUUAGUUGCAAUCAGAAACCCUGGACCAAUUUAAAUGACACUCGAUUUUUGAUAAGAAGAAGGCAAGGAUAAGGACAAAGUCAAUCAAUCACCAACAGUAAUUACUUCAAUCUUUGUCAAUCUACUUAAAUUGUCGAUCAACAUGAAAAUUGUUUAAAUUGAUAUUUGUAAAUCAAUCAAUUUUCUAGUUACUAUGAUUAUAGCGUUUCACCUUUCAUAUUGGAUUUUAUCUUUUCGAAAGUUUUCAAAUAUGAGUGUCAAUAAUUAUUGAGACUCCAAGCCGUGCUCUCAAGAUCGUGCUGACACAUCACUAUUAACUUUAUUUAUGCAUAUUUCAAAGAAAAAAAGUUAUGGUUUUGUAUUGCCAGCCCUGCUACUUUUUGUUUUUUUUCAUUUGUAUUAUUUACGAUUUUUUUUUAACAGAAACAUGAGAACUCAUCAUCGUACAAAAUUGUAUGAAAAAAUCUUCAAAUUUAUAAAAGUAAAUUUCAUUGACAGAUUGUGGAUAUGUUAGCAAGAAUAAGGAUAAGAAUGAGUUAAGAAAUUAAAAAGAAAAAAAAUAUAGUGUAAGUAAACAAUGUUUUGGUACAUUUGGUAUUGUUUUCAAAAUAUUUUGAAAAGAAAAAUUUUCAAUCAUCCACCUAAAAAUUAUUUUAUUAUCCAAAAGUUAUGAAAAUUUAAAUAUACUUAAUUUUAUACCCAUUAUUACAAUGUGUAUCAACUGUUUACUAAAAAAAUAAAGUUACUCCUAAAACGUAAUCACCACUACAAUUUUAUGUUCGCUUCUAUUUUGUCACUUUGAACGAAUAACUUUGAGUAAAUGACUGAUAAUUUCUCUUUUAUAAGCUACAAGAAGUUAAAAAAAGAAAAAAGAAAAAAUAGGAUGAUAAUUUCUCUUUUAUUUGCCUCAGAUGAUUUAUUGUUUCGGGUCUAAGAUUUUAAAUAUUCAACUUAAAAGAUUAAUAUAUUAUAAAUUAAUUAAUUAAAUAAUCAUUAAGCAAAUAAAUUGUGUCCCUGGAUGUCAAUUCCUUUAAUAUUGACGCAACUAUUUUUUUCUGGCAAAUAAUUAUUAAUGCACUUACGGAACUUUGCAUAUCUACACAGCGAUUUUAAAUAUUACUGGUAACUGCUAAGAAAUGUGCGAGAAAGGAGUUGAUGAGAGUAAUAACAGCGACUUGCAAAAGGAAAAGACAGAAUCAUUCACCCCUUUUUGUAUCACGUAUUUGGUUACUGUUUCCCUGUUGACGCAUGUAUAAAUUUGAGUGGUUUUUCUCCACGUUUUUGAGUGGUCUUUCUGCACUUUUUAACAAUAUGAUAAUUGACAGGUUAAUUAUUUUAUAUCUUUUAUAAAAUUACUAUUAAAGGAGAUUUUCUGCACGCAUGUAUAAUAUUUUAUAUCUUUAUUUAUAUUACUAUUAAUUUUAAAUUAAAAUUAUUUAUAUUUAUUCAUAUUCAAAUAUUUAUUAUUAGUUAUAUUAACUAUAAUAUAAUUAAAUAAUACAUUAUUUAGUUAUAUUUUCAAUAUAAUAAAAAUUAAUAAUAUAAUAAUAAAAUUUAUUUAAACAUUUAUUAACAUGUAAUAAAUUUUGUUUUUGUGUACAAUACAAUAAAUUGAUAACUAAAAUAAAUAUUAUUAACAUUAUUUUAUUAUUUUAUUACCUCAAUAUUAUUAGUAAUUAUAAGAAUUCCUUGAAAGUUAAUGAUUUUACUUUUUUGAUUAAUAAGGAUAAUUUUAUAUUUUUAUAGUAUGUAUGACGGCUUGCCUCCUGCAUGCGUCUAAGUGCAACCUUCCUAUAUAAUCGGUUGCUUUGCUUGUGAAACUACAUCAAACCCUAAUCCUGAUCCUGAUCCUGCUGAGAUGAGUGUUAUAUAUGCUGAAGCAAAUUAAACACGCACAUCAUCAAUUUGAUUCGAUAUGCGCACCGUCUUACGUAUAAAUACCAAAAGAAAUCAUAAUAUACAUCUUAGUACUGAUAGUCGUGAUCACAAAUUAGGAACACAAUAUAUACACAUGCAUAAUAUAAAGAAAACACGAGGUAAAUUAAAAGCGUGUAAAUAUUCAUUUUUUUCAAAUAUUGAGAUGUAGCUAUAAAAGAAAAAAUAAAUUAAAAAAUUUUAAAUUUUAAUAUGGCCAUCGUAGAGUUAGAAUCCCCGCUCCAACCCAAUUUGGAGAUGUGCUUGGUCUAUUUAUGUUUUGGAAAAAGAAAAACCAAAGGAAAAAAAAAUACACACACGACCAAAUCAAGCAAUUCAUCAAAUAAAAAAUAAAAAAAGGAAAGAAAUUUAAUGACUUGCAUGCAAUUUUGGAUCUGAAAUUAAAAUUACAUAAAAAUUAAGGAUUACCUACCUUAAUAUUUACAGCUUAUUUGAUGGACUCAACAGGUUUAAGCAACAUCAAAAUGUUUGUGGCUCCUUAAAUGAGCCCCCGACAUGGUGCAAAUGACAACAUCGACUUGUUUGACAGCUCCAACAAGGCUACGAUGAUCAGAAAAUGAGCCCUCAAUCAACAAGCUAAGAUUGGCUUCUCUAUCCUCUUCUCCCCACAACCAGCGCCUUGCUCUUUGUCAUUUUUCCUCUUGUUAGUUUUCUUCUACAUAUAAUUAUUACACUGGGAAGUACACACCCCUCUUUUCUUUUUAUAGUACCUUACUAUUAUAUCUUUACAAAACAAUAUCACCCUAAGACAGAUAUGUAUGAAAUAAAUGAAAUAAAUAUAUAAGGAACUGACGAAAUAAAAUUAUCAUGACCAUAGACUUUUCUAAUUUAUUUUUUCCUUUAAAAAACGACAAGGAUAAGUUUGGGAAAAUGAUUAUAUUUUUAAUAAAAGAAUUCUUUUUUAUUAUAAGGAUCCACCUACGUUACAAUAGUGAUACCAUACUACAGUUUUUGUCUUUAUUUAGUUGAGUCGUUGGAUGUUUUACUGGUCAAUCUAAUGGCUGAAAUUAAUUAUUAGAUAAUUGAUGCGGCAACCUGCAACCGUUGGAGCCGGUUGCGUUUUAAUGUAAUGUAAUAUCAUUUGCGAGCUUGUGCUGAGAAAGUUUGUUGUACUGCAUCAAUGGAACUGAUUUGGUCAGGAUUUAUGGAUAUAGAGAAAGAGGAGUGUUAGAAAAGAAAACGGUGCAGAAGAUUGUCCCUUCAUCCAUUUGGCCUUUGGUAGGGGCUUCCUUUGAUUUUCACCUGGACUUCAUAAAUUCCUCAAAUUUCCUUCUUGAUAACAGUAAUCCUGCAUUCGGAGAGAGGUAAGUCACCAUGUUUCGUCACAAACGUGGCCAUCUCUUCUCCAUUCGAUUGGUUGCUUUUUAAAUCCAAUGGUUAUAUUAGAUGAGGACAAAAAUUGUGGUAUGGUACCACUGUUGUAACAUAAGUGGAUCCUUAUUAUAAUACUUUUUGUCUUAAUUAAUUUAAAAAUAUUGACUCUUAUAUUUUAAUAAAUAUAAAUAUAAUAUUAUAAUAAAAUAUAACAAUAUAUACAAAUAUUUAAAAAAUUUAAGAUUUUAUUAAAAUAAAUUUUAUAAUAAAUACAAAUAUAUUAUUAAUAUAAUUAUAAUAAUUUGCAUUUUAAAAAGUAAUACUGCUAUAAAUUUUUUAAAUUAUAUUACUCUACCAAAAAAAUAAACUAUUAAAUUAUAUUGAUAUUUAUUAAAAAAUUUGCAAUUAAUUCUUAUUAUAUUUUUAAUUGGAAUUUUUUUCUUGUGAUAUAACAACAAUUGCUACAGUUUUUUCCCUAAAUAAAGAUGGAGUUAUAAAUUAUUUGUAUAAGUGUCAUGAAAGUAAUAGUUGAAUAACAAUAAUGGGGCUUUAGGCAAUUUUUUUAUGAGGUCUUCUUACAAUUUCAACACUUAAACAGACUUGUCCUUGAUCCCAAUUUAUUUACUGCAUUUGGGCCCACGAUGAGAUAAAUAUAUUCCUGUGAGAUGAAAAACAUCAGGAGAAGAAAAUGUUUUAUUAUAAUAAAAAAAAAAGUGGUCCAUAUGUUACCUGUUACCUGCAGAGGAAUGUGAUUAUAGAGAGCUUAUGAGAGUAACGACAAUGAUUUGCAAAAGAAGAAGACUUAAUCAUGCAGCCCUUAGUAUUUAUCAAAUGAUUAGUGAUCAUUUCUUUUAUAAAUAAAAUGCCAACAGCAAAAAGAAAAAAAAAAGGUUAAAUUUAUUAAGUCUUAUUUUAAUUUUAAUUUCUUUUAUUUUCAUUCGCCGAAGAGGGAAUCUCUUUUCCUAAUGUGACAUAAUUAAAGCAAUCUAUAAAUAAUACAAUAAUCAGAUAAUAUAAUAAUUAAAAAGACGCACAUGUUUAUAAUAAUAAUGAUGGGAUCCAUAUGUUUAUACUGAUUAAAUUGGUGGACCAGAAUUUAUUUGACCUUACUUGUUUUCUAUUUAAUUAAAAAUUGAAACGACAGAGAAAAAAUGUCGUACUGAUGGUUUCGAUUGUGGAGUUCCGCUGUGGAUAGCACAUCCAAUAGUGAAAAAUGAAGCUUUCGUCAACUAUCUCACAUCCACGCGUACCAUCAUGCAUAAUUGGAUAUUGCAUUAUUUCUUUAGAAAAGCAAGAUUAAUUCUUUUAACAAGCAAACGCAUAUACAUAGAAUAAUUAUAUGUAUUUGUUGGUUCAAGAAACUUAACUGACAAGAUUGAGACAAACAGGAGAUUUUAAUUUUUUUUGGACAUUAAGAAAUAACAGCUGUCAAGAUCAAGGAGAUUAUGCUAUUAACAGAAAUUAUUAAAGGAUUUAGAACAAGUUAACCUCUUCAGUUAUCCGGGAUCAUACGGUUGAUGAGCUUCUCUGUUUGGCCUUGAAUAUUUAAGAAUAAUUUUGAUGAGCAAAAAGAUCACUGGUAACUGCUGAGAAAUGUGUGAGAAAAGAGCUGAUUAGCGUAAUAACAAUGAAUUGCAAAAGAAAAAGACUUAAGGGUAAUUUUUGGAAACCUCCCCUGAGGUUUGCCCUUGCUACACUUAGAGAGAAUGUAUGCAUAUAUUGACAUAUAGCACCCCUGACCGUGUAUGAGCGUUAGAGUGCCGUUUGGUUGUUAAGGGCAAUAACGUAAUUGCAAAAAUAAAGAGGCUGACUGCAGAAAGAACGCAAUAGCUUUUGCUUCCUCUCCAUGUCUUCGUUCUUGUUCUUUCUCUCGCUCUCAAAAGAAUUUGGAGGCAGAAAAGGAAAAAAAAAAAAUUCUUCUUUUCUUUCUCUUUUCCCCCCUUCCUCUCCACCCAUUUCGUUCUUUUAUCAGUAAAGCUGAAAAACAAAGGCCACUAUUCCUGCAUCACCACCAGUUUGUCGUAUUGCUUUGCUAGUCAACAAAAAUUCUAACCCCAUGUUAAAAAAUAACAUCAAUAUUAAUGCUUCUUCUUCUUAUGAUUCUUUCACCUCUUUAGAAAAUGGUGCACUAGUUAUUCAUAACAAAAGAGAAAGAAAACCAGCAGGCACCCCAUGUAGCUUUCUUUUUCAAUUUUCUUUUGUAUAUGGGUUAAAUUCUUUUAAGGCGAAUUGCAAGUUUUAAUUUUUGUUUUUCCGUUUUUUGUUUGAUACGCACACACGCAUAAAUCCAGAUGAGAGGUGGUUUUUAUAUGCUGUUCAAUCUAAUUAUAAAGCACAUCUAAAAAAUUGUGGUACUAGAGGCCAUUCUUCUGACUGUGGCCGAGUGUUUUCCAGGUUCUUCUCUUUCUCCUAAAUUUACUCCCUUUUUUAUUCUUUCAACAAAAAUGAGAUUCUUUGCUCCUUCAAGUGGAACCUCGGGGGCAAAUUACCUCCACAAAUUGACCCACGGGCCACGGCUACUAGAUUUGGAGGGGAGAGAGAGUGACCUACGGCUGCUGGAAUUGGAGGGGGGAGAGAGUGACCCACGGCGGCUGGAAUUGAAGGGGGGAGAGAGAGUGAACCGUGCGUUUUGUGCUAGAUUUGGAGAUCCGAGGGGAGAAAGAGAGUGUGACCCGUGACCCACAACUGUUGGAUUUGGAGGGGAAAGAGAGUGAGAGCUGUCGACGGAGCGUGGUGAGGAAGAAUGGGAAAUUGGUGGCUUGGUAAGAUUAGUGGCAUGAGCUGUGAGGGAGAGCGAGAGAGGGUGUGCUGCGAACGUUGCGUGUGUGUUGCAAAUGGUGUUGCACAGUUCUUUCAAUCAAACCCUAAGAUCCUCACAAAAUCAUGCCAAAAUAUUGAUUCACCAGGCCUUUUAAUUAAGUUAAAAGCUUCUGUUUUGUUAUCUUCUGCAAUGAAAGAAGCAUCGUCAAGUCUGCAACUCCACGUUGCUGCAAGUAUUGUCAGUUAUUGAACUGUGCAGUGAAGGGCAUUAUUGUACUUUCGGUAACAGAGCAAACGGCAGUCUAACACUGAUACACGGUCAGGGGUGCUAUAUGUCAAUAUAUGCAUACAUUCUCUCCAAGUGUAACAAGGGCAAACCUCAGGGGAGGUUUCCAAAAAUUACCCAAAGACUUAAUCAUGCACCCCUUUUCAUAUCACGUAUUUGGUUACUGUUGCCUUGUUGACAUAUGUGUAUAAUAAGGGUCCGCCUAAGUUACAGCUAAUGUAAGUUGAAGAAAGCACUAGUUCACGACUUUACCUUUGGAUAUAUUCUAAAGAGAUAAUUAAGUUUGAUAAAAGAUAAAGCAAAAGCUUGAAUGCAUGAUUGAGGGCGAAGACUUUUAUUAAAGCAGAUGCCGAAAGCACACGAAAAGCUUGAAUGUUGUGGCUCCUUAAGUGAGGCCCAGACAUGGUGCAAAAGACAAAAUCGACUUGUUUGACAGCUUCAACAAGGCUACGAUGAUCAGAAGAUGAGCCCUCAAUCAAGAGAGCUCCCUGCCUCUUAAAUGAUAAAUUAAAAGCAAUUGUAGCUUGUCGACAUCAGGCCAAUUUCAGGCCUUUGAAGAGCACAAAUGACAUGGCCUUGACCAAAGAUUGCCUUCUCUAUCCUCUGCCGACACAUCCACUUCUCUCCACAACCAACGCCUUGCUCUCUGUCAUUUUUCCUCUUGUUAAUUUUCUUCUACAUAUAAUUAUUACGCUGGGAAGCAUACACACACCUCUUUUCUUUUUUUUCUUUUUUUCAAACUACUAAAUAUUAUGGGAAAAUGAUCGAAACCCUUUUUUUUUUUCUUUCUAGUUAACAUUAUCAGGUGUAUUUUUGGCUUUUCACACUUGCAUAAAAAAUUGAUAAAAAUUUGAAACAUAAAAUUCACUUUAUUACCUUUUACUUUUGUAAAUAAACUAAAAGAUAUUUUAGUCUUUUCAUAUAUUUGCCAAACGUUUUUAUAAAUUAAAUGGUGAAAUUGUUUAUAUAGAUUACAAAUAAACAGUAUAAUUAAUUAUAUUUUGUAUGUAUAAAGCAUUAAAUAAUCAGAUAUUUGUGGCUUUUAAAACUCAAGAAAACUCAAGAAAAUUAAAUGACAAGAUUAAGACAAACAAGAGAUAGUUUUUGUUGGACAUUAAGAAACAACUACUAUCAAGAUCAAAGAUUAGAAAUUAUGCUAUUGAAAGAAAUUAUUAAAGUAUUUAGAACAAACGCACCUCUUCAAUUAUCUAGGAUCACAGAGUUUAUGAGCUUCACUCUUGGCCUUCGAUUUAUAAGAAAAAUUUUAAUGAGCAAAAGAUCGCUGUUAACUGCAGAAGAAUGUGAGUAAAGAGUUUAUGGGAGUAAGCAAUACAAUUGAAUUGUAAAAGAACAAGACUUAAAGCGUGCACCCCGUGUUCAUAUAAACAGAACACAUGUUCAUUUUUAACAAAGUGAUCAAUAACUCUAUUCGUUAUUUAAUUGAUAUUGUAACCAAUUCUAAGAGAAUAUAACAAUUAUCAUUCAAUCCAUAAAUUUUGAAUUAGAUUUUUUUAACUCUUUAUUUAAAUAUAAACCUUAAUGGAAAAUUAUAAAAGUUUAGAGAUAAAAUUUUUCAAUCACCAAACGAAAAAAACAGGGGAAUGAAAACAGAGGAAUCUUGUUUUAACUAAUUUUUUUUCCUCAUUUCUUGGUCUUAUAUUAAUAAUCUUGUUUUGAUGAUAGUGCUCGUGACUGCGGGAAAAUUUCUACUGGAAACAACUCAAUUUCGGAAGAAAACUUAAUUUUGCAAGUGAUGAAUUUGAACUCGUUGGAUUGGUUGAUUUAUGAUUGACUGAAUUUCACUUUUGCCCAAAAGAUCUUUAACCAAAGUUUAAUAGCUAUCAUGUACUCCUUAAAAGCAAUUUUUUUUUUAUAGAUUUGACUGAAUUUGAACUUGUUGGAUUGGUUGUUUUUAGAUUAUUAAUAUGAGAUAUUACAACGUAAAUAUUUUCAUGGGGUUGAGCCCUAUUCUAAAAUCUGUAUAGUUAGCUUUAGAAAAAGGGCUUUUCCUGCUGAUCUGUAAUCUUCAAAUAAACUUAGAUACAAAUAAUGAAAUAAAAGACAACAAACAAGCAAUACUGAUACAAAGCCAACAGAUCAGAGUUUUUGGUACAAAGCCAAUAAAAGACAAUAAACUUAGGACCUUUUUUUCUUGCUUUCUUUUGUUGAAGGAUUAGAGUUUUUGGUAUUAUCAGUAAAGAUUUCAAGGGUCUGAGUAAAAGCCUAUAAUCUUUUUCUAAACUUUUUUUUUGGGGGUGGGGGGGGAGCAUGCAAAUUAACCAAAAGAAAUAAUAAGACCACAGGCUUUAACAAUGAAUGCUAACUUAAAACUCAUGCAAAAUAAGUUACAAUAUUAAAACAAACCAGAGAAAAUUUUUUCUUGGAAAGUAGAUGGAACUUAUGAAAGAGCAGAUGUCAAGGAUUUAGAAAACGUGCACCUCUUUAAUUAUCUGGGAUUAGAGAGUUGGUGAGCUUCUCUAUUUAAGAACAAGUUGAAAGAGGAAAAAGAUCACAGGUAACUGCUGAGGAAUGUGUGAGAAAAGAGUUGAUGAGAGCAAUAACAAUGACCUGCAAAAGAAACAGAAUUAGUCAUUCACCGCUUUUCUAUAUCAUGUAUUUGGUUAUUGUUGCCCUGUUGACGCAUGUUGAAGAAGAAAGCACUAGUUCACAACUCUACGUUUUCAUAUAUUCUAAAGAAAUAAUUAAGUUUUCAUAGAAUAAAAUGGUAAGACUUUUAAUUGAACAAUUGAGUGCAAUCAGUAACAAAGGCUUUACAAAUGCAAGUAAAAUUUGUACGUUGCUUCAGAAAAAAAGGGCAUUUCUCACUCAUCUUUAAUCUGCAAGUAAAAUUAGAUACAAAGCAAAUCUAAUAAAAUGACAAACAAACAAACAAAACAAAGAAAAGACAGGAGGCAAACAACAUUGAUCUUAAGCCAACUGAUAAUUAAACAGAGAAUUCUUUUUUUUUUUUUUAACCUGUUGCUAAAGGAUUAGAGUUUUUAUAUUAACAGAAAGGUUUCAGGGGUCUGAAUAAAAGCCCACAAUUUCUCUAUUUUAUUUUUAUUUUUAUUUUUUGAAAGGAGCUUCACCAUUGGCCUUGAACAUAUAAGAAUGAGCAAAAGAUCAAUGUCAACUGCCGAGGAAUGUGAGUAAAGAUUUCAUCAGAGUAAGAAAUACAAAUGAAUUGUAAAAGAACAAGACUUAAGCGUGCACCCCGUGUUUUGUUUUAUUGUACGUAUAAACAUAACAUGUUCAUUUUUAACAAAGUGGUCAAUAACUCUUUUUUUUUCGGUACAAAGACGUGCCUAGUAUAGACUAGGGCAAAACAAAACGGGGGUGUGAAACCCCAAUACAAUCAUGACGAAUCCAAAACCCAGCCCCUAAAGGAAGAGAAUUGAAAAUGUGCAAUCCAACAGGUAGUGAAAGAGUAGAGUUUGCAAGAAAGUCAGCUGCAAAAUUUGAUUCUCUGUAAACAUGCUUGACCCGCACUUGCCAGGUUCUGUUAAGCAAUUCCUUAAUACCCCUGACAAGAGAAGCAUGUGCAUUUGGCCUAAUCUCGUCAUCCGCCACCAAACGAGUAACACAAAGGCUGUCAACCUCCACCCGAAGCUGCCGAAUUCCAUUAUCCCAAGCCAGACAUAACCCUUGAUAAAGGCCCCGUAACUCAGCACCAGUGAUGGUACCCACACCAAUAUUCAUUCCAAAACCAAUUAUCCACUCUCCAUAACAGUUUCUAAUCAAACCACCCGCACUAGACAUACCAGAACUUUUACGAGCUCCAUCUGUGUUGAGUUUAAACCAAGGCCAAGUAGGUGCCACCCAUCCAAAAUAUUUCUCAAUCUUCAUGGCAGCAGGAACCAAACAACUCUGAUUAAACUUUUGAAUUUCUUCUGUACGGAUCUUAAUAUCCAUUACAACAGUACUCUUGCUGGUAAAAACACCAUUAUGUAGAUUUUGGUUACGCCAAAACCAAAGCCUCCAAACUGUGACCCCAAAAAGACAUGGCCAGUCAAACAUACCAUCAUACUUCCACAAGUUCCUCAAAUUAUAUAACAUCCAAUCUCGGAGAUUCAAACUAAAAAAUUGAUGACUAAUCCCAUGGGGUAUCAAUGACGACCAGAUUGCUUAGCACUGGGGCAAUCCCGCAGCACAUGAAGAGUAUUUUCAACAACACAGCCACACCUUGCACAGCUCAUAUCAUCAAAAAUAUGUCUCCAGAAAAGUUCUGCUUUAGUUUUAAGUCUAUUUUGACCCACCACCCACAGAAAGGUUUUGAUACGUUGGGGACCUCUCCACUGCCAAAGAAUGCGCCAAAAGGAUUCUUCAUUGUGAACCUCCAUUUUUGACAAAGCCCUAUAUGCUGAAUUAGUAGUGAAAUCUCCUGACUUAGAAUAUGCCCAGUACAUGUAAUCAUCCUCAUCAUUUACACUGGGAGGCUUGGUGGCUGCAAUUUUGAGAAGUAAAUGAUGGGGCAAUAAAUUCUCAAAAAGCCGCCAAUUCCAAGUACCCUCAACAGUGAUAAACCUCGCCACACACUCCUCAAGCUGCUCUAAAGGUAUCGGCUGCAAAGCGAAAGUAUACAAAGGGUAUUCCUCUAUUACCCAAUUAUCCCACCAAAAUCUAACUCGGUUGUCAUUUCCAAUGUCCCAUUUGAUCCCUUUUAAAACCUCAUGCCAAAUGCCUCCCACAGCCUUCCACAUGUAAGAGCCAUAUUUCGUAGGUAAUGUGCUGGGGAGAGCAUUAGGAGCCAGCCCAUACUUAGACAAGAGAACCUUCACCCAUAAACUAUUUGGAGAAGCAAUUAAACCCCACCCAAUCUUCAUGAGCAGAGAGCAUCAUUCAUUAAAUUAAGCUGCUUAAGACCAAGGCCUCCGCUAGGUUUCGGUUGACAUAUUGUAUCCCAUUUCACCAAACUGAUUUUCUUCUUGUCUGCUGCCCCGCUCCAAAUAAACCUCCUACAAGCCUGAUUAAUUUUCUCCCGAAUACCAAACGGAAUCCUCGUGGUCUGCAUUGCAUAAAUAGGAAUCGCCUGGAUUACCGAUUGAGUGAGAGUGAUCCUAUCCACCAAGGACAAAUGUAUCGCAUUCCACCCCGACAAACGUUGGUUCACUUUGUCCAAAAUUCCCUGAUAAGUCAGCUUAUUAACCCGUGAAUGAAUAAUUGGCACUCCUAAAUAUUUCCCUAGGUUUUUUGUGACAGAAAAACCCAAGGAAUCACCAAUUUCCUUAGCCUCAGCAGACUUUACGUUGUGGGAGAAAAAAACUUGUGUCUUUGUUUUACUAACUUUCUCUCUAGAGGUCAUAGAAAAAACAUUCAACACUUCAUUUAUAACCAUUGCUUGCCUACAGGAAGCCUCUGCAAGCAAGAUAAGAUCGUUAGCAAAAAAUUAGUGAGAUAAAGAGGUACCUCCACGAGAUAGUUUAAUAGGUUUCCAGUGCCCUCUCUUCACAGUGUCAUUUAUUCCAUGGCUUAACCUUUCUAUACAUAACACAAAGAUAUAUGGGGAAAUGGGGUCUCCCUGUCCAAUACCCCUAGAAGGGGUAAAACUCUCCGUAAUUUCUCCAUUCCAUAGAAGUUGCAUAGUCGCCGUUGGAAUACAUUCCAUAAUAAGCCGAACCAAAACAGUAGGCAAUCCAAACUCCCUCAAGGUUUCAUAAAUAAAAUCCCAGCUUAAACGAUCAUACGCCUUUUCCAAAUCCACCUUAAUGGCCAUCUGCCCAAUCCUCCCUUUCUUACGUCUCAUCGAAUGAAAAACUUCCUGAGCAACCACUAUGUUUUCCGUUAUGUGUCUCCCCGGGAUAAAACUAGUCUGGGUAGGUCCAAUGAGGUCAGGCAAGAUAGAUUUCAGCCGGUUAGCUAAUAACUUAGUGAUAGUUUUAUAGAUAACCGGGCAAAGACUAAUCGGACGAAAAAGCUUAAGGCUAAUAGGAUUAUCCGACUUAAGAACCAACACAAUCAGAGUUUUGUUCAGCUCCUUAGGGAUCUCGUUGCCAUUAAAAAUACCUUUUAUAAGACUACAGACAGAUUUUCCCACUACAUGCCAUUGGGUCUGGUAAAAGAGAGCAUGCAACCCGUCUAUUCCAAGGGCUUUCAAAGCCUUCAUGCUGAAGAUCACAUUCUUAAUUUCCUCAUCAUCCUCCACUGCUUGUCCCAAAGCUUGCAUUCGACUUUCCUCAAGGAUUGGGAAGGCGUUAACAACAUGGUAUGGAUGAUAGAUUGCAUCCUCUUUGGAAUAGAGCUUUGAAAAGAAGGACACAGCAUAAUCUCUAAUCUCAUCAUUAUUCAACAUUCAAUAACUCUAUUCGUUAUGAAAUUGAUAUUGUACCCAAUUUUAAGAGAGCAUAAUAAUAACCAUUCAAUGCAUAAAUUUAGAAUUAGGUUUUUUUGUAAUUCUUUAUUUAAAUAUAAACUUCAAUGGAAAAUUAUAAAAAUUUAGAUAUAAAAUUUUAAAUCACCAGACCAAAAAAAAAAUAGGGGAACGGAAAUAGAGGAAUCUUGCUUUACCUUUUUUUCCUUUAACUCUUGUUCUUAUAUAAAUAAUCUUGUUUUGAUGAUUGUAACUCGUGACUGCGGGAAAAUUUCUAAUGGAAACAACUCAAUUUCGGAAGAUAAGCUUAAUUCUGCAAGUGAUGAAUUUGUUCAAUUGACUCUGUACUUGAACUAGUUGGAUUGGUUGAUUGAUGAUUGACUAAAUUUGAAUUAAGUUUAAUAGCUUAGCUAUCAUGUACUCCUUAAAAGCAAACGUAAAUCUUUUUUAGAUUUGACUGAAUUUGGGAACCUGUUGGAUUGAUUAUUUUUAGAUCAUUAAUAUCAGAUACUACAACGUAAAUAUUUUCUUGUGGUUGAGUCCUAUUCUCAAAUCAGUAGGUUGCCAUAGAAAAAGGGCUUUUCUCACUGAUCUUUUUUUUUUUCUUUAAUUCACACGCACUUGAUUAUUGACUUCUUUCAUGAAGAAAUAAACUUGUAAUGACUUAAAGAUUUAAUUUCAAGUUAGAAUCAAUACCAAAAGACGGAGGUUUAACCAAGCAUGCAGUGUGAUAAAAGUACUUUAAAAAAUGUUGUUCGACCCAAUUAAGUUGAAGAAAUAACAAAGUUUUCAUGGAAUAAAUACCGGUUGUGCUUUAAUGAUUUUGGCAUAGACAUUGCUUGUGUACUGUGAAAUUGAAAUGAAUAUUAAGUGACAGCGCGAUGUAUAUGCCUAAUAAAAGAUCAGCAAAAGCUUGGAUGAAUGAUUGAAGACCAAAACUUUUAUAAAAGCAUUUUUGAGAGAAACUAAACACCAAAUUAUCAAAGUAAGAUCAACAGUAUAUGAUUUGAUUUAUACAUAUUCAAAAACAAAAUAAUGAUUAAUAAUAAAGUUUGAUUUUGUAUUGCCAACGAUGCUUUUUUGUUGUUUCAUUUGUUCGACGUGGCCUUAUUUACAAAUUGGUUGAUGUUAACAGAAACAUGAAAUUCACAUCACACAAAAUUGCACGAACAAAUAUUAAGAGAACGUAAUAAUAAUCAGUCAAUGCGUAAGGGUAAAUUUAGAAUUACAUAUUCUUUUUUAUUUAAUAAAAUCCCAACGGGAAGUCAUAAAAAUUUAGAUAUAAAAUUUUCAAUCACCAAACAAAAAAACAGGGGGAAUGAAAACACAGAAAACUUGUUUUACCUUUUUUUUUUCAUCUAAUUCCUGUUCUUAUAUAAUAUUUUCCCUAGUAUUUCAGGCAAGAAAAAAAAAUUCAAUAAAGAGCAAGAAAACUUCACAAGCUCAGAUUGAUUUAUCUUGUUUUUCAGGUUAGCUUGUGAAAUGAUGAUAAUGCUCAUGAAUGCUAGAAAACUUCUAAUAUAAACAACUCUAUUUGGGAUGAUAAGCCUAAUUUUAUAAGCGAUAAAUAUAAAUAACUUUUUGUGGUUAAUUGAAUUUGUAAUUACUCUUAGCCCUAUUCUAAAAUUUGUAGGCUGCUUCAGAAAAAAAGAAUAUUUCUCACUCAUCUUUAAUCUUCAAGUAGAAAGCAAAUCUAAUAAAAUGACGAACAAACAAACAAAUAAAAGACAGCAAACAAAGAGAAGGGUUUCUUUCUUCUUUUCUUCCUCUCCCACACCCCCCCCCCCAACCCCCGCCUCAUGGAUCAGAGUUUUUGCUAUUAACAGAAAGGUUUCAAGGGUCUGAAUAAAAUCGCAGACUUUUUUUAAAAAUUUUUUUUUUUGGGAAAAUGGAUUCAAAAUAACCAAAGCCAAUAAUAAGAUCACCGACUUUGACAAUGAACAAUAACUUUUUCUCGGAAAGUAGAUGGAAACUAAGUAAGAACUGCUAUUAGAGGAUAUUAUUAAAGGAUUUAGAACAUGUAUAACUCUGUAAUUAUAUGGGAUCAGAGAGUCGAUGACCCCCUCUAUUCGCUUCGGAUAUUAAGUAAGAACUGCAAUUAAAAGAAUGAAUUGAUGAGAGUAAUAACAAUGAAUUGCAAAAGAGGAAGACUUAAUCACGCACCCCUUUUAUACCCGAUUUUGAAGAUUUAAUUUCGAAGUUCACCAAUCAAGAACAAAGAAAAAACCUUAAUAAAGUAUGCAGUGAGAAUAAUUAAGUUAGAGAAAGUACUAGGUUAUGGCUCUGCGUUUCAGAUGCUGUAAUGAAAUAAUUAAGUUGAAGUUUUUAACGAUUAAAUACCUGUUGUGAUAGAAUGAUUUUAGAAGAAUAUUGGCUUAUAGAGCAUAUUAGUAGGGAUAAGAUUUGUAAGAUGCCAGAUAAAAGAUAAAGCGAAAGCUUGAAUGAAGAAUGGCGUUUAAUAAUUAUAGAAGAAUAUUGGCUUAUAGAGCAUUUUAGUAGGGAUAAGAUUUGUGGACAGAAUAAAUGAAAUAAUAAAAGGCAUAACUGAUCAAGUCAUUAUUGAUCUUACUUUGAUUAUUACAUUGCACAUUAGUUUCUUUCUAAAAAUGCCAUUCUUCAUUCAAGCCUUCGCUUUAUCUUUUAUCACGCAUCCUACAAAUCUUAUAUACAAACCUCCGCAUCUUUCAACGAUCUCAUCUGCUGAUUUUUUGUAUUCCUGUUCUUUCACUUCAAUAAUUUUUUGUAUUAUUCCAUAUCUUUCACUUUAAUAACCCAAAAGCUUUCCUCUGUUUCAACUAAGCGAAAAUUUACAUAUUAAAGCCUGGCUCAAAUUCCUUUUUUCAAUCGAAAUAAAACGUAGCCACAAAACCCUAAUUCACCACACCAAUUUAUCUCUGCCCGGUAUUCAUUUAAACCCUACCUCGCGGUUCAAUGUCAUUCUAUACGAUUGCAGAUGCCGUUUCAACUUGUCAUUUAGUUAGCGCCAUCCAGUUCUCUAUGGUAAGCCUUAACCCUAACAACUAAUCGACUGUGGUAGCACGUUGCUUGUUAGGAGUGGGGAUACAUUAUUUGAAUAUACGAAUUGGGUGAUGUUAGUGAUUCAUUCCCCUAUUUGUCGUGAAUUGAGAUUUGUGUAUAAUGCUCGUAAGAUUGCUAAAAAUUUCAUAUUUUGUAUUGUUCCAGUUGAAUUUCUUGCUUGUGGAAGAUAGAACAAAAGUUCAAUUUCAUGUUGAUUUAAUUCUUCUUUUUCAUCUUUUUUUUUUCUUCUUUAUAGUCACGCUCUGGCUGGUGCUAUGCUUAGUGCAGUCUAUGGUUUCAAGAUUAAGUCACGUUUAUUUGAUGGCGUCGACUCCAUCAUUAAGAAGCUCUUCUUAUUUUAUCUCAGUUUCAAUUUUCUUUUAUUAUCUGCCUCUACCUGAAAAUGGACGUGUUUUACUAGUAAGCAGACUUUUUUUAUUUAAUUGAUAUUUUAAUUUUAUGUAUAAGAAUGGAGGUUUAUUUUAAAAAAAAAAGAAAUAAAAAAAUAGACUCUGUUGAAGCUAAUUAGUACUGUUUUUUUUUGGUGGUGCGACCAGAGGUGGAAACCGGGUAUGACAAUGUGUUACUGGUGAGGUUGCUGCUUAAGAUGAGAAUGCAUUCUUUUCAAAAAUCCUUUGUAGGUGUUAUCUAAUUAUCUUUGAUGGAAUAUUAAAUGGCCAAAAAUCUGUCAUACGUUCAAACUUUGUUUGUGUUUAGAAGAAUGGUGUUGAUUGUAUAUUCAUUUGCUUAGCCUUUUGACAGAUGGAUUUGGAACUGACGAUAAAUGUGAUUCAAUUCACAAGGUUUUCAAGGGGCUCACCGUGGAAGGGAUAUUGAAGAGCUGGUCUAGGAUAAAGCCUAUGAUUGUGAAAGAUUGGAGUGAGAAUAUAGAUGCUCGUUUUCAUCUUUUUGGCAAGGUCAGAGAUGAAUGGAUAGAUAAGGAUUUAUUUGACUACCUGGAUUGGUGCUAAUAGGUAUUUUAAGCAAGCUUUUUGAGAUAACACUGAGCAAGUUGUACUACUAUUUUGCACAUGAUGAUCAAAACUCUCGAAAAGUAAAAUAAAAUAAAGUAUUAACUUUUACUUUCAUCUUUUGCAUAGCAAUCAAUGUGGUGCUUGUUCUGUAACAACUUUGAUAAUCUACUUUAUUGGUUAGCGUUUGGACCAAAAAGGUUCUUAUGAUUUACAUGUUUUGUAGAAAUGCAUGAACCUUAAAUGUGCUGAUCAGGGAGUUUAAUUAUUGCACCUUGAAAUUCAUUUAUUGUUAACUAAUUGGCUUUCCUUUGCAUAAAGCCGCUUAUAAGGCUUGAGUGGACGUCUUUAUGGGCAUAUUAUUCGUAUUUCUUUAUGCAUGCCUUUAUCAUUUAAUGUGCUGCUUGUAUUUCUUUAUGCAUGCCUUUAUCAUUUAAUGGCCAGCUCCCUUUCCUCAUUUGUAAUUUGAAUAGUAGUAUGGGCCUCCAUUUUACAAAUCUUUAACAUUUUUUGCUGUAAAUUAAUUUUUCUUUCAAAUAUUUUGGAGGUCAUUGGAAUUCCUGUAGGUCUAUUUACCAGAUUUUAGUAUGUUUAAGGUUUUAAUUUUUCUUAGACUUUAAUUUUUCUGAAAGAUUGUAGUAUUGAUCCUUAAAGUAAGAUCAUGCUACUUCAAAUUAUUUUGAAGCGUUGCUAGUUAUAGCCUUACAUAUCAAAUUCCAUUUGUCUGGAAAUUUAUUGAUAGCUGUUACAGCAGCAUAUUUUAUGACUCUACUUCUUAGUUAUGUAAGUUCAUUAUGUUUAGGUCAGAGGCAGUCAGCUAUGGGGAAUCGAUAUAUGCACAGAUGACUCUGAUCUUGUUGCUGGUAUGUGGUUCUAUGAAUAAUUGUUCACAAUAAUUGUGUUUGCCUCACUGUUUUUGUUUUAUGAGAUCUAUAAUUGAUCUUGGGAUAUUGCUUUCUAGUUCUCAUGCAAGCAAGUUACUACCUUCCCACUGCAUCUCCUCCUUUAUCUGCUAUUCAAGAGUUGCGUGCCAUAAUCUGGUAUUACCUCUGCAAGAUUGUGAAUCAAUAUAUUGCGUCUAAAUUUAUUUUAUACAUAAUGCUAAUGCUGAAUAAUAUAUUGUAGCUCCUGUCAUAUUCUACUUUGACUUUUUAUAUUCUGUUUCAUAUAAAAAUCUUAUUCAACUUUAGUUGUUCAUGAGCAAAUGUCACAUGUAUAAGCCCAAAUGAUGUUUAAAGGUAGCCCGGCUACCUUCAGUUUGAGCUUACAAUGGGUGAAAAAGAAUUUGAGACUGAUAUUUUGCUGUUUUUGUGAUUUUUCAAAGUAUUUUAGAUCUUGACUUUUGUUUGGACUUGAUGGUUAUAGAUUGUGUCUAGAUUUGUUAAGUUGUUUCCAACACCUCGUGCCAAAUCAAAGCACAAUCUUUCUGAUUCAGAUGUCUGGUUAAUUAUGCUUCAUUUUUUCGUUAAAGAUUGGAUGGUUGCAUGGAUUGAUGGAGUUGGAGUUCAACCAGUAAUUCUAAUUUUUUGGACUUAAAAUGCUCUGUAUAAAAACUUUAGUAAGUGUUAUUGAGUUGACAGAAGUUGAAUACUUACAGGUUGUUUCACACUUUCUAAAAGUUUUACAUAAAUGAAUUUCUGUUUUUUGAAUUGCAGAAAGGAGGUGGAACUAUUGAUUUGGAGCCUUAUCUUACUCACUCAUCGACAACGGAGCCUACCCUCGCUCCCAUGGCAGUGGAACGGACAAUGACUACUAGGGCUGCAGCAUCGGUUGGUUUGGGUCUGUUUUGAGUUUUAUUGUCAUUUAUUUGGCUAUGUUUUGAUAGCGAAUUUUGAUAUGUCAAUAUAAUGUGUAAUUGUUUUGGGUUGAGCUGGUAAUUAUGCUGGAUUAGAUUGGUUUGUUUUGGUGGUUCUCUGAUGGAACACUGCUUUCUUUUAGAAAUUUUGAAUAUAAUAUGAGACUACAUAUAGUUUAAUUGAACACUGCAUCUAGUCUAAUUACUAGAAGUGUGGCAUUUGGUUUGGUUUAUCCGAUAUUCUCUAGAAUUUCACUUGCAUCUGGUUUUGUUGCAUAUGUUUGCUUGCAUUUGAUGGUAGUAGCAGACUGUUUGGUUUUGUGGCAUUUGAUGGCAGUUUGAUCUGUUCUUGGUGCUGAUUUAAGAUUGUUCCUGUUGUGCUGAUGUUAAUUGCAGGUGCUUGAAUCAGCUAGGGUUGCUGGUUUAUUCAGACGACUGACUCAGGCGUUGUUAUUGGUUGAUUCAGGUGGUUCAUUUAAUGUUAGGAAGCAAAUUAAGAAAUAAUGAAGUAUUCAUUUAACUAUAAUUAUUGUAGUUAUUUUAUUUCAUAACUGAAUUAUAAUCUAUGAUACUUGUGAACAAAUUAGAGAAUUUUUAUAUAUGAAUUAUAUAUAUGUGUGUAUGUACAUUUUGCUAUUUAUAUAAUAAUUUAAAGAAUAUAUUUCAAUUCCCACAAAAAAUGGCUCCAAUUCCAAUAAUUCCUGCCAAAUAAUUAAAUUUUUUAAAUUUACCACCAAAAUAUAUCUUAAAGAAAUGUUAGUUAUUCUUGCUAGAUUUAACAAAAAUAAUUUGUAGGAUUAAUAUUUAAUUAAAAUGAUUAAAUAAUUUUAUUAUUCCAAUUAAAUAUGUCAUGUUUAUAUGACAGGCAAUAGUCAUGAAUGGGAAGUAUUAGUUACAUAUUUUUCCUUGGGAUUUCAGGCAAAUGAAAAAAAGAUUGAGAAUGAUUUCAAGAGGACAGGUGGAUGAUAAGUAUUCAUUUUUGCAUAUUUGGCUAAUGUCCUCAGCAGUGGAUUUUUAUGGUAUUGAUUUUAUAAUUUUCAAUUAGUUGCAGCCCUAGAGGAAGAGUAGGCUGAUCAAAUUGAUUUGUCUUGUUUUUGGGGCAAUUUGCGACACGAUGACCGUGAUAAUGCUCGUGACUGCUGGAAACUUUCUGAUGGAAAUAACUUUAGAGUUCGUAGCAAGCAUUUCUGUUAUGACAAAACAAAGGUUCCCCCAUAUUUUGGUUGUUUGUUAUGGUAUUUAUAUAUCCUGCAUAUGCUAGGUCGACAGGUUAUGAUGUAGUUUGGUUGGCUCUUCUUGUGCUUUGUGCAAUUUGUAACUGCAGAUACCUGCGAGAAAACAUUUAAUGGAUCUUGUUGCUGUUGAUUGGUUCAAAGACACAGAGAAUGGACCAUGUAGCUAGGCGUCAAGGCUGUGCUGCACAAGUAACUAUUCUUUUCUUUUUAUUUUUCCUUUUCCAUUGAUGCGUUAGGAGAAAAUACUGCCUGUGAGAUACUACAAUGUAAAUAACUUCUUAUGGUUCAUUGAAUCUAUAACACACUGAGCCCUAUUCUAAAAUAUGUAGGUUGCUUCUGAAAAAGGACUUUUCUCACUGAUCUUUAAUCGUCAAGUAAGUUUGUUUCAUUUCAGAAGGUAUAAGUUUCAAACUUAUUGUAUUGGGAGGUUGUAUAGUUGUAACCUAAGCAUCUGCAGCUUCCUGGUUCAACACAUUAUAGUAUGGUAUUUUAUUUUGUCACAAGGUAAUUGGUUACGGGAUCACUUUUGCGACGGUUUGUUGAUGGCGAUGAUGAAUUUCGCAAUAGUAGGUUGAAACUUAUUCCAUCUGUUCCUAAGGUAUCCAUCUUGGCCUUCAUGUAUUAGGACUAUAUUAAUGUAUACUUACCCUUUACUACACGGUACACUUCAAUUUGUACAAAGAAGGCAUGCAUUUAGGUGUAAAUGUACUGAUGGGUUGUAUCUUCAAUCUUCAUGUCCUUUUUACCCUCUUGAAUUUGUUUUGCACUUGUUCUUGAUUUGAAGCACUGAAUCAUGCAGGGGUCAUGGAUCGUGCGCCAUAGUGUUGGAAGCACCACUUGUUUAUUAGGGAAAGCGGUUGAUUGUAACUAUCUUCAUGGUCCCAAGUACUUAGAAGUAAAUGCUCUUGGAAUUUCUUUAGUACACGAGAUGUUCCCCUUUCAAAUAGUGUCCGAUAUCAUUAACAUGGUUUAACAUUGUUCAUCUUUCUGUAGAUUGAUGUUGACAUCGGUUCUUCUACUGUUGCUAAUGGAGUUUUGGGCCUUGUAAAUGGUGUAAUUACGACAUUGGUGGUUGACAUGGCUUUCCUUGUACAGGUAUGUAUGAUUGUUAUUUUAUUUUAUUUUAUUUUUUUACCCCCACUUCUAAAUGGACACAAGGGAAAAGACAUGAUUUUGAGAUAUUGCCCUACAAUUUGCAUUUUUGCAUACUUGAAUGUUCUCAGAAUGGUAUAAAUAAUGCUUCGAGUGUCUCUUCUUUAUCUUGCUUUUUUGUAUGCAGGCAAACACUACAGAUGAAUUACCAGAGCGACUGAUUGGAGUUGUACGUGUUUCUAGUCUGCUAUUGUCCCAAAGUUGGAACCAGAGACAUCAUCAUGACUGUGGUUUCAUUUCACCUCAACUGUUUUUUUUUUUAAUUGAAAAAAAAAAUCAUUUGUUUUAGGUAUACGUACAUGUAUUUUGAUCCCGUUUUCAUUGUAAUUUCUCAUUUACUUUGAAAGAAAGUCAUUGGUGUUUUCGAAUGGGAAUUUUGCAUUAAAAAAUGAAGAAUACUUAAUAGGAAAUUUCAUGAUUCUUUAGUUACUAUUUUUGGAAUGAGUGUAAUAGUAUUAAAGUUGGUUUCUACUCGCAAACAAGUGAACUACUCGAUCCCAACUGCGACCACGCUAAUUGUCAUUGUUUAAUAGCUACUACUUUUAAAACUCAACAACUAACAAAAAUACUAAAAAAAAAAUGAUUUUCUUAUGAUGCUGUGAAAACAUUUAUGGGUUCACUUAUUUCCACAAGAUCUAUAACAUGGUCUUGACUUCACGAAAUUCUUUUAAUUUAAAGGGUGCUGGUCUGAGAAAGUCAGUUUGACGGAUUAAUUCUUUUUAAUAAUGGUCGAGUUAAUUUUACUAGACUCAUAAAAUUAUUCUUAUUCUGAUAAUGCCACAAAUGUUAUGUUGUUUUCUUCAGCUAAUGAUCUUCUAUCAGGACUAGUUGGAAAUCAAAUGCUUAAAACACCAAUUGAAUGAAUAAUGCAGAAGUUUAAACAGUAUCUAAUUGAAAAUUGCAUGAAACUUGAAACAUCAAUUCAAGUCCUUCCUUAAACAGAGAAUGCAUCAAACAAAUCCAAAGUGUCUUUCAAGUCUGUAGCAUGACUAAAAAAUUGUAAAUGCCUUCAGAACCAAAUUAUUCAAGUACAGGAGAACGAGCAAGUUGAAUCAUGUACAAGAGGUUGGCUUGGUUCCAGAUAGCUUCUUCACUGUACCUGAAGGGUUGGCUCAAUCUUUUCUUUAGAAUUCUGCACAUUUUGUAAUUACUCAUGUAAGCAAGCAUACAUUACAACCAUAAUAAUAAUAAAGCAAGAGUAAUGAUACGACCACAACCUCUUGUGCACAAAUAAUAUUGUACAAACUAAUAUGACAUAAUAUGAUUGAGUAAUGAUACGACCACAAUCUUUUGUGCACAAAUAAUAUUGUACAAACUAAUAUGACGUAAUAUGAUUGAUUAAACAAAAACAUAACAUAACCCUCAUAAUUUAUUUAUUAUUAUUUUAUAUUUUCAAUCAAGCAAUCAUAUUAUGCCACGUUAAUAGCUAUAGAAAUAAUUUGCUAGAUAGUGCAACACUUCAUUGAUACUCACCAUUUCAUUGAACAAUUUUUUUAUGGUGUCAUUGAGGUUUCCUUCCCAACAUCCUUCGUCAUCACCAUCUUCUUCUUCGGUGGGUUUCACUUUGUUUAGCUUCGGUGCGUCUACGACUCCUUGAGAGAAAAUCUUCAUUGUUGGGCACUGUCUCACAACUACGUGUUCCAAGGACGGGAACUCAAGAGCGUAAUUACCCAAACAAAAGCUUGUUAGGCUUGGCAAACAAUCAAGUCCCAAGUACUCCAAUUUCCUGAAAACAAUGCAAUCUUCCGCUUCUUCUCCAACCUGCGAUUGUAUGAUUUCUUCUAUCAUUUUGCAAUCAGCUAUCUUCAUUCUUUCGAGAUUCACUAGAGUUUUAGAUGUUGAGAGCGUCAACACAUUUAUCAACCCGUGACACUUCGAUACUUCUAGUUCCCACAGAUUUUCCAAAUGCCACGAAGGUGGUACUAAUUUUUGCAACUUACUACAUUCCGAUAUUUCUAGACUUCCCAAGUUUGCAAACGCUUUGCUGGAUUCGUCAUUUUCCUUCCAGAGAUGCUGCACUUUGUGUAAUCCAGAUACUUUAACUCUAUCAAUUGAGGGAAUGCAACCUAAAAAUCAACAAAAUUAAGUUGUAAAUGAAAAUAUGUAUCCAAUCUCUGCAGUCUUCCCCUGCAUAUUUUAUGGACAAGAUUAAUCACAGCAUUUUAUAUUUUUUUUUCCAAAUUAGUAUGCUUUGCAGUAGGAUCCCAAAUAUAAGUAUCAAAUCGAUUACCCUUUGAAACACAUAAAUGAAAUCUGAUGCUAAAUCUAAUAUGAAUUAGCUAGGAAAACAGAGAUGUUACACACAUAAUUAAUAUAGUUCAUCACCUCGUGUUACCAGGCAUCCAAUUAAUUUCAGACACUUUUAUAAUUCAUACUAUAAAGUUAGUUAAUAAUUGCGGUUAUAUUGUUAAAUCAGAUAUAAAUUAAGACGACAUGUAAAAAGAUGAGUCAUUAAAUUUGAUUUGAUUCUAAUGAAAUUACAACUGUGCGAAAGAAAGUGAAGGGAAAAAUAAUAAUAAUGAUUACCUUUUCAUUGAAGAGAUGUUGUAUUUGAUCAGCUACCAAGAGGUUCUUUUCUGAUUUUAAUUUUUGAGCUUCCUUAUUAUCUGCUGUCAUGUGCAGUACAGAUGUAGAAUUGGAUAUGAAUGUUUCCAUAUCAGGGCAAUUCUCAAUAGUUAGAUAUCUCAACUUAGGCAGUUCAAUUAUAUUCCUAGUGAAGUUGAAAAAUCUUUUGAGUUUUGGAAGGUCAGUGAGCCCUAGCUUGAAAAGCUUAGGAAACAGGGGGCCUAUAUGUUCUUUGUCAGCAUUAAUUAGCUCUUCCAAAUGAAGCACCUCUUCAAGUGAAUCACAAUUCCUCACUUCCAGGUAUACCAAAUUGUUCAAGCACCGUAGCAGAUUAGCAGGAAUAGCACUCGACAUAUUCGUGCAGUCAUCCACCACCAGGUCGAAUAAAUUGUUGAAGAAGCUGACAGGCAGUGCUUGGCCAUGCCAUAUUUCUUUCAAACGUGGAAAAUGCGAGAGUUGCAAAUGUAUUAUGUCACGAAAUCCAAUCUGCACAAACCAAAACAAUUGCACUGGAUAUAUACAAUUUUUUCUUUUUGAAAGGCAUAGAUAUAUAUAUACAUUAAACUUAUAUGUUCAAAUGUGCAAGUGCAAGGGAGAUGCAUAAGUAAUUUCGACGAAUCGAUUUAACACAUACCAUUUCUUCGUAACACUUUUGUAUAGUGGAAUUAAGGUUGCCUUCCCAACGGCGCAAUUCACCCUCUUCCUGUUAAGAAUAGAAUUAGUUAGUUAAUGAGUAUGCUGACAUGGCAGCUGAGUCAGCUAAAGGUUGUUAUAGAGGUUGUUAGUAGUAACCUGUGCGUGUGUGCAAUGUGUGUAGAAUCUUCUAUGCACAUAUAAAAAGGCUUGUAAUUUCCAGAUUCAUUAGAUCAAUAAUAACAGAAUUCUCAGCUUACAGAAGUUUUCUUUCUUCCUAUUUUCUUAGUAACCUAACAACAUCACAGUUUCAUAUAAAACUUAAUACUUCCUUUUACUCACUUGCACUUUGCAUAGCUUUGGUGUGGAUAAGAUUCCCUGAGAAAAAGUCUUCAUGUUCAGACAAUGUGUCAUAGAAACUUGUUCCAAUGAUGGGAAUUCAAGAGUGUAAUUCUCCGAACAAAAGCUGGUAAGCCUUGGUAAAUAAUCAAGUUCCAAAAGUUUUAAUUCGCUGAAAGCAAUACGAUUCUCCUUCGCUUCUUCUCCAACAUGUCCUAUGAUUUCUUCUAUUUUUUCACAGAGUGAUACAUUAAGAUUCACUAGACUAUUGGGAAUUCCAACCUGAAAAUAAAGAGUAGCAUUCAACUAGAUUCAAAGUAUGUCAAAAUCAUACAAUUGUUUUAUGAAAAAUAACAAACCAUGAAUGUCUACUAGAUAUUUUUUGUUAAAGAAAAAAAGGAAAAAAUUAAAACAAAAAUAAAUAAAUAGAAGUCCAGAAAAACAAAGAUAAUGAAAAUGCAUUUACACUAUUUAGUAUUAGGAACGGAGAAAGAAUUUCAGCUAAUUUUUAAAUAUUAUAAAUUCAUUUUUCAUCUUGAUGCUAGUUUUUAAAAAAUUUUAAUUUUCAAACAUGCCUAUUUUUAAAAUAACUAAACUAAAACGCUGUAUUUCCCAUUUUUUUUUCCCGAUAUUCAUGCUUUUAAAAAUGGAAAACAUUUCUGGAAAACACUUCCCAACGCCAUCAACAUGGGACUGUUAUAGAGUGAAUAUUUGAGGAAUUUUUUUAAUCAACGGUCGAUUCAAAAUGACCAUCAUGAAUUUGUGCUUAAUCAAUGGCGUAAUCAAUUCAUAACUAAACUAGAGAUAUUAACUACAUUUGAACACUUUUUUUUUUUAAAUAGAAAUCUAAAGACCCAAGGAAAAGAGAAAUAUAUAUGAAUUUGUGAACUUAAAAGCUGAGUAAUUAAGUAUCUUUUAAUUUCUGAAAAUCUUAUUUAUUAGGAUUUAAGAAAAAAAAACAAUUAAAUUGAAUUAUAUUAUGCUGUUAAAUCGUGUUUAAAACAAUUAUAUUGUUGACUUUAAUGCAGGUGAACCUAUAAAUUAGAUUGAAAAUGCAGAGUUCAGAAUGGUGAUUUGAAGUUCAAUACUUUUGUUCCCUCCAGAAGUUUGAAGUACAAUACUUGCAAUAAAUAAUUUGUGAAUGAAAAUUAUUUGUAAACACAAAAAUGAUUAAAAUAAUUGUUGAAUGUUAUUUGAAAUAAAAAUUCAAAAUGAAUAUAGCAAUCUUACCAAUGGAGGAAAAAUAUUCAGUAGAUUAUCACACUCAGAUAUCUCCAAUUUUUUCAAUUUGCUAAAAGACUUCGAAGCAAGCUGGUGGUGCCAUAUUUUUCUCAACUUAUCCGCCUCACUAAUAUGUAAUACCUCCAGACUUGGGAGUCGUACCUGAAGUUAAAAAUUCAAUGCAAUUAGAGAUGUAUAUUAAUUAAAUUUGAAGACUCAACGAAAAGAGAAAUUAACUAUUGAGAAUAAAAUUAAUUUAAAAAAAAAAAACCUUUUCAUCAAAGAGGGGUUGAGGUUGCAUUUCAGUGUGAAUGACGUCUUCUGGUGAGGCAAAGCUACAUAGUUUUGGAAGACCAUCGAGCCGCAGGUAGUGUAGUUUGGGAAAAACCUUUAAUUCAUCUCUUCCUCCUAACCCCCCCGUGGUGUCGACUACCCCUUCCAUUGACUCACAAUCCCAUAUCUCAAGAUGUUGGAGUUGCCCAAGACUAUUAACCAUAGAACAUGAAAACAGAUACUUCACACAAUGACACCUUUCCACAGUCACUUUUGUUAAAUUUUGACAACAAUACAUUCCCUGAAAUUGAUCGAGCCAUAAUUUUUCGAUGUUUCGUAAAUCGAAAAGUUUCAGUUUCUCCAAACGUGGAAAAGAAACCUGCAAAGCAAAACCGUACAUUUUUGUUCCUUCAACUACAACUUCUAAUAUAAUAUUCUUUCGAUGAUUGAAGAUCAAUCGUAAUAAUAUAUUAAUUAAUUAAUUAUUAAACAGAAAAUUAUUACCUGUUGAACAGGAUCAUCCUCUGCAUUGAUUUCUGUGAAUCCCUGAGUAGUUGUUGGUUUCUCCAUGUCGGGCCCUAUAAAUGAACAAAAACAAUAUGUAAUAAACAUCCGUGUUUUUUUUCACCAAAAAAAGAAAAAGAAAAAGAAAAAAAGAAUGAGUCAAUGUCAAUAAUCCUACCAAUAAUUAAUUUCAAUACUUACCAAUAAUCAUUUUCAAAUCAUCGCAGUUUUCCACUUCUACUUUUUGAAGCCGCAAUAGGUUUUUGGCCAUAGAGAAUGAGAAGAGAUACUUCAAUUUUGGACAGCAAUCUACGUUUAUAAUCCUUAAGUUGCUGAAAGAUUGAUCUUCUCUGAGUUGGCUGUAGCAUAUCGUCUCCAAAUUAGUUAAAAACAUAAGAGACAAUGACUCCAGCAAGGGAAAGACUUUGCAACGAACCCGUCUAACUGAACCGACAAUAUGUAAAAUCUCAGAACAACUUUUUACAUGAAGAUGCUUCAAUCGUGGAAAACCUUCCCCAUCGUCUAAUUCAUGAACAACACUUUGAACACCCUCCAAUGUUUCUAGCCAGAGACCUUCAGUUCUCUGCAGCAACAUUUUUGUCCCAUCAUUCUCCUGAAGAAUGCUAACUUUUUCUAGCCCCUUGAGCAUCAUCAAUCUUGGUGCUUCAGAUUUGACGAGCAAUGGGUCAAACUCAUCUUCGGACUCAUCUCCUAUGCGUAUCCUAUAUCUUUGCAAUUCCACAGAGACAAAAUUCGGCGGCAGAAUUUCGGCAUCCGCAACUUCUAUCUCCAAAGUAGCUAGCUUUGUCAACCUCUCCAACUCGACAAGACUGGCAUUACUUCCUCCUUCAACCUUCUCCCACCCUGAAAAGCUGUUACCCAUAUACAAUUCUUCUAAUUGAGAUAAUUUUGAUAUGACAUUCGGUGCUAUCACCUCAAGCAACCAACAAUUGCUCAAAUCUAGCAACUGUAACCGCGUCAAUUGUCCAAUUUCAAGUGGUAACUGCUUGAUAGUGGAACGUGCAAGGAUGAGAAUCUCUAAUUUCUUUAGCUGUCCAACUAUUGCUAUAUCUUUUAGUCGGCAAUAGUCUAAACACAAUGUUUGGAGGUUAAUGAGGCAACCAAGUGAUGAAGGUAAUGAAGAGAAGUGAAUUCGAGUAAAAUUCAAAACUUUGAGUCCUUCCGUCCCUUUAAAGAAGUGAUCUGAAACUUGCAUAGAGCCAUCACCCUCCGUAUGCAAUAGCUCAAGACAGGGACAUUGCAACCUUUCAGGAAGCACUUGAAUACCUCCAUAAGUUAAAGAAAUAGCAAUUGGAUCUUUUCGUAUUGUCUCUUCCAUCUUUUUCUCCAAGUCGGCAACAUUUGGAAUAUUAAACAUGCGCUUCUCAAAUAACUGCAAUGCUUCUUUUCGUGGCAAAGCAUCGAUCGGAAAAUUUUUCUGACAACUCAUAUCAAUGCGCAAUAAAUCUUGCUUUCUAGACGUCAAUAUUAUUGUGCAUCUUCUCUGAUCAUCCUUUCUAUCUUUCUCAGCAACAUCCCCAGAAGGAAUUCCAACAACAUCCAACUCAAGUUCUGUCCAAAUAUUAUCCAAUAUAAUGAGGACCCGCUUCUCUUUCUUCAAUCUUUCACGUAAUCGAUCAGCUCUUUCGAAUUUAUUCUCAUCCGAGCCAAAUUUCAUGCCUAAGUCAAAAGCAAGUUUCUUUUGAAUUUCCUGAUGAUCUGGGGUCUGUGUUACCUCAGCCAUAACGACCUUAUCGAACAACUUAUCUUCCAUAACUUGCUUUGCAACUUGCUUGACUAGCGUGGUUUUACCCACGCCGCCCAUGCCGUAGACCCCAAUAAUGUUGAGCUUAUCAUCCUUCAACGCCUCCACAACAUCUUGAAAUACUUUCAUUCUUGAAUCAAAGGCCUCGUAAUCUUUCACUUGCAUAUGUUCUGCCCGCUUUGGAGCAGGACGGUAGGAAACAUUAGAGAAGUUUCCUUUUCCCAGGAGACUAGCGGCAGCUUCUGCGGCCUUUGCUGCUUGUUUACUAAGCUUGUAACGAGAAAUCAAGUUUGGGCACAAUCCUUUGAAGCAGGACUUCUUAGCUCUAUCUUCAUCAUCACUGAUGGAUUUUGCAACCCCUUCACUGAAUUCAUCAACUUGAUUUAGCCAGUCUGUGACACCCUCAUAAAUCUCAUCCCCUUGUAGUCUAGCAUGAUUAACAGGUUGUUGCACCGUUUCUCUUCUAUAUCCCAGCUGCUUCACUUGAUCUUUUAGGCCAUCUAUGUAGCUCUGGUACUUGAACACAUAAGAUAUCUGCCGUACAAUCGGUUUGAACAGUGACUUUGCACCUUCUGCUACGAUGCUGGAAAAAGCAGCCAGACCCACUUCUGCCAUCGCCUGCUGCUUAACAAAUCUAAUAAUAUGUCAAAGAAAGGAAUACAAAUAAACUAAAAUGAACUAGAGGGAAAGACAAAAAAUGGAAAAGACAGCAAACAGUAUCGCAACAUUGAUCUUGAAUCAACUGAAACAUGAACAAAGCAUUUUUUCUUCUUUCUUAAGGAUCAGAGUUUUUGCUAUUAACAGAAACGUACUUCAAGUGUCUAAAAAAAAUUAACUAUAAAUGAACAAUAACUACAAAACUCAAGCAAAACAAGCCAUAAAAUUUUUAUCUUGGAAAGUGGAUGGAAAUUAAGAAAGAAAUGGUAUAGAGAUCAAGCAUCAGAGAUUAUGCUAUUAAAAGAAAUUAAUUGAAGGUUUUAGAACAAGUGCACCUGUUUAAUUAUGUGGGAUCAGAAAGUUGAUGAGCUUAUGUAAUCGCCUUGAAUAUUUAAGAACAAUUUCAAUGAGCAAAAAAUUUCUGUUACCUGCAGAGGAAUGUGAUUAUAGAGAGCUUAUGAGAGUAAUGACAAUGAUUUGGAAAAGAAGAAGACUUAAUCAUGCAGCCCUUAAUAUUUAUUGAAUGACUUGUGAUCAUUUCUUUUAUGAAUAAAAUGCCAACAGCAAAAAGAGAAGAAAGGGCGAAAUUUACUAAGUCUUAUUUUAUUUUUAAUUUCUUUUAUUUUCAUUCGGCGAAGAGGGAAUCUCUCCCUCUUUUUGUUUUUUUACGGGGAAUCUCCUUACCUAAUGUGACAUAAUGAAAGCAAUCUGUAAAUAGUAAUAUAAUGUAAUAAUUAAAAAUACCCACAUAUUUAUAAUAUUAAUGAUGGGAUCCAUAUGUUUAUACUGAUUAAAUUGGUGGACCAGAAUUUAUUUGACCGUACUUGUUUUCUAUUUAAUUAAGAUUGAAACGAUAGAGAAAAAUUUGUCGUAUUGAUUUGUUUCGAUUGUGGAGUUCCAACACUGAAAGUGAAGAUUUCAUCAACUUUCUCACAUGGACACGUACCGUCAUGCAUAUUGCAUUAUUUUCCUAGAAAAGCAAGAUUAAUUCUUUUAAUAAGCAAACGCGUAGGUGGGAAUCCAUUCAUGAAACAAGUGGAACGACAAUAUCAAACCAAUGAUAAUUCAAAAUCUGAAUCCGCCUGAUGGACGGCAACUAAUCUGAACCAUUCUCCUUUAGUAACAGGGGAAUGAAAUUAUAUCGAUGAUAGAUAAUUUCAAAACAGGGGAAUGAAAACAGAGGAACCUGUUUUUCCUUCCUUUUCUUCUUUCCCCCAACUCUUCUUCUAUUUAUAUUUUCCUUGGAAUUUUCGGCAAACGAAAAAAAAUUGGGAAUGAUUUCAGGAAAACAGGUGGAUAAUAACUAAAAUAUUUAUUUUUAUAUUUUUGAUAAACACACUCACUAUUAAUAGAAUUCAUUAGAUAUCAUAACUUAAAUAACUUCUUGUGAUUAAUUGAGGGUACAUUUGGGAUUUCUUUUAUUUCCCAAUAAUUAGCUUCUAUGUUGAUUCUCAGAAAAUUAAUUUUACGAAUAAUUUAGUAGGGUGUUUGGUAAAUGAUGAUUAUUUGACAACCAGUUUUCAAAUAAUCUACUAUACAAAUUUGAUAAGUAAAAAUUAGAAGUGUAAUAUUCAAGUGCAAAUGUGCAAUGAUAAAAAUGUAAUUGUUUGUUUAUUUGUAGUUUAUUUAGAAUAUUAUUACUAACAUCAUUUUUUUAUUUACUGGAUUUUUAAAGAGUAUAUUCUAUUUUCUUUAUUACAUAUCUAUAUCAAUUUUUUAUUAACUAUUUUAAUUUGUAAUAAAACUAACUUUAAUUUUUUUUAACUAAAAAAUUUGUUAUGCAGUUUGUUAUAUUAAAAAAAAAAUUCGGACGGUGUCUAAACAUGGUCACCAGUGAUUGUUAUAUUAAAAAAAAAUCUAUUCAAUUUUUUCUCUGAUUUUGUGUCGAUAUCUUUCUUACGUAUGUUGAUAUCAUAUUAAAGUGAAUUCAAGACCCUAUAUUAUUUUGCAUAACAUCAAAAUUUAGCCGAAUGGUAAUUAAGAAUUUCCUUUUUUGUUUGUCCCACAAUUAUAUAGUCUCAUUUUUUACAAUAAGCUCACAAUAUGCACGGAAAUGAAGAUCUAUUAAAAACUUCCCUAUAAUAUUAAACACUAAACAAUAUCACCAUGUUAUGCAUAUGGUGCCUCGUCAACAAUUUGAUGUUUAUUUUGUUUCUCGGGUGAAUAUGACUACUUGCGUUGCGAGUCCAUGCUUUUGUCGUUUGGAUGGAGGACGUGCCAUCUUUUUAUUUUAGAUGGUUUGUAAGACUUCUGAUUUAAUGAUUGAAUGCAGUCAAUUAACAAAAGCUUACAUAUUAUGUAGGUGCUGAUAUGUCUGUUCUUGAUAAAGUAGAUUUAUUUACAUCCAAGCCAACGGAGCCAAAGACAUUUCGUUAAUAAAAUACACGAUAAUUAUUUUUGUUAAACUGAUUUCUGGUUAAUAAGACCUAUAACAGCAUUCAAGGAAGCCACCGAACUCAAAGGAAAGGCAUGGUUAAAUAUACUGCGAAGCAUGUGAGUUCGUUUUUUAAUCUCUUGAUCACUCAUAAGCUUUUCUAUACCACUCACUGUAUCAUCCUUUUGAAUCGAUUUUGAUUGAUCAUCAGAGAUCAUGUACCCCACCUUAAGAUGAUUGAUCACAAAUUUGGCAUUGUAAUGUUGGUCACCUCUAAUUGGCCAUGCUAAAAUUGGGACUCGACAACCAAUUGCUUUUACUGUUGAAUUCCAUCCACAAUGAGAUAAAAAUCCACCCGUGAUUGAUGACUCAAUAUCAAUAAUUGUGGCGCCCAUCCAUCUAUUAUCAAAUCCUUUUUACCGACUUUAUUAUCCAAACCACUACGAAAAUAACUGCCUUCAGCUGGUUUGUCCAAAUGACGUAGAGGAUCCAAUCUACCUGCACCACCUUGAAUUACCCAAAUAAACGAUCGAUUUGAUGCUUCUAAAGGAUUAGCUAGUACUAAGUACUCAUCUAAGGUCAGAUCCACUUCAGUACCAAAUGACACAUAUAACACAGAUCCGCGUGAUUUCAAAUUCAACCUUUGAACGAUCUCAUCUUCCGUCAUAUUAGAACUCCGCCGGUUGGUUCUCAUCUCAUGAUCAUCAAGCACUGAACCGGCCGAUUUGUAAAAUUGUUCAGGUAAUAGUGGGCCCACUCCCCACAUCGGCUUUCCCAAUUCAUUGGCUAAAUAAUUAAUAAAUGGUCCCUCAAGACCAUCACACGUGUUGAACAUCAACGCCAUUGAUCCCUCCACUUCCUUCAUCCAGUGUGGUUGAUCACCGGCUUCUGGUGGACCUAUUUUCUCGGAACCGGGUGCACCUCUCAGAGGUGGUGGACCACCAGGAGGGGGCCCAUGAGGCCUGUGUUUUAGGUCCGAUUCAAAUAAAGCCAUAUCCUCGGGUAACCGAGGAAGUAAACGGGCCUCUCCCGGUUUGACAUCUUGGAUGCGAGCCUGCCACAUGGCACACUCCGCAGCUGCCGAGCAAGCACCAGAAGUGAAGAACCCAACAAUGGGAACUUCAAAAAUCUUGAAAACAUCAGCCGUCCAGCCCAUCAUAACGUCGAUGACUGCACAAACGGGUCGGCUUUUGGGUUCCCGGGUUGAAAGGAGGUUUCGAACUUCGAAGGCCUUGAAGCAUUUGGCUGUGCAUGGCAACAUGAGGGUGAGGAGGCGAAGGAGGGUAUUUCAGUAACUUCAAAGAGAGGGUAUUGGUGAAACGAGGAAGGGAUGAUGCUGGGGGCGGAAAUGUGAGAGGGAAUGAUGAGGGUAGAUUUGUAAUUACGAGUAGCGAUUUGCUUGCAUAAUUCAAUGCAUGGAAACAGAUGUCCCUGACCGAAGAAUGGGACAAUCCAAACCUCGGCCUCAGCAGCAGUAGCAACAGAGCUUGACAUCUUUUUGAAUUAUUUGAUACUUAAUUGUUACUGUUUGCUUUUACAUCUUUCAUAAAACACUCUUUGUUAUAUAUAAAGAGAUGACUUAAUGGAGAAGUAAGUGUUUUAGUUUUACAGUUUUACUAGUAGGUGAGCUCUGAGUUUGAUAAUUUGAUUGUUAGUUUUAGUUGGUUAGUUAUGAGAAAGCAUCUUUUAGAAAAUUCAUUCCAGUUUCAACUAAAAUUAAUAAUAUUGUUCAAAUUAAUUACUCGAUAAAUAAAUAAUUAGAGAUAAAUCUAUCCCUAAUCUCACAUUUAUAAAAUAAGGAUUGAAAUAAGUUCUUGUGGAUUCGAACUCAAGCCCUCAAGCCGAGUGGCUGGAUCUUGACUACUUUGACUUAAUUAUUAUUAUUAUUAUUAUUAUUAUUAUUAUUAUUAUUAUUAUUAUUAUUAUUAUUAUUAUUAUAUAUAUAUAUAUAUUUCAUUCUUUCAUUGAACAUCUUUUGUUAUAUAAUAAAGAAGAUAAGUUGACGGAGAAGAGUUUUACUUUUACUAGUAGAUGAGCUUUGAGUUGAGAACGUUAGUUUUAGUUGAUUAAAUAUCUACCAUCCAAAUCAACAUUCCUUAAACUAUUAUUCAAGUGAGAUGUCUGAGUAACAUACGCUUGAGUUAGUUGGUGCCUAACAAUUCGUGUGAUACAUGAAACCAACCAAUAUGAAAACCAAAUCAAGUUGGUAGGAUUACAUUAAUUUAAAUUAACUUUCAAGUUCCAACAUUAUAAGAUAAAUAAAUAGCAUAAACUAAUUUUUUUUUUCAAGUAAAUAUGUUUAUCGUUUAAAAAUUAUUUUUUCUUGCGGUAAAUGCAACACUAAAUAAGGAGUGAAGAGGGUAUUUUGUAGGGUAUACCCCCACCUUUUAUUUCAUUUCAUUAUUAAAAAAUAAAGGCUUGAUUCAACAUUCAAGUAAAAUUAACAAUUCCAUGAUAAAAUUGCUUGAGAAUAAGAAUUAAAAUAAAAAAAGAAAACAGCAACUCAAAAACGACAUACAAAUACCGCAUAGAGGUUUUUCGUCACGAGAUAUUUUUGGGUUGAGACAACAGUUGUAUAACAGAGCAUACAGACUGAAUGACGGUGAGAAUAAGAAGGAAAACGGCGCCACACACCGAAAUGCCAGCCCAUGGAGUAUUGAAGUAAUUUUGUUUCAAGUUUGCCCUCCAUUUGUAGCACGUUCUUUUGCAGUGAUCAUUCAAUCCUUUGCAUAGCCCAGAAAAAUAGAAGCUAUUAGACAGCAGAGUAGUACCUCUAGAAAGGAACACAUAAUCAUUUAUGUAACACAUAAUCAUUUAUGUAAUUCUCUGAGUAAUGCCGUUGUUCAAAGGCAAUGAGAUUACGAAAUAAGGAUUCUGUUUCUAGCUGUAGCUUCAGUUUCGGAAUAUGCGAUGUCCUGUUUUUGAAUUCUAUGGCGAACAAAUCAUUGCUCUUGCUCAAACUGAAGUGGACUCCAGCUUGGUGGAGAUUAGUCACACUUGGUGCGGUUUUACCUUUGUGGUAUUGCUGACCUUCUUGUUUUUCCUGAUUCCUCGAUGAUGGGAGAUGGCAAAUCCUUAGAAAAUCAAGGAAAUGCUCUACCCUAGCCUUAGUGUAAGGAGGGAAUUUUUGCUGAUUACCUUGUACUACCUCUAAACCCUUGAAAUACUCGUAUGUGACUGUGAUGAUGGUUGGAUUUUCAUGUUGGUCGGGGAUUUCAAUUGCCGCUAGAGCAAAAAGAUCCUCAAGAAUGAAGAAAGGAAGCUGAUUCUCAAGCAACCACAUAUCAUACCGUAUAUCCUCUAUUAAAUAGGGUUUAUGAAAUAUAUGAUCAUCUUUUUUUUGAAGUUGACGGAAAUGAUACCUCAAUAAGAGUUCAAUGAUGAAGGCAGCAUCCAGCAGAAUCAUUUCAACAAAUUUAUCACUACUUAGUUCGACUUUUUCUGCAUAAGAACCUCGUAAUUCUGCUUCUCUGAACUUUAUAAUUUGAACAAACUCGUCAAAGCUUAUUUGGGUCCGUUGAAGAAAGUAAUGCAGGUACCGCUGUUUAUGUUCUUCCAUGAACUGUAAGUUUGCUUUGCCAUGCUGAAGAGGGCCAAUUGAGACUACCUGAGGUGUAUGUACCUUUUCAUUUAUCUGACGUAAUCGCUCUGGAACUCUGUAGAUGCAGCAGUUUGAGGGCAAUGGUGAUAAUUUUUUCAACUUAACUUGCAAGCAUUCUUCCAUGUUAUAAACUGAAAACAUGGCGCGAAAUUUAAUCAAUUCAACACUUAAUAAGGCAUAGUAAUUAAAAAAGAAUUAAAAAAAAAAACCAAAUACAAGAGCAUUCUUACACGUACAGAAGCACCUCAAUCCCUACUAUUUGCAGAGCUGUAGCCAGGAGUCAAUGAUAGACCAGACUGAACUAAAAGGAACAACUUUCUUAGGAAUAUGUUAUCGGUAUUUUCUCUGGCCUCAGGCCAUCAACAAAGCAGUUUCAGUGCUUCUUAUAUAAUUCCAUGGAUUAUUCCUUGCCUUUACAGAUGAUAUAAGUCACAAUUCAUAUAUUAAUUUCUCCAGAUUCCGUACAAGUGGACCAUAACUAUGGAAAAAUUCAAAGAAUGCAACAGCCAUUUGAUUGGUCCAUGUCAGAAGUUAAUCUGGGGAAAGAAGCUUGAUCUAGCAGUAAAAUUCUCUCCUUCAAUCAGUCAGUUUGGGGCAGCAACAAGAUCAAAGCCACCACGCAAACAUUUACUAAAGUUUAUAUAAUAUUCACUAGUUUAUAUAAUAUUCUUGAAACUCAUCUUAAGUAAAGCAACAAAAGCCUUCACUGUUUCUUAACAACUUUAUUGCUCUAACACGUAGCAUAACACUUUUAAAUUUGCAUAAAGCACAAUAGUACUUUAGUUUGUAACAACAGCACAGAUAAUAAAUCGCAUUUUAUAGCUUUAACAAAAGCAUACAAAAUUCUUAAACCUUGUUUCAAGCAAUUCAUUAAUGCCACAAGGAUGUCUUUUUGCUUCCUACAGUUUUUAUUGAAAUUCAUAUAUUCUUCUUUAUCAAAUUAAGUAAUUUUCCUUUUUCAAAAAAUCAAGAAGGUUUCGACUGCAUGGAAAUACAGCACACAAUUACUACUAUUCCCGGAGUAAGAAAUUCAUAAAUGCAAUAUAAACAUACAUUUUCAUAAGACAUCAGAAUCAAAGAAUCAUCAAUGCAUCAAAUCUGUACACCCAAAAAAGUUGAAAGCAUCAAGAGAAAAUUAUACCGCAUGGACCCUUUACAACCCUUAUAACGAGUUCAGACAGCCUAAUCCAAUUUAAUAGAUUUGAGGACAGCUACAAUGUGCAAUACAAAAUUUCCCAAUACUAUUUAGAACAAAGUCUAGAAAAUAAAACCUAUAUAUUGUACAAAAUCACGAAAACCAGAAAUGACGAAAAACCUGCGAAUGUAAUUUUUGGGUUUCUUCAACAUAUCUUCCAUCCAAAUCAAACAAGAAUCGAUAAAUCAACAACAUUCAUCUUUAAACGACAUAUUACCACAAUAAAAUUGUCAACCAAGCCUCAUAUAAACCUUUUUUGUGUUUUUUGGUAAAUAUAUUUGUUAUUCUCUAAGAAUACUAGGGAAAAAAGAAACCCACUUUCUUAAUCAAGAAUCAAAUAGUAUAUAUGAAUCUAAGCUGAAGUAAGUCUUGGGUUUGAUGAAAAAGCUUGCAUUGUGAUUUAGAUUGGAAAGGAAGUUGAUUUUUGCUGGUUGAGAGAGAGAGAUUUGAGACUUAAGGAGUGUUGCUAAUCUUCGAUCGUGUAAACAAGGGUAACUGGGUCAUAGUUCAAAAUAAGGGUCCAAAAUUUACUAAAGCUAUUAAGGAGCCCAAAACUCAUAAUGGCUUCCCCAAAAUAAAUAAAAUUUUCUAGCAUUAAGUUUUUGUUUCUUCUUGAGAUUUCCUUGUCGUACUUACCCAUAUUUCGAUAUUGCCUCCAAGUAAACUUAUAUAUAUUGAUUAACAAUAUAAACAAGCACUAUGAAGUUUUAGGCCUGAAAAAACAUUGAGGUUGAAAUGAAAACCAUCUAUUUAAGUAACAAAAUCUUCUGAUAAUUUGAUGCUUAAUAAAUAGAGCAGAGAUGACAUAUUAAUCACGCUAUGAUGUGGAAGUUAUGAUUAUAUUCAUCUUAAGAAUAAGAUCUUUCAAACACUGGCAGAUUAGUAUCAAAAUACUCAGCAUAAGACCUACAAACUAGAAAUCAUGAACCAAUUAUUGAACUCAGUACAUAAGUUGAUCUUUUAUAAGCUAUAAAACAAAUCUGCUAUAACAUAAGAAAGUGGGAUUUAUCACCAGACAAAUAUUUUGGUGAAACUCAAGAUGACGGAAGGAUAUCCAAAACAACCUCCUUAAGGGAAGGCAUCACUUCCUGCUGAUGCAAACAUAUAUAUUUAUUACUCACUUUCUUGAGGACCUUCCAGGAACCUGGGUAGCAUCUAACAGAAAGUGGAAAAGAAUAAAAUGUAAAAUAUAAGUUAAACAGCAGGAAAACAGUGAGUGAUACUAGGCAAGCAUUAAUAGGUUGCCGCAGGAAAAGUGUCAGUAACUAGCUAGCAAACCUGAAAAGGGUUCCUCCAUUGCGACCCUUAAAAUUGUGAAUGUAAUAUAUGGUCUCCAUCACAGGAAAAAGUGUAUUGGAUAGUGCAGCCAGCUUAGUGUUGCGGACCGCCCAAAUUCGUAGCCCAAUUUAUUCACCAAGAGCCCAACACAAGGCCAAGAGUGCUACCUUGGCCCGAUUCCGGAAAAUUCUAGGCAACUCUAGCACAUUGAGCUUGUAAAUACUCUAGAAUUCUCCAUAGAAUUCCAGCACAUGUAAAUAGCUAGGAAAUGGUAGAAUUCUCUAGAAUCUCUAGAGCUUGGCAAGCCUCCCCUAUAAAUAUGGGAUGGCAUUAGGCAUUUGUAUCCAACAAACACUACAACAAGCAUUGUAAGCAACUCAAGCAAUGUAAUUCUCUCUUUGUGCAAUACAAUUUCUCUUAUUCGGCUCUAUUGCUCUCUUCUCUAGUUCGAGAAGCUCUAAGCUUACUUAGCAACAUUCGGCAAAGUUGUCUAAGUGCCGCACGAGUUAGCUGCGCAAAAUACUCAUCCCGUGACAAGUGGUAUCAGAGCUAAAGUUUGCACGCACGCAAAUUAGCUCACGAGCAAUGGCCAACCUUUCAAACGUAGCACAAUAGGGUGUUGUUGGUGUGGAUGUUCCACUGGAACCAAGCCGCGACCAAGAGGGAGAACGCUCCCAAGGCAAGACUCGUGGCAAGUCCAAGGCCCCAUCCGUGGAUGCGUUGGAGCCUCGUGUGACUACUCUCGAAAUCACAUUGUCCGCCGCUCAAGAAAGUCUCGAGGGAUUGGAGGAACGAGUGGACGGUCUCGAGGGGGAAUACGCCGAGUUCACGGUGGCAACAAAAGCUCUCAUCCAAGAGCAAGCGAACACUCUCCGAGGUGAGUUUCGUUCUUUCCAUGAUGAGUUGCUCAAACUUCGUAGCUUUGUUCAGGAUGAACUACGAGCUGUCCGUGCAGAAGUGGAUGAAGUCCGCUCGGAUUGGGCAUGGCACAAGUGCACAGUCUCUGCUAGUCCAGCUUCCGCAAACUCGAGUGAUGCGCGCCGCAUUGACGUGCCAAAGCCCGACACCUACGAUGGCACACACAAUGCCACCAUCGUGGAUAAUUUCCUCUUUGGGCUCGAUCAAUACUUCGAUGCCAUGGGUGUCCGAGACGAGGCAUCGAAAGUGGGCACUGCACCCACCUAUCUUAGAGGCGCUGCACAACUAUGGUGGCGUCGCAAGUAUGGCGAGAUGGGCAAGGGCAUUUGCACCAUCGACACUUGGGCCAACUUCAAGCAAGAACGCCGAAAGCAGUUCGCCCCAAGCAAUGCGGAGAAGGAAGCACGAGCGUGCUUACGUCGCCUCAAGCAAACGGGUAGCAUAUGGGACUACAUCAACGAGUUCACUACCCUUAUGUUGGAGAUAAGCGACAUGUCCGACAAAGAUUCGCUCUUCUACUUCCAAGAUGGCCUCAAGGAUUGGGCCAAGACUGAGCUUGAUAGGCGUGGUGUUCAAACACUUGACGAUGCCAUGGCCGUUGCGGAGUCGCUCACCGAAUACUCUAUCCAAUCCAAGGACAAAAAGGCCAACCAAGGCAAAGGUGGGGGAGAGAGUCGCAAGGACAAGGGCAACAACCGCAAAGAUUGGGGGUAGAAAAAACUGCCUAGCAACAAGAGCGAGCAAGGAAAAUCGGAGGGUAAGAAGGAGGCGCCAAAGCCGCGAAGCCCAUGCUUCAUAUGCAAUGGUCCUGAUUGGGUACGCGACUAUCCGGAGAAGAGGUCGCUAAACGCUCUUGCUGCCCAACUCAAGAGCAACCCUACAAUGUCCACAGAGGAACCCCAACUCAGCAUGGGUUCUCUCCAACGCCUCGGCGCACUUAAUCACUAACAGCCUGCACUCGUCAAGAAAGGGCUCAUGUAUGUAAGCGCAAAGGUAAACGGUCAGUUCGUUCGCGCGCUGCUAGACACGGGAGCGACGCACAACUUUGUGUCCGUAGACGAGGCCAAGCGCUUAGGCCUCAAGGCCACCAAGGAAGGAGGCACGAUGAAAGCGGUGAACUCACCCGCCAAGCCAAUUGCGGGGAUCGCACAAGGCGUGCACAUUAUGCUUGGAACAUGGAGCGGAAAGCUUGAUUUCUCCAUCGUUCCCAUGGAUGACUUCAAGAUGGUCCUCGGCAUGGAAUUCUUCAACCAAGUCCAUGCCUUCUCGCUGCCCGCUCCGAACUUCCUAAGCAUCCUCGACGGGAGUAAGGCAUGCAUGGUUCCCACGGAACGAGGCAAGUCCGAGGAGAAGACACUCUCUACCAUGCAAUUUAAAAGGGCUUUCAAGAAGGACCCAAGUUUCUUGGUCUCCAUUCGGGAACUAAACGAGGUAGGAAAUAGCGGAAUCUCGCCAAACCAAGUCCCUCCGCGAAUUCAAGCCGUCCUUAAUGAGUACAAGGACGUGAUGCCUCCAGAACUUCCGAAGAAACUCCUACCUCGACGAGAGGUUGACCAUGCAAUUGAGCUGGAACAAGGCACGAAGCCACCAGCCUUGGCGCCCUACCGCAUGGCGCCACCCGAAUUAGAGGAGUUGCGGAGACAACUCAAAGACUUACUGGACGCAUGCUACAUUCGCCCCUCAAAGGCCCCAUUCGGUGCACCUGUGCUCUUCCAAAAGAAAAAUGAUGGAUUGCUGCGGAUGUGCAUCGAUUAUAGAGCGCUCAACAAGAUCACCAUCAAGAACAAGUAUCCGAUUCCCUUGAUCGCGGACUUGUUCGACCAGCUUGGCAAAGCGCGGUACUUCACCAAACUCGACUUGCGCUCCGGGUACUACCAAGUGCGCAUCGCCAAGGGAGACGAACCAAAGACAGCGUGCACAACAAGGUACGGGUCUUUCGAAUUCCUUGUGAUGCCUUUUGGCCUUACUAAUGCACCCGCCACAUUUUGUACGCUCAUGAACAAGGUGCUCCAACCAUUUCUCGACCGCUUCGUGGUCGUGUACUUGGAUGACAUAGUGGUGUAUAGCACCACGCUCGAGGAUCAUGCCCAACACUUGCGACAAGCCCUCCAAGUACUUCGAGACAAUGAGCUAUUCCUCAAAUUGGAGAAGUGCUCGUUUGCCCAACGAGAAGUGGAGUUCCUUGGCCACAAGAUUGCGGGCGGGAAGCUCAUGAUGGAAAAUGCCAAAGUGAAGGCCAUUCUCAAAUGGGAACCUCCCUCGAAAGUGCCCGAGCUUCGCUCAUUCCUUGGGCUGGUGAACUACUACUGCCACUUCAUCAAAGGCUAUUCGGCCAAGGCAGCACCCUUGACGGAUAUCAGAACGUGGCAUUAGUUCGAAGAGUGCCAACGCGCAUUCGAGGAGUUGAAGAAGGCAAUUUCAGAAGAACCUGUCCUCGCUCUACCGGACCACACAAAGCCCUUCGAAGUCCAAACAGAUGCCUCAGAUUUUGCCAUAGGUGGAGUCCUUAUGCAAGAAGGCCACCCCAUAGCGUUCGAGAGUCGAAAGCUAAAUGAUACGGAGCGUCGCUACACGGUGUAAGAGAAGGAGAUGACAGCCAUCAUACAUUGCUUGCGUGUGUGGCGACAUUACUUGCUAGGCUCACACUUCACGAUUAUGACGGACAACGUGGUGACAAGCUACUUUCAAACUCUAAAGAAGUUGAGUCCGAAGCAAGCACGGUGGCAAGACUUCCUUGCGGAAUUCGACUAUUGGCUCGAGUACAAACCGGGGAAAGCCAAUGUCGUUGCGGACGCUCUAAGCCGCAAGGUGGAAUUGGCAACACUUAGCAUGAGCCAACCGAAGUUCGACCUUAUCUCACGCAUCAAGGAAGGCCUCCAACAAGAUCCGCUAGCAAAGGAUUUGCUGGAGAAGGUGCUCGAGGGAAAGACAAGGCGUUUUUGGCAAGAGGAAGGCAUCCUCCUCACCAAGGGAGAUAGGCUGUUCGUGCCAAGGUGAGGAAACUUGUGGAAGGAAGUUAUCAAGGAGUGCCACGACUUCAAGUGGGCUAGUCACCUAGGAAUCGAGCGCACCACCGCACUAGUUCAAGCCUCGUAUUUUUUGCCACACAUGAGGGACGACAUCGAGGCAUAUGUGCGAACUUGUCUUGUGUGCCAACAAGACAAGGUGGAUCAUCAACUUCCAGCGGGAUUAUUAGAGCCGCUAUCGCUAGCAACAAGACCAUGGGAAAGUGUCUCCAUGGACUUCAUCACAUCGCUGCCUAAGUCCGAAGGAUGCGGAAGUAUCAUGGUCGUUGUCGACCGAUACAACAAGUAUGCCACAUUUAUUGCCGUACCAAUCGAUUGCAAAGCGGAUGAGGCAUCUCGCCUAUUCGUCAAGCACAUUAUGAAGCUUUGGGGAGUUCCAAAGAACAUUGUGAGCGACCGAGACCCUUGGUUCACUGGGCGUUUCUGGACGGAGCUCUUCAAGAUGUUAGGGACCGAUCUCAAGUUCUCGACAAGCUUUCACUCACAAACGGAUGGGCAGACCGAGCGCAUUAAUGGCCUCCUCGAGAUGUACUUGAGGCAUUAUGUGAGCGCUCAUCAGCGAGAUUGGGCGAAGCUAAUCGACAUCGCCCAAUUUUCUUAUAACUUACAGCGAAGCAAGGCUACGGGCAAGAGUCCGUUCGAGAUCAUCAUGGGAUUUCAGCCCAUGACCCCCAACGCCAUAGCCUCGACUUACGGAAGGAAAAGCCCCGCGGCACACAAGCUCACCCGCGAAUGGCAUGAGGAAGCGAACACCACGCAAGCCUAUCUCGACAAAGCCGUGAGGAAAAUGAAGAAAUGGGCGGAUACAAGGAGACGACAUGUUGAGUAUAAGGAAGGUGAUCAAGUUAUGAUCAAGCUCCUACCCCAACAAUUCAAGAUGUUGCGGAAAGUCCACAAGGGGUUAGUGAGGCGCUACGAGGGACCCUUCCGAGUUGUUCGACGUGUGGGCAACGUCUCGUAUCAACUCCAACUUCCGCCAAGACUCAAGAUCCAUCCGGUCUUCCAUGUGAGUCUUCUCAAGCCAUAUCACGAAGACAUGGGAGACCCAAGUCGCGGAGAAUCGAGGCGCGCACCAACUGCCGUUGUCACCGCGUUCGACAAAGAUGUGGACUACAUCAUUGCGAACCGCGUGGUUUCGAGGAGGGGCGUGCCAGCACAUAGCGAGUACUUGGUGAAGUGGAAAAACCUCCCCGAGAGCGAAGCCACUUGGGAACGUGAAGACAAUUUGUGGCAAUUCGUUGAGCACAUCCAGAGGUUCAAGCACGAGAGCGCGAUGAGGACGCCGCGAGGUUAGGUGGGGGAGGAUGUUGCGGACAGCCCAAAUUCGUAGCCCAAUUUGCUCGCCAAGAGCCCAACACAAGGCCAAGAGUGCUAGCUUGGCCCGAUUCCGGAAAAUUCUAGGCAACUCUAGCACAUUGAGCUUUUAAAUACUCUAGAAUUCUCCAUAGAAUUCCAGCACAUGUAAAUAUCUAGGAAAUGGUAGAAUUCUCUAGAAUCUCUAGAGCUUGGCAAGCCUCCCCUAUAAAUAUGGGAUGGCAUUAGGCAUUUGUAUCCAACAAACACUACAACAAGCAUUGUAAGCAACUCAAGCAUUGUAAUUCUCUCUUUGUGCAAUACAAUUUCUCUUAUUCGGCUCCAUUGCUCUCUUCUCUAGUUCGAGAAGCUCUAGGCUUACUUAGCAACAUUCGGCAAAGUUGUCUAAGUGUCGCACGGGUUAGCUGCGCAAAAUACUCAUCUCGUGACAUUAGGGUAGAAGAAUGACGGAUAAUCUUUAGCUCAUUUAAGGAAAUCCUCUCUGAUCCUUUCAUUGCACAUUCCAAAACAACUCUACUACAACCAAGUUACCAAUUCUUUUUGUUAAGUCAUUGUUAUUUGUUAAAAAAAAAAAAAGUCUUCCUUGCAACAUUUUAUUGAAAGAUAUAACAUGAUCAUCCCUAUUAAUUCCCUUUUAGAUUUCUGUGAGUGAAUUUCAAAUUAUUGUAUUCAAAAAUAGAAGCAAAAGACCCACUUUACUUUCAAUUUCUGCAACAAGAUACCAAUUGAAGGACCAAAAAGUUGUAAACAAGCAAUUCAAUGGGUGGGCAUCUAGAAACUGCUAAAUAGCAUCAAAAUCAUACUAAAUUUACAGAAAGUACAAUAAUAAUGAAAGAAUGGUGAAGGAUACACCCAGACCUUAUCCGGUCAAGUUCUCUAUUGAAUAUAAUCAGUUUCUGGGCAGUAUUGAAGACAGCUUCUUUGUAAAGCUCUUCAACGACAAGCAUUUCUACAAGACGAAAGAAAAGCAAAAUUAAUUACCUUAAGGAAUGAAUAUCAAUAAGAAGACAAGGUGUAAGACUACCAUUGACAUUAAAAUAUGGAUAGGCGACUAGAAACAAUUCAUCUUCUGGCUUCACACGGUCUGCCAUUUUAACCUUCUCAGUGAAUCCAAAAUCCUCAAAGAAUGAAGGUUUUGUUAGAUAGUCCAACUUAAAUAAUGAUCCUUCAAAGACCGAUUUUCUUGCAUAUUUGACUUCAUUUGCCUCUGGGAAAAACUAAAAACCAAAUGACAGACCAAGAUCACGAAACGAAUCAUGAACAUAGAUAUCAGAUAAUCAGAAAUGGGCAUUAAACAGACUACUAACAAGUAGGAAAUGCAUACAGAAAACAUUAUUCAUACACCUUAUGCACAUGAAAUAUAUAUGCAGAGGGAUCCUCUUGUGAAUUUAGUUUAUAUCCUAAUAUGAGACAAUGAACAAUUGGAUGGCAUCUAAGGGCUAACAUUUGUUUGAUUAUUAUAUGAAAAAAAAAAACAAAACAGAGUUGAUUGAUGGCCUUUGAUGGAUUGCCUACACUCUUAAAGUGCAGAGAGCCUGAUUAAUUGCUUUACCUGCCCCCCCCCCCCACACACACUUGGUUUUAUUAUCUCUCUUUUCAAAUAUAUAAUCAUUGGCUGUCUUUCAUCCUGAUCCGGCUCUCCUUCCAGGCCCCAGCUGUGUUUUCUUCAAUUCAGUGAAACAUUCACAUUCAGGUAAGAAUAAACUUGUCCUUCCUCAAAAAUCAGCUUCUCACCAUGAAGCUUUCUUUUUUAAACCAAUUACUAGUCUAGCAUAACGCAUCUAAUUGAAGACAACUCAGAAUUGAAAAAGCCAUACUUUAAUGUCUGUUGUUGGGACCUCAAGACCAGGAACAAAAAGCUUCUUUCUAACAGUUGGAUUAACAAGUAGAAAUAGCUUUUUUUCUGAAGGACCCAACAUUGCAUUGAAAAAUUCAACAAAAGGAAUGGCAUCAUAUUUAGUCCUGCUAGAAUUUUGUGCACUUAACACAAUGGUUAAUAAUUGGCCCAGCGGACACUUUGUCGAACUAUUGGCAACCUUGACUGUGGAAAUGCAUAUUUCAAAUGUUGGCAGGCUCUAGCUUCUUGAUGUACUGUUGAUAGAAAUGCCUAUUUCAAAAGUUGGCAGGCUCAAACUGCCGAGACUUUGGUUUCUUGCAUUUCAAACCCACAAAUAAAACUUUGGCAGAACCCCAGAAAGAGCUACACCUCCCAAAUUUGAUGACAAAUGAAGAGACCAUGCCUAGUGCUUAGUUCGGCAAAUGAGUAAGUUUGAAAGAAAUUAAGGGAAACCUUUCCCACAGAGAGUCAUAUUGAAGGUUACAAUUUGAAGACUUUGUCCCCUGUCGCCCACAACCUUCUUUGAUCUCUUUGCUUAGUCAUAAAUAAUCAAACAUAUGUUAGUCGUUGGAUGCAAUCCACUCACUGACAUCUCAUGUCCACAAUCAAUCAACCAUAUUUUAAUAGAAAUGAAAACAUUUUAAUUAAAAAAGAAUGAGAUAGGAACAAAAUGAAACUUGGCAGACAUGGGUCUAUGAGAUUUUAAAGAUGCUUGGUGAAAGUCGUAUUCAAGAGUUCAACAGUCAGUUCUAUCACCUAUGGCAAAGUAACCACCAUAACUAAAGCAAUUACAAAACAUCAAGAAGCUUGAACUUGGCAAGAGGUCUCAUUAACAGUAUACCUCAGAAAUUAAGACAGACUUAAAGUACAAGCUUUUGGAUUUAUUUAAACACUGAAAAUAAUAUGGGUAGAAGCUCCUAUGGUCACAGCAAACAAUUACAAAGCACAAAACCCAAAAAAUAGAUAUGCAAAAAGCUGCAAAAGAACAUUAUUAGCAAUUGACAUCUGCUUUGCUCAGACAAAGGUUCUCAUAACAAAGGACUUAGUGAUUAUCUUUCAUAUGUUUAUGUUAAGGGGAAAAAGGAAGUUUGUUUUAGUCAAUCUCAUGUCUAAUGGCAUUCAUAAGGAGCCCAAAAAUAAAAGAAAAAAUAAAGAGUUAGUAGGUGUUUCUCGCAGUAUAAAGAAAAUUUAUCAUCCAUGAAAAACUUAGUAUGGAAAAAGCUAACUCAUUUAUCUGCCAAUGGAGAAAAACUUGUUGUCCACCCACUAAGGACCCACCAUUGGGAGAUGGAUCCCAUGGAUGGGAACCACAAAUAUUUUAUUCUAAAUGAAAUGGGUAUUGUACCAUAUCAUUUAAUUUGUAGAUUCCACUGAUGGAACUCAUCAAACUUUUCAAAUGGUAGGUCCUUCAUGGGUAGGCGCAUCACUUCAGCAUCCUUCUCCACCGAUGACUAAAUCUGGACUCAUUUAAAAAGAAUACAAAGCAAAACUAAUUGACACAAAUUGCAUAGAGGUCUAGGAGCCAAAUCAAUGUUGUUAACUCAUCCAAUUAAUACAUUCUCUUAGAGGUCAUACCUUGGUAACUCAUUUCAAAAGAAAUUAAAAGAAAAACGACUGCACAAAUUGUACUGAGCUCAAGAAGACCUGUUCAAGGUGUUCACUUGUCCAACUAAUAAAAGUCAUCAAGGAUUGUAUCGGGGACUUGGGACCAAUCCUGCCUUAACUAGAGAAAGGGAAUUUAGGAUGAAGAAGAUAACCUCUUCUCCUAGAGCCCUUUUGGACAAAAAUGAAUUCCUACUAAUUCUGAGAAUAAAACCAUAGACAUCUAACUUCUGAUAUCUAGUCAAUCUGGUAAAAUCUUGUCAGUUGCACUUGGGGCAGAAAUUAGUUCCACCUUGGUUUACAGGACAGAAAUUCGUCAUAUGCAUGUAUUUAUUUAUGUUUUAUACACAAACGCAUACAUGUACACACAAACACUACCUUCACUUUGAAGAAAAGAUUAAAAUAACACUGCUCACAUACACAAUACUUACUAUUCUAGUUCGUGUAACUUUCUCUGGAGUCACAAACAGGUCACAGAAUUCACGUAUUAACCGCAUACUUCCAGUCAUUUCUAUUCCUCCUUCACCAUCACCUGUCCCACAAUUACAAAAAGUGAGAGGUAAUAACCAACAUAUUUGGGUUGCUCUUCGGUAAGGGGUGGGAGGUAAGGGUUAGUUGUGGAGGGCACCUGGUACAGAAUCAAGGCCAGCUGUUGGGAAUUCGAUCUCUUGUAACAUAUACUUGUUCAUCAUAAACUAUAUACUUAUUCUGCAGUCGAUGUGUGCAUAUAGCUCUUCAAUUAUCCAGUAAUAACUCACCAUCAACUUCCUACCAUCCUUCAUGGCUAAUUCAGCAGCCAUUUUUGCCUGUUUAAAGGUCAAAAGCCCAAACUAAGCAGAUGCUCCUACUCCGAUACUUAUUAUCUAACUACUACAGAACAGAUGAUACACAUCAAGUUGUAUCAAGAGAGACACCAAGUUGUGUUUUCCAAGAGGUUCCAAAGAGGAUCUGUUUCUUUGUGUAAUUUUUAGACUGCUUUGACAACUCAUCUUAAAGGUGCCACUCAUCCAAUAUGAUGUGGUGACAGUAGUUUAGAGUUUUAAACUAAAUGCAGAGCUAAUAGUAUUUUGGAAAUAUAAUCAUCCUAAGAUACUAUAACACAAGGAUUCUUACACAAAAACAACAACUUCGAUGUAGAGAGAAGAUGAUUUCACAAAAGCAGAUGUUUUGAUUUAAGUCUCCAAAACCCCCACCAAGAAAAUGUUCAACGGAUAUAGAAAUAUGAUCCACAUAUCUGUAACUUAAACUGUAAAAGUUGUUGAUGUUGUUCUAAAAUUGCCACAAUCUAUCUACCCCAUGAAUGUUUUUGGAUAAAACAAGAAGCAGGACCCAAUGCCUGUUUUCUAAUAGCUUCAAAAAGGCCAAAUUGGUUUUGAAAUGUCUCCAGCUUUUCAUUUAACAAGUUUAAGGAUCCCUUCGGCAUUGCAAUUGGGGAGCUCAGAUAUAUAAAAGUGCCUGGUAAACUCUUACAGCCGCAGCUUUUGAGCAAAAAUAAUUUUAUCUCAUAAUUGUUUGACUAAAAACAUAUAUCACCUUUUAUCAGUUUUGUAAAAAAUAUUAUUUAUAAGUCAUAUUUACCAAACACAGUCAACUUUUACAUCACAACUAUAGCUUUUUUUUUUUUUUCACCACACAUAUAUAGUUAAAAACUACAAGAACUCGAUAUCAAACAGAUCCUAAAGCGUAAUCUAAUAAAAAGGUAAAUAAACAAAUGCAGAAGCCAGCGUACUUGAUCAAGAAGCUCUGAAUAGUCACUGGGAAAGGGAAUAUCGACGUUAAUGGGGUUAUUGCCAUCGCUUGAAACCGAAUUGGUGAGACAAUUGCGUUUUCUUCUGUACGGCGAAAAUGUGACGAUUGAGUAACAACUUAUAUCGAACUUUAGGUUAAAAUAAUUACUAUGGAAUAUUGGAAUACGAGAUUAUUAGCAUUUGAGUGCUUGAGUGGGAAUCAAGAAAACUUAAAAUAGUUCAGUUAACCCAAAAAGAAAAAGGGGGGAAAAAACCCAUGGAAAGUGCGAUGAAUGUAAAUCCACUUUAAAACUUUAAUCAUAAAUGGUUAACUAAUUUUAAGUAAUUUGGAUUAACUUGACAAAUUGAAAAACCAUGCACUAGAGGAAAAUGUUCAUAUUUGGAGGUCCGAAUUUAUCUACCAUUCAACCCUAUUUUCAGCUCCUGCAUGGAGGAUAAGUUAGUUUGGUGAAUCUACCACUAGCUAAUUAGCUAAUUUUUUUUUUUGAAGAUAGCUAAUUAGCUAAUUAAGAGAGCAUUAACGUUGAUAAUUUGUCCUAUCUAAAAUGAAAAGUAAGAAAUUUACACUAGUAAAUUUUACACAAUCACAGUUGGAAUUUCAAAGAAACAAAAACGGAUCAAUAGUGCAAUUGUAAUUCAAAUUUGCACUUUAGGCCACACGUUCGGCCCAGUUCUUGUAUUAACACUUCAAUACUUGACAUGUGGCCAUUUUUUUAUUCGUCCACGUUCUUUGCAUUCUCAUGGUAGUACUCGAACAAGACAAAAUUUCACGAAUAUUCAGUUGAAUUGUUGUUGAAACAUGUAUAAGAAAUCAAAUCUCGUUAGUUUUGAAUAUUACCAGCAACUCAAAUUAUUUUAACCUAAAGUUCAAUAUAAGUUGUUGUUGGGGGUUAACGGCAUUUUGAACCACAAAGUAAAGAGAGAGAGAGAAGAAACGCUCCCCUUUCAAAUACCGUGCUCUUUUGUACCUGGGAAUUUAAUAAUUCAUGCGAAUAAAAAAAUUAUAAAUUUAGUAAAUUAUUUAUUAAAAAAUAUUGAGAGGUUGUGCAUUAUUUUAUUAGUAAUGACAUAGUAAUCAUCAAAUUAGUUGAAUUAAAAUAGUUGUUGACUCACGUAAUUUAUUUUUAUUAUUUUUAAAAAAAAUGGUCUGCGUUAAUAAGGUUAAGGGUGACAACUGGGAUCAAUAUACAGUUUAUUCGGGUGCUUAAAACCUAAUAAAUAUCCACUAACUCAUAUAUAGUUAAAAUAUAAUUAUUUUUAAAUAAAAAAUUUAAUAUAAACUAAACAAAUUGAUCGGAUUUUGUUUCUCAAGGUACAUCAUUAGAACGUUACUUUUAAUUGAACAAAAGCACACAUAACUAGCACAUUCGCCACAAAAGCCUCGGCUUAGUGGUCGGCUUAUUAAUUAUCCUAAUAAAAUCAUGGUCAUAAAUUUGAGUCCCCGUAGGUUAGGUAGCUUUUUUAGACUACACUAUAAAUACAUGUAUUUUACUUCUCGCGGGUAUUGCUUCUAGUAGUUAUCCAUCCGAGUAUAGAGCUUUGUAGCUUUCUUCAUGACCUUCCCCAAUUUCAAUGCUUGUUAAACAAUCUCCACAGAAAAUGUGAUAGAAAUGUCCCGCUGCCACUUGUUGUGCAUAGUCCAAAUCUGCAAUUUAAGGUCAUCAUUUCAUUUAAUUUUCCGUUAUAUAUAUUCAUCUUUCUUAGAGGCCAAGAAGUCUUCGACAGAAAUGUGAUCUUUUUCUAGUAGCCUCCCGGUGAUGAGCUUCUCCCAAGUUUCAAUUAAUUCGCUUUGAGUGAGGAUAUUUUCUGGUGGCCUCAAAUACAAUGUUUUGUUCAGCACUCGAGGAGCAUCUAUUCUCUUAAUAGUAUAUAUGGCAACAUCAUCGAUAUGCACCAUAGAAAAAAAGAUAAUCAUUUUGUUUAAUAUGAACAUAAAUUCUUACAGUCUAACUCAUAUUAUAGUGAACGAUGUUGUUGUGUGGUGCGUGCAUGCACUAUCUAUAGUUUUAAUAUUAUUAAUAAAGAGUUAAAAGUCUUGAUUUAAUUUUAAAUUGUCAUUCCUCUAACUUCACCGUCUUCAUAGAUCCAGACUUUAUCUUUUGAAGGGCGAGGGUAGCUAUAUUUGAGAGAGGUGUCCGGGGAACCAACCAGCAAAAAACAGCUAGCAGAAACAUAAAUGACAGGGAUUUGAGCAGCCUUGAUUGCCCUUCUCACACAUGUGCUCUGCGUUCUCCCUCUCGCUCUCACUCACUCACGCCCAAAUCUCACCUCACUCACGCCCAAAUCUCACCUCACUCACGCAUCUCUCCUUCUGACCGGUGGUUUUCUCUCUCUCGCCGUGGGUCUCUAGGCUGGCAGGGAUUUCUCGACUUGACUACUAAAACAUAAUCCAAAAACUACUAAGAGAUGUAUAUAUUACUCUGAUAUACACAAUAUGAAGAAACUGCAGUUAUAUUUCAAAUAUUAUAUGAAGGAAGAGGCUGUAUGGAUUAUCCAAAGGUGCUGAAAUUAAGAGACCCACACCAACCGACAGACCCCCGGUGAUAGAGAGAAAGUCGACCGUGAGAUGCAUUCAAGACGGGGGAAGAGUGAGAGAGAAAACUGCCCGGUCAGAAAGAGAGAUGCAUGAUUGAGGUGAGAGAUUUGGGCGUGAAUGAGUGAGGAGUGAGGGAGAGGGUGCCGCGUGUGUGGGAUGCGUACAGUGACAAUUUAUACUUACAUCAAAACGCCGAGUUCGGUGCCAUGUGUAGGGCUAACUGUGGUUUGAAUCUCACUUUGGUAACGGAAAUGACUUUGCAAUUGACAGUUUUUGUCAAAAGUUCGCACUGCAUGAAACUAGUGUUAAUAUAAUUUAAAAAAUUAAUUUCAGUAUUAAUUUUUAAAAUGUUAAUUAUUAUAUUUAUUUUAAUAAUAUAUUUAUAUUUAUAAUAAAAAUUUUAGUUAAAUAUUUGUGUUAAAUAGAAUUUAUAAUUAAUAUAAUAUAUCUUAGGUAUUAAUUAUUAUAAUUAUUCUAUAUGCUAUUGAAAAUCAUUUAAAUUUUUAGAUGUUUAUUUUCAUACUAAGUUUCUAUUUAUUUUAAAAUUUAGUUUAAUAUAAUAUAAGCAAGUAAAGUAUUAAAAUAUUUUUUAGUAUUUUUAAAAUAUUAAAAUUAUUUUAAAAUAUAAGUCAAUUUUUUAAGUUAAUAGAACUAAUAUUUACAGUUUAUUUGAUGGCCUCAACAAGCUAAAGCAGCAUCAAAAUUAUGUGGCUCCUUAUUUUAUUUUUUCCCUUUCAAAAAGGGAAAAGGAUAAGUUUGGGAGAAUGUUUAUAUUUUUAAUAAAUUCUUUUUUAUUAUAAUACUUUUUGUCUUUAUUAAUUUAAAAAUAUUGACUCUUAUAUUUUAAAAAAUAUAAAUAUAAUAUUAUAAUAAAAUAUAACAAUAUAUAUCAAAUAUUUAAAAAAAAUUUAUAAUUUUAUAUUAUAUUAAAAUAAAUUUUUAAUAAAUAAAAAUAAUCUAUUAAAAUAAAGUACAAAAAUUUAAAUUAUUUUCAUUAUCAUCUAAAAUAAAUUUACUAUUAUUAAUGCAUGAAAUAUAUUAUAGUAAUUGUAAAUUUCAUUUAACUCAAAGAUUUAUUUAGAAUGUUUAUAAUAAGUCCAAAUAUAUUAUUAAAAUAAUUAUAAUAAUUUACAUUUUAAAAAUUAAUACUGAUAUUAAUUUUUAAAUUAUAUUACUCUACCAGAAAAAUUAAACUAUUAAAUUAUAUCAAUAUUUAUUAAAAAAAUUGAAAUUAAUUCUUGUUAUAUUUUUAAUUGGAAUUUUUUCAUGUGAUAUAACCACAAUUGCUACAUUUUUUCCCCUGAAUAAAGAUGGAGUUAUAAAUUAUUUGUAUAAGUGUCUGUGUGGAAACUAAUGUGACAUGAAAGUAAUAGUUGAAUAACAAUAAUGGGGCUUUAGGCAAUUUUUUCAUGAGAUUUUCUUGCGAUUUCAACACUUAAACAGACUUGUCCUUCAUCCCAAUUUAUUUACCCCAUUUGGGCCCGUUAUGACAUAGACAUAUUCUUGUGGAAUGAAAAACUUCAUGAGAAGAAAUUGUUUUAUUAUAAUAGAAAAAAGUGGUCCAUAAGUCUAUUCAUUACUUUUUUUAUUCAAUAUAAAUGGCUAACUUUAAAAAUGGUAAAAAUCACAUAACGCGCAAGCGAAAUCUAAGAUUUAUAUUUUUUAAUACUCUCCAAGUCUCUCUUUCUCUUUUUCUUUUUUUAAAUAAAUGUCAAUAUAAAAUUAGAAAAAUUUUAGAUAUAAAAUUUGGCGAUGACCAAACAAAAAUUGUAGAGGAAACCUUGAUAUCAUUGAAAUACUGAUCAUAGACACUACAGUAUAAAUAACUUAUUGUGAUCCACUCAACUUGUAACACUUUAAUCCAUAUUCUAAAAUUUUCAUGUUUGUUAGGAUUUUUAUUAUUGAUACUACUGUAUCAAUAAAAUUAUAAUUUAUUCAUAUGGAAUGAAAACAUCAAGAAAGGACCUCUGAUUUUUAUUAUAACAGAAAAAAAUGGUCCAUAAGUCUAUUAAUUAUUUUAUUUAUUCAAUACAAAUGUCCAACUUUAAAAAUGGUAAAAAUCACACAAUGCACAAGUAAAAUAUUACAAUUACAUUUUUUAACUCUCUUUGAGUCUCUCUCUCUCUCUUUAAAAAAUAAACCUCACUAUAAAAUUAGAAAAAUUUUAGACAUAAAAUUUGACAAUCACCAAACAGAAAACAUAGGGAAAUGAAAAUGGAGGAGCCCUAUUUUCAUUAGAAUAUUGAUCAUAGAUACUAUAAUGUAAAUGAUUUGUUGUGGUUCAUUCAACUUGUCACACUCUAAGCCAUUUUCUAAAAUUUGUAAGGUUUAUAGUAUUUUUAUUAUUGCCAUCAUUGUAUCAAUAAUAUUAUAAAUUAUAUAUUCUAUUGUAAUGAAAAUUUGUGUAAUCUUAGGUAUUUAUUAUAUUAAAUUGUGUGGAUUAAUUAAGAAUAUUUUUGGAGACAAAAGAAGUGUGUGUACGUAGGAUUAAUGAUAAAAAAUUUCUAAAUAAAGAUGAUUGCUUCAUUGACAAGCACAUAUUUAUAUUCCUCUAUUAAUAUUUGGGUUGUAAACUCUAUAAUAAAGUUGGUUGGUGUGAGUGGUUCGGCACUCUCACUCCUUAAGAAAGAUCAGGGGUUCAAGCCUCGCUCUCGUAUGGAGUCACCACUUUGGCCAGCACUUUACCUCUUACGGGCCGACCCGAUGCGAGCAUGAAUUAGUAUGAGUUGUGGUACGGGCUUAAAGGUGCCUCCCAUAGUUUGGGCCCACUUAGGAUCACCUCGUGGUUCAAACAAAAAAAAAGUGAAUAUAUUGUGGUAAGCGAUGUGGGCAAUAUCGGUUGCGAAAUAUUGAGAGAUCAUUAAUGCAUAUAAUUAUUGAAGAUGCAUAUAGAGGGAAGAGUGUAGAUCUGGCUGUAACAAUUAUGAAGCUUUCCCCAAGUAUACUCAUGCUUCCUUAAUUGUUCCGAAGUAUUUUUCAUAGUGUGCAGAUUUACUUUAUGGUGUCUUAAUUCGUCUUAAAUGAUUACUUUAGUUGUUUUGGGAUUUAAUGUCAUUUAUUGUGUUAAUUUUAAACAAUAGAAAAAAUAAGUAAUGGUAACGAAAGACUAAUUUGUGAUAUUGAAGCAUACGGGCUUAACUCAAUCCAAAAAUUAGUAAGUUAGCUCAAGAGUUAAGAGUUGUCCAAAUCUUAUAUGCUGAAUCCAAGUUUAAUACACAAUUGAUGCGGGAUGUUAUUCCUAACACCUUCCAUCAUGCGUAGGAUUGGCAAAAAAAUUCGGGUCAGUCCCACCUAAACCUGCAGGCUUUAUGCAUGGCUCGCAUGAUGAAGUUACGGAUAUUAACCUAAAAAUUUGAAACUUACUAUGAAUGGCCUUGCUUAAAGACUUUUGCAACUUUAAUUUAUAACAAGUAUGUAUAUAUACACACACAUAAGCUUAGAUUGCAUUUGGAUGGCUUUUUUAAUCAAUUCAAACAAUUUGAAAUUUAUCGGAUUAAUCUGAAUCUUAUCUGUAUCCGAUUUUGUCCGCCCCUACUAUUUAUAAGCCCAGGUGACUCUCUUUUACUAAUUAAUAAGAGAAUUUUUGACCUUAUAUCCUUGCUGUGGUGUUAGACUGUUGGUCAUUUUGAUUGUUUCCUACCUUCCAUUUACGCCAGCUAUAACAUUGUAUUAUCACCAUUUUAGCCAUUUAAAUGAAAUUUUAUUUUUGUCAAAAAUAAAAUGACACCCUUAAAAUUAAAAAAGAAAUAGUUAUGUAGACCUCAAAUUUUUAAUAAAGAAUGCCAAUACCCCUUUUAACUACAAGAUUCUUAGUAGAUGAUAACUAAAAAAAUUAACUUCAAAAAUUUUCACUAAAUGUAAAUCUGAUUGAAA
RNAcentral lists this long non-coding RNA (170151 nucleotides) under Citrus x clementina. Its description in RNAcentral is "Citrus clementina (C. clementina) long non-coding RNA (CCLE_LNC002780)". The stretch from base 67989 to 68071 matches the Rfam family "tRNA". Lineage: Eukaryota; Viridiplantae; Streptophyta; Magnoliopsida; Sapindales; Rutaceae. The record is from RNAcentral.